This 94186-nucleotide long non-coding RNA is filed under the name Gossypium raimondii (Peruvian cotton). Its description in RNAcentral is "long non-coding RNA (GRAI_LNC008656)". Lineage: Eukaryota; Viridiplantae; Streptophyta; Magnoliopsida; Malvales; Malvaceae. The record is from RNAcentral.
CUGGAAUUCCUUGUUGGUGAGCUUGCAACAGAGAGAAGUUGCGCGGGAGCACGAAUGAGACGUUGUUCAUGCUCGCUGUGAAACGUGUACCAUUGGGUCCUUGGCAACGACGUUUUCGGAAAUUGGGUGGGCAGUUGUUGAGUCCCAGGCCGAUUGUGAAGAACAGGCUUUCAUCUAUAUCGGUUGGGACUUCGGCCUUUUCUCGACUUCUAAAGCUUUGGCUGAAAGCGGUGACAGUGUUGGUGUCGUUGUAGGCUGGUAAAGAAGGCAUGAUUGGAGUGGGUGCAUUGCAUUUUUUGGCAGCACAAGAGGCAGACUUGUAUUCGAGAAUGGCGGUGGUGGUCGUGUUGUCAAAUGGUGCGUUUUGCGCGCUUUGGUAGGCUCGAGCUGCCAUGUAAUAUCGAGAUGGUGGCUGAUCACCUCGGAUAAGAACAUCAGUGGUUUGGCCGGGGCCUAACAUGAGCACGGAAGUGGUGAAGGGUUUGGUAUAGGAAGCAUCAGCUCCAACAACAGUGAGCUUAUGGUUGGCUACUUUGAAGAAAAGCGGCUGGUUCAAGGCGGCAUUGAUCACUCUGAGGAGAUUCGUCUCCCCGGAGUCGACGGAAACUACUGUAGUCUCUGCAAAAAAGAAAACAUUAGUUAAUAACAUCGGCUGUCACCCGAAUGUGCGGUUCGAAUUCAAUUGGUUCGGAUCAAAUUACCUUUGGAGGAGCAUUUGUAGAGAUCACCAGGUUGAGCAUUGAUGGUAUAUGCAUCAGAGACAUUUGGAGCUGCCCCUGUUCUUGUUGCUUCCCUCACCACAUCAAUGGGAUUUGCAUCCCACCAUUCACCUAAUCAUAAUCAUAUUCAUCAGCAUAACAGUUCAUUCUGAUCAUCACAAUCAUUUGUACUCGUAACCGAAAAGGAAUCUUUACCGAGAAGAAUCGGUGUUUCGCGUUUCGGCUUAGGGAAAGGGUAGGAUUUGCCUUCUCUGGGACGGAUGAUGAGAGCUCCAUAAACAGUGGCUCUAAGCCAUGAACUGUGAGCAUGCCACCACAAUGUUCCUUCUUGUCCUUGAACUGUAAAUCUGUAAGUGUAACUUCCUCCCGGUCUAAUCGGACACUGAGUCACGAAUUCCGGUCCAUCUGCCCAUCCGGUUCUCAUUUGCCGCACACCAUGCCUGUAUAUCAAAGUGGUUAGGGUAAUUCAAACGUGCAAAUGGCAACUAGAAAUGAAUGAAGCUGAUGACAUGCGUGCAUGGCAUGCAUGCAUGAACGAAUUUGCAGUUAUUAAAUUACCAGUGGAUGGUGACAUUAUAUCGGGCUUUGUUGACAACUUGAACUUCAAGGGUGUCGCCAUUCUUGAUCUCCAAGGUAGGUCCAGGAAACAUGCCAUUAACAGUGAUGGUGUUGUGAGUCUUGCACAGCCUCUUCACUUUUGUUGCUUGAAUCUGUUUCAUUCACCAACCAACAUCAAGUUUUUUAUUUAAAUGUCCAAUGACAACCAAUUUAUUAGAAAGAUAUAUAUAUAUAUAUAUAUAUAUAUAUAUAUAUAUAUCAAAAGAAAGAAGUAAAAGAACAUACAACAAAUCGAUGUCGUUGAACUUCAGCAUUUGCAGACAAUGAAAGGAAAAUGACAAGGAAAAUGAAGGAAAACUUGUUGAAAACCCCCAUCUAAUCAAAGCUUAAUAGCAAAAAGCUUUGCUUAUUGGUCUGAGAAGUGAUAUGAGACAGAGAUAAAGAAAAGGGAUUUUAUAGGAAAGAUUAGAGUAGUUGUUUAGAGGUUGUCAGAUUAGGUUUUGAUUGGGCUAAAAUGGUGAUCUUUUCACUAAGUUCAAACCUGCAACAGAGUUGUUGCACCCACUAGCCCAUUAAAACUGAAUUAUGUCUUCAAUGCUUGCUUCACAAGGAGUUUUUUUUUUUUCUCUUUCUAGAUCAACAAAUUUUCUUAUAAUUCCUUUUAAAUUUUUUUUCCAAAUUAGUUAGAUGAUAAACUCAUUGUUUGAAAAUUAAUCAUACCCUGCUCAUGUACAUGUAGUCGUGAUUUGUACUUGAAAUUAAUUUAUUUUCUUGAGAACCAGCCCUUUUCAUGUAGAUGUGCACUAGCCUAUUUAAAUAUAAUUUUCAGAAUUUACCAAAGUCUUCCAACGUCAGCUCAUGAAAAUGUAAAGGGAGGAUAUAUGAUGGACACGUGAGAUUAAGCAAAGUUUAAUUGUUGAAAGCAAAUCAGUUUAGGUUAAAUGCAGGCUUAAAAUCUAAAAGAUUUGAAUGUAUAUUUUCAAAGAAAGGACAUAUUGAAUAAAUAAAUCGGUCCACUUUUGUUAGGUGGCAAUUAUUAUUAAAAUAAAGAGAUUUGAUUGAGUCUAACAGCUGAUUUCAUAACGACAUGUCGGGUGCAUACUUCAACCAGUGACUUAGGAUUUUUAUGAUAAUUGAAAUUAGUUAGAUUAUCUUACAAACAGUUAAGAGAAGAUCUAUGUUACACGCAUGCUGUCAUGUUUGCUGAACUAGAAAAGUUCAUUCCAGUCUUGUUAGCUCACGUUGUCAUUCAAAAUCGCAUUUGUCAUGUUAAAAGUCUUAUGUGUGUUGUGAUACGGUAUGUCAGUAUCAUUUAGUUUUUUUCUUGGUUGAAUGAUCAAUCUUUUAUUACCAACAUUGGAACAUGUUUGUAGUUUUGGAUAAUGUUGACUGUUGGAAUUUAUUAAUUUGAGGGUUUGAUAGGAUAUAGGUAUAUAAUUGAGUUUAUAUUUGUGAAACACCGACUCAACAUAGGUAAUGUUGUGCAAGUUUUUUUUUUUUUUUAUCAUUAAUCUCAUUAUAUGUUCUUAUCAUAUAUGCUCUUUUUAAAUAGGAGGAUAAUGUGCUUCAGUACACUUGAACUCACGUCAUCCUGCACCACUGACAACAAUGCCGAUGCCGCUAAGACUCAAUCGGCAGAAUGCUUUGCAAGUUAGGUGUGAAUUUUCGUAAAUGAUAUCACAGCAAUAGUUGGUUGAAAUAUAAGAUUAAAUGCUACAUCGUAAGAGAAUCCCGAAGUGGGAGUUGUUUAUAAAAUCUUAACGUUUAAUGACAUUAAGAUUAUCUAUUUUUAGACGUUGAAGUUUAUGCGAUAUCAAACUUUAAUUAGAAAAUAUUAUAUAGAAAAACUCCGAAGAAGGAUUUUAAUAUAAUGUAAUGCAUCUAAUCACUUCAGCAACCAUUUCAAACCAUUCAACACCCAUAUCAGCUACCCUAUAGGUUUGAGGCAUUUAAUAAAAAUAAAACCAUGAGACUUCAAAAAUGGAUGUAUGUAUCUCAUAAAAAGAGAUCAGCUAGUGUUCAGCAUAUGUUUCAUAACGGAAUUUCAUACUCAGCUCAUAUAACAUUGGAUGUUACAAUACCAACAAAUUUGCAGUGAAAUUUGGUUGUUUUAUAAUUUAGGUAACCAAAUGAGAUAUUCCCCUCAAAGUUGUAAUAAAAGCAACGUAAUAGAGACUUUUGUCCGAAAUUGCAAUGUAGAAAACUGUCGCUGUCAAUUUAGUGUAAGAACAAUAAAGACACUGAACCAAAAUUUAAAAAUGUUGAUAUUAUUAUAUUUUAAUUUAAUUUUACCACUAAGUUGUGGUUGUUUUCUAGUGGCCUCUGUUAUAAAUUAAUGUUGAUAUUAUUAACUGUUUUUUCUUGGAGAAAAUGUCUUGCAAAAGAAGAACAAAUGAUUUCAUCUUCGAGGACUAGGUUUAUUAGUUUGUUCAAAUUGCAUGAAUAUUUUGGCAGCAACUCAGAAACGACAACAAGCAAAGGCCAAAAACAAGUUUAAGCCACAAUGGUUACUCUCUACUAUUACAAGUAACAGUUAUAAGUAAACUACAAAAAUAAUAAAUUUAGUGAUAAGAAAAUUGUCUUAGAGAAAGAGAAAGGGGUAGGAUAAGGAAUAGAUAGGUGAACAAAACCGGAGGAACUAUUAACAGAGUUGGUGAAGUUUGUUGCAGACUUUUAAGAGUCUUAGAGAAGAAAUUUAAACUACAAUAACAGGGUCGUUAUAUGUAAUCAAGAAAAACAAUUUGUCUGCUCAAAGGAACAACAAACUCCUAGUGAAAAUCUCAACUACAGUCAUAAUUCUUAAAAUGACCAAAUCAAUAAAUCUAAGUUUUAAUCUACCUUGUUAAAAUAAACACCACACCACCUAAGUUUCUUUUUUUUUUUCCUCCAUGUAAUACAAGUUUUAGGAACAAAAAAGAUUUCGAGAAUCUCUUACUUUCAGAUUUCAUUUUCUUUUGAAGAAAAAAAAUUGGAAGCAAAUGUACAACGGAAUGAGAAGUAAGGGAUUAAGAUUACCAAGAUUAAGUAAUGUGGGUAUCCGGCAUUUGUUUUUCUUUCUUGAAAAAUAUAAUUGCAGAGAAUUUCACUUUAAAAUUUUGGCUAUUCGGUAUUCAAUUGUAUUUCUUGAAGCAAGAAAAAAAAAAACUCCCAAAUAACAAAACAAAAACAUAUAUCAAAUACCUGAAUUGCUUAAUCUUGAUAACCCUAGCUUCUUACUUUCAAUCCCAUUGUAAAUUUGCUUCCAUUUUUGUAUUUUUUUAUUUUGCUUCAGCUUCAAAAAUAUAUAAAUAAAUAUGAAACUAAGAGAUUACCACUUUUUUUUCAGCUUACAACUUGUAUUACAAUGCUCUAAGAGAAAAAAAAAAAGGAAAAUAUUGUGUAACACCCCAAACCCGACCCGAUCGUCAGAUCCGAAUGUGUGAUACCACAUUUCUAACAACCCUCGCCCGACCCAUGAUCUACCUUAAUUUGAUAUUUCAAAUUAGACUCUCCAUUACACUUAAUGAGCUUAGUUUUGUCGAACAAAUCAUAUGGUUUUGUCGUGUUUUUACUUAGUUUUAGUUCUUUGCUUUAAUAAGUGAAUUAGUGCAUUUUAUGCUACUUUUGAGACCAGAAUUGGUCAAAUGCGCCAUAAGGAUCCUAAUGGUUGAUUGAGUGUUGUAGGGAGUCAUCGGAAGCCCGAACAUGAGCGAAAACAUCACCUAGAAGAGGGUAUCGCGACAUCAAAGCCUAGAACUCGUGAUACCCCUGAUAGUGCUGAAUUGAAGAAGAUCAAGGCACUUCACAGUGAUAUCGUGAUAUCCAAGCAUGGGUAUUGACCUGCCGCCAAACGUAGUGAUAGUUUUGGUACAUUUUGACACUUAAGGAGCUUGUUUUCUUGGAACUUUAAUAUAUUUUAUUACAUUUUUGCAUUUCUUAGUUUAGAUUUAAUUAUUAGCAAAAUAAGUGUUUUUACGCAAUAAUUGAUGUUAGUUGACCUAUUAGGCCAAUACAGGCAUUAGGUAGUGCUAAUCGAUCGAUUUGAGUGUGUAUGAUGUGUAUUUCUAAGCCGAAAAGCCUUAAGAACAAUACCCAAGCUUCCCGAGACGCAACACGUGAAACCAUAACUCCAAACUCAAGAAAUCGGUGUCGUGUCGUGACACACCCCCUGUGUUGAGACACAGGCUGAACGUGGGGCGCAAGCAAUGAUGACGUCAGUAAUCCUAUCUAGGAAAAUUUUCUUAGAUUUUGUUUAUGGCUUGCACCCAAAGUAUCAACAGUAUUUUAGGCAUAAAGCUCACCAAAAUUAGCCUAUAUAAAAAGGUUCUUAUAACCCUAAUAGACAAUCAAUUUUAGACCCAGCCACAUAGGUUUCUUUCUUUAGUUUUUAGUUUUAUUUUUUUGUAGUUGGAAUUCUUUCUAUUCCAAUGUAAAGACAAUUGCGAGUGGAGAUUGCUCCGAAACCGCACUUAAAUACACUUAUUCAUGAGCAUUCUCUUUACUCUUCUAUUUUAUUCUUUUAUUUAUAUUUUGUUUAUCUAGCCAAUUAACAUUUGUAUGAAUAUUGGAAUAAAUUGUUGUGAUUUAUUUCAUAUAUUGCAUGUUCCGGUUAUGGAAUUGAUUAAUCGAUUAAGGAAUUAUUUAUCCAAAUUUGGGUGUCUAUUCAAGAGUACUAAGCAUAUAAAGGACUGACGCCCCAAGUAGAAUAUCUAGACAGGUGAGAUCGAGUGCCGAGCAGUAAGACCAAAAGGGUAUCUGUAUGCUUCAGAAGAGACCGAAAGGGUGUAGGUGGUAAUCCUUAAUGAAGAUGAGACCGAAGGGGCAUUCUUAGCUAAUGGUGAUAACUAACUUAAUUGAGGGUAAUUAGCAACUUAAUGGUUAAUUAGGGAUGUAAUCCAUCAUAGGUUAGAGGCUCACAUUGUUGACAUUAGGAAUAGGAAAUUCCAUUAGGUUAGUUUAGGUUAAUUAACUUAAUUAGUUUAAUUAAUACAUUAAUAGCUUUCAAACUACUAACUUGUGACUCAAUUAGAUUAGUAAUUUAUUUCUGUGAUUAAUUUCAUAAUAAGAUUCUCCAAUAUGAAAUUCCUUGGGUACGAUCCUCAAAAUACUUACCAGUGUUUCGUUGUAACACUACUAUACUAUAAUUGAACCCGUAUACUUGUGACACUACUGAUUUAAUUAUAUGUUUUUGGUGUAGUAUUUAAACUCUAAACGGUAACACAUUUAGAGACAGCCAAGUUUUUGGCAUUGUUGCUGGGGAUUGAAACCUUUGGUUUUACCAACAAAUUCGUAGUGAAUUGGGUACAUCUCAAAACUCUUAAAAUGAGAAUAAUGAGAAUUAAUUUUUUUAAAAAAAAUUUAGAUCAAAAUGAAUAAAUCUAAGUUUUAGAUUUANNNNNNNNNNNNNNNNNNNNNNNNNNNNNNNNNNNNNNNNNNNNNNNNNNNNNNNNNNNNNNNNNNNNNNNNNNNNNNNNNNNNNNNNNNNNNNNNNNNNCACACCACCUACUUUUCUUUUCUUUUUUCUCCAUGUAAUACAAGUUUUAGGAACAAAAAGAUUUCGAGAAUCUCUUACUUUCAGAUUUCAAACAACUAACUUGUGACUCGAUUAGACUAGUAAUUUAUUUCUGUGAUUAAUUUAAUAAUAAGAUUCUCCAAAAUGCAAUUCCUUGGGUACGAUCCUCAAAAUACUUACCAAUGUUUUGUUGUAAAACUACUAUACUAUAAUUUGACCCAUAUACUUGCAAACACCACUGAUUUUAAUUAUAUAUUUUUGGUGUGAUAUUUAUACUCUAAACGAUAACAUUUUUAGAGACAGUCAAGUUUUUUGGCGUUGUUGCCGGGGACUGAAACCUUUGGUUUUACCAACAAAUUCGUAGUGAAUUGGGUAAAUCACAAAACUCUUAAAAUGAGAAUAAUGAGAAUUAAUUUUUUUUAAAUUUAGAUCAAAAUGAAUAAAUCUAAGUUUUAGAUUUAACAUUUAAUCUACCUCGUUAAAAUAAAGAGCACAACACCUACUUUUCUUUUCUUUUUUCUCCAUGUAAUACAAGUUUUAGGAACAAAAAGAUUUCGAGAAUCUCUUACUUUCAGAUUUCAUUUUCUUUUGAAGAAAAAAAAUUGGAAGCAAAUUUACAUUGGAAUGGAAAGUAAGAGAAUAAGAUUACCAAGAUUAAGCAAUUCGAGUAUUUGGUAUUUAAUUGUAUUUCUUGAAACUAUUUGAGUGCCAAACGGUAAAACCAAAAAGGUAUCCGUAUGCCUCAAAAGAGACCGAAAGGGUGUAGGUGGUAAUCCUUAAUGAAGAUGAGACCGAGAGGGUAUUCUUAGCUAAUGGUGGUAACUAACUUAAUUGAGGGUAAUUAGAAACUUAAUGGUUAAUUAGGGAUUUAAUCCAUCAUAGGUUAGAGGCUCACAUUGUUGACAUUAGGAAUAGGAAAUUCCAUUAGGUUAGUUUAGGUUAAUUAACUUAAUUAGUUUAAUUAAUACAUUAAUAGGUUUCAAACUACUAACUUGUGACUCGAUUAGGCUAGUAAUUUCUUUCUGUGAUUAAUUUAAUAAUAAGAUUCUCCAAUAUGCAAUUCCUUGGGUACGAUCCUCAAAAUACUUACCAAUGUUUUGUUGUAACACUACUAUACUAUAAUUUGACCCAUAUACUUGCAAACACCACUGAUUUAAUUAUAUAUUUUUGGUGUGAUAUUUAUACUCUAAAUAGAAGCAAAAAUGUAAAAGGGGUCUUCUUUUUUUCAAAAUAAAACACGAAAACUCUAAAAAAAUAAAAGCAAAAAAAAUUCAAGGUUAUUCCUUUUUCUUUUGGCAUAAGAUCUAUUUUUUCUUUUUUUCUUUCAUUUUUUUCCUUUUUUACACACGUAUAAUCAAAAAUAAAUACAAAAAGGGGAAAUCUUACCUAAAAUGGUUCUGGGUCUUGAAUCGAGGUUCUGGGAGGCCGGAUCGGCUGAAAAGACCUUUCUCUAGAACUCCGGCCACCACACGCGGUGGCAGACGGUGGCGACCACGGCCGAAAACCCUAGGCCGAAUGGAGUUUGAGAGAGAGUGCUCUCAUUUUUUUUAGAAGCUGAUAAAAAAUGAAAUUUUAGGGUAUAUUUUGGCUUUUAUAGGCGCAUAAAACAGUGCCGUUUUGGCCCAACUCCUCAGCCCCCAAAACGAUGUCAUUUCACCCCAGGAUCCGCGCGUCGACCAGGCCCGACCAGGGGAUCCGCUCAUUUUGAGAGUUGGGUUAUUUACUAUUUUAGCCCCUCCGCUUUUUUGAUAUUUUGCAAUCAAGUUUCUUUGGUCUUUUUAAAUUGCACCCCAUAAUUUAUUGCGAAUUCAGUUUAGUCCCUAUUCGAAUGACGCCGUUUUAGGGGAGAAGGGAAAAUAAUCUCUUCAGUCCCUCUAUGUUAUUCACGCGUUCAGAAUAGUCCCUCCCCUUUAAUUUAUUUGCGAUUCGACCCCGAAUUUUAUUUUUUAAUUCAAUUUAGCCCUCUGUUUGUAUUUUGGUUAUUUUAUUAUUAAAACUAAUAAAUUAUUAUUAUUAAUAUUAUUAAUAUUAUUGUUAUUAUCAUCAUAUUUUUGUUUAUACUUAUUAUGUAAAUAUUAAAUAUAUGUAUCUUAUUCUAUUAUUAUAUAAUUGCUUCUAUAGAUAUAUAUACACAUAUAUACAUAUUUAAUAUUUACAUACAUAUAUAUGCUUUUUUUUAUAUAUUUUAUAAUUUAUAUAUAUGUAUAUAUGUAUUUAUAUACGCAUUUUAAAUUUAUAUAUAUAUACAUACUUACAUGUAUCCUCUUUUAUUUUCAUAAAUAUGUAUACACAUACUUAUACAUACUCUUUAUAUUUUAAAAUCUAUAUUUUUCUUAUGUAUUUUCUAUAGUUUAUAAUUCAUGUGUACAUAUAUUUUUAUAUUUUUUUCCAAUGCAUACAUGCACAUAAUAUAUAUAUAUAUAUAUCUACAUACGUUUUUUAAUUUUUAUAAAUACACAUAUAUAUAUAUGCCUACCUUUAUAUUUUUUAUAUUUCAUAACUUUAUAUACAUAUAUACAUACAUACUCAUAUAUAUUUUUGUUUCAUAAUUUUAAAAUAUGCAUCCCAACAACGUAAUCUAUUCUCGUAUUUUUCAUUACGACCUCGUGUUUUAUUUUUUACUCGAUAUAUCAAAAUUUGUUUUAAAUAAAUAGCAUUUCGUAUUUUGAGAUUUGGAAAAGUCGUAUCCUAACUUACAGGAUUUUGAUUUUCCUAAUACAUCUAAAAAUACGAAUCUUUUCAAGCAAAAUUUUUACGAUCUCGGGAUUUAACAAAAGAUCAUGUUCUAACUUAUGGGACAUGAUUUUUUUUCUAAACCCGAGAUAAUCAAAUGUCUCCCAAAUAAAUAAGUUUUUGGUAUUUGUUCUCGUAUCAGGAAUUCAAGACAUUGUGUCCUAACUUACGGGAUAUAAUUCUCUCUCGAUAAACGUAAAAUAUACCCUUUUCUCAAAAAUUCUCAGUAUUUUAGCAAAGGAUCGUAUUUUUAAAAAACUCUUUAAAAUUUUCAAUCUUCGACACUAAGACACUAAUUAAUCAACUAGGUACCAAUUUUGGGCGUUACGAGGGUGCUAAUCCUUCCUCAUACGUAACCGACUCCCGAACCCGUUUUCUAAAUUUUGUGGACCAAAAUUGUUGUUUUGAUAAAAUCAUUUAUUAAAAACAACCAUUUCUGGAGGUGACCCGAUCACACCUCAUCAAAAAAAGAUUGGUGGCGACUCCCGUAUUCGUUUUUUAAAAAUCCAAGUCGACCCGUUUUAUCAAAAAAUGGUGUCAACAAGUGGUAUAUCAUUAAAGGACCCUAGCACACUCUGUAACACCCCUUAACCCGUAUCUGUCGCCGGACUAGGGUUACGAGGUAUUACCAAACAAAACACAGUUCAGAAAAAACAUUCUUUACAAUUCAUAGGCCCAGUAAUGUAUUCUCCCGGAUAAAAUUUUUCGAAAUAAAUUAAUAAACCAACCUCUUAUUCAUACAAGUCAAAAUCAUUUAUUCGAAUCACAUAUCUAACCACACAAAUCAUGCUUUAUCGAACAUUCUCUUAUACGAACUAUAUUUCAAUAUCUAACAAUUUCAAAUACGUUUGCUAAUUCAAAACUUUCAAGCCAAGCCAUCAAAUAUCAAAACCAAUUUGUACAUGUUUCAAAAUUACAAAAAUCCAAGCCAUAUCAUUAACUAAAUAACAAACGUAAUAUUUAAUAAACAUUAUACAUACACCUGUUAAACUAAUUUAGCCAUAUCUCGCAGUUUAAUAAUCAUUUGCACAUAAAACGUUAGGUAACUUUAUACAUGACCAACUAAUUUUUUUUUAACAUCAUCCAACCAUGUGCAUAACACCCUAAAACCAAAAGUCAUUUCUAAAUUCAAUUACCAAAUCAUAGCAUUUUAAACAUUAUAACCUUAUGUACAUUUUACUAAAUCAAAUUUAACCAUUUUCGAAUACAAAUGCCAAGUCAUAAAAUAUCUAAUUUGCAAGCUAAAUAACAUAUCUAACAUGUUAUAUUCAACCACACACAUGAACCUCAUACCUAAUUCGCAUGCGAAAUAUCAUGCUUAUAAUUCAUAUACACAACCAAUUAAUAUUUUCAAUAACCAAUCAUUCAAUUAACCUCCAUAUCAAUUAGAUCAUAUACAUUCUUUGUCAUUCAAAAAUCGAGCCUAAAUAGUCAAAUACCAUAGCCGAACAUAUAACUACCUAUAUAUAUGACACAUUUUAUAACCAUCAUUGAAUCAACGAUUUGCCCUUUUUAAAACGAACUACAAGCAAACCUUAAAUAGGCAUAUGUAUUCAUAUCUCAAAGGUCCAACAAUUUGAAAAAAACAACCUUUCGGUUAUCAAAUUUAACUCAAUAAAUCAUAACAUCUCCAUCACUCAGUCUAUAAGAUAAACAUAUUAUCUCAUAUCUUAACAUCAAAACAAUAUGUCAUUUAUAGAUAUUCAAAUGACCCCUUUUACCAAACCAUAUUAUACCACUUUUCAUGCUACCAAAGUGAGUUAAUUAAUAAGCCGAAUAUAUACCCUACUUACCACUUCUCAUUGCCAAAUCAUAUAACCAACAUCACAACAAUUUACCAUAAAUCAUACCUCUCAAUUAAGCUUAUAACAUGACCAACUAUAAUUACCAACAUUUGCAUCAUGAACAAGCCAUUUUCGCAUGGCUAUAUACAUAUACAAAUUUCAAAAAUCAAAUAUAUCAAAACUAGCCUAUACAUGCCACAUAACCAAAUCUCAAAGCGUUUAUUUACCGAAAUGAAUACUGGAUAGUGUGAUGAGAUCUCCCAAGACUUCCAACCCGAGCAAGUCUCCAAAACUCUAUAACAUAGGAAAAACACACAGAGUAAGCUUUGAAAGCUUAGUAAGCCAUAAGCAAAUAAAUCAUUUCAAUAAUGUUUAUAAUUCAAUUUAACUAAGCUGAAUUUAACAAAUCUGAACCACAUAUACAUUCAUCAUAAUCGUAAUUUCUUAAAACCACAUUAGGUAACUUCACUAGACUUAAUUAUGGAUGGACAUAUAAACCAUGUUUUCAAAUUUAUAUAUCUACCAUUAGCUCAUUCGUAGGAUUAAGCUUCCACAAUUUCAUUACAUACCAACCGAAUCAUGGUCAUUUAUUAGAGUUUAUUCGUAAAAAUAUAUCAAUUUCUAUUUAUACACUUCCAAGCCCAAAUAACCAUAACAAUUCACACAUCAAAACCAUGUUCCGUGUUUCAUAAUUCUCAUGUCUGAAACAUAGAACAUUAUUUCAUAUAACGAGCAUAUAUAACACAUCAUUCAUUACCAUAUAUUUCAUAUAUAUCAUCAUUUUAAUCAUACUCACAUUUCUUAUAUGAUUAAUUUUUUCAUAGUUCACUUGCUAAUAUUCACAUCUCAUUUUCACAUAAAUUAUAUAACGAAUAAUCAUAAUCAUACUCAUUUUCAUUGCUCAAAUUCAUAUUCAUCACAAACAUACCUGAUUCAGAUGCACAUUCAUACACUCAUUUAUUUCUCGGAAUGCCCGUUGAACCGUUCGGAAUCAAAUAGGAUACUUGGAUAGCUAAAAAAAACUCCUACAAUGCCAACAUCCCAGACGUGGUCUUACAUGUAAUCAAUAUCGAUGCCACUGUCCCAGACAGGGUCUUACACGAAAUCAAAUAUAAUGCCGAUGUCCCAGACAUGGUCUUAUACAUAAAUCUCAAAUCGAUGCCAACGUCCCAGACGUGGUCUUACACGAUAACACAUAUCGGAAUCCUAUGUCAUGACAUAUGUAUCCUAACUAUUCCUAUGGUUCGUACGGGGCUUUUCGGACGUUGUAAUUCUAUCGAUUCAAGCUCGUAAGUAGUUCUCCAACUCUAAAUUCAAUUCGGCAUAUACACAUAUAUUUAUUAAAGAUCAAUUCAGCACAUAUAACAUAUAUACAUUCAAAUUUAACAGCAUUUAUUUACUUAUGAACUUACCUUGUACGGACGCUAACGGACCGGAACGGCUAAUCAAUAACUUCCGAUUUUUCCCGAUCCAAAUCUGAUUUCCAUUUUUUUUUCCAAUCUAAUUAAUAUCAAAAUUAACUUAAUUAUUCAACAUUCCAUUAAAUUUUCAUUCAAGAACAUAUAAAUGGCAAUUUGCAUUUUAGCCCCUAACAUUUUGCAUUUUUCUCAAUUUAGUCCUUAUUUCAAAAUAACAUAAAAUACACAAAAUUUCACUAAAUCCUUGUUAGGCCAAAUUCUACCCAUACUACUAGCAGCCCAUAUUUUUAGUUUAUUCACACAUUUAACCUUGAAUUUUACACUUUUCUCAAUUUAAUCCUUAAUACACAUUUUUAUCAAAAAUCACUUAAUUAAACAUAAUAAUCUAUCAACAAAAGUUUAUAUUUCAUCAUCAAACCACAAAAAUAUCAAGCUAACAUCAAUGGCAAAUUUCAAAAUCAUCACCAAUUCACAAAAUUGAAGCAUGGGCUUUAAAGAACACAAAGCAAUGAUCUCAAAAACGUAAAAAUUAUCAAAAACCAAAUAAAAACUAACCUUGAAUCAAGCUUCAAAAAUGGCCGAACCUAGCUUAGGUUUCUUUCUUUUUUUUUUCUUUAGUUUCAGUCAAAAUAAGAUGAGGAUAUGGCUUUUAAAUUUGUUUGUCUUUUAUAAUAAUAACUUUAUAAUAUAAUAAAUUAUUAUAACCUUUAUAAAUAAUAUAAAAACUACAUAUUAUAAACAUAAUGUCAUCCACUAUCUUAAUUAAUGGCCUAAUUUCCUAUUAAGGACUUCACAUUAUAAAGACAUUAGCAAGUUAGCACUUUACACAUUAAGUAGUCAAUUUCACAUUUUACGCGAUUAAGCCCUUUUCUGAAAUUAAGCAGACAAACAAUAAAAUUAAUUCAUGAAACUUUCACACAUGUUAAUUCAUGCAUAAUAAACACAGAAAAUAAUAUUAAGAUAUAUAUAUUUUUUAUUUUUAUUAUUUUUUUGGUACUCGAAUUUGUGGUCUCGAAACCACUGUUCCAAUUAGGGUCAAAAAUCGGGUUGUUACACACUCUCUGAUUAAUAGCAUGCUAGUGCUCUCCGAUUAUUAGCACAUUUAUGUUCUCUGUAUAAUACAUUAGUGUUUUCUAUUUAAUAGUGCAUAAUAAUGCACCUCUGUAUCAGUUCCGUAUAUCCUAAGUGUUCUAUUUAAUCUACUGGGCCUCUACUAAAAAGAUAAACAAUUUUCGUUACAAGGUAAAUGUUUACCUCUAAUUCACGUUUGAAAUAUUGAAUUAAAAAUAAAUUGUGAUAAGAAUGAAUAGAAAAGGGUAAUCGAAAGAAUAUAGAAAUAAUGAAGUUCAUGAACAAAAGAACACAAGGAAAUUUCGAGGACGAAAUUUAUUUUAAGGGGGAUAGAAAUGUAAUACCCCGAAAAUUUCUACAGUAAGGAAAGUAAGAUAAUAUCUCUGAUAUAGUAAAAUAAGGAAAUAAAGUGAUAAAAAGGGUAAUUUUGAGUUAUGUUAACAUUGGGAAGUAUAUUAUGACAUAUUAAUUCAAGAAAUGAUUAAAUCGUAAAAGGGAGAAAAGUUUUGUUGCCCAAGAGUAAAUACUCAAAAUUUGAAGGGUUAAAGUGUAAAUACAAAAAAUUUGAAGGACCAAAGGUGUAAAUAUUUUAAGGGUGGAAUUAUCUAGAAACUAAGGAAAAUGGAUGGAUUACGACCAAAUUGAAAAAGGUGAAAAAUUUUUAGGGACUAAAUCGUAAUUUUACCAAAUUAAGUGAUGACUCAAGGAUGGAAUUUGAAAAGAUUAUAAAGGGCAAAAUGGUCAACUAGAGAGAGAGAGAGAACUCUAGAAGGUAAUGAUGAUGUUGGUGAUAUUUUUAUUAAUUAAUUAGAUAAAUGUUAUUUAAUUAAUAUUUUAUUAAGAUUUUUAGUAUUAUUUUAUUACUAAAUGAUUAAUAUAAAAGGGAGGAAAGAUGAAGAGAAUUCAUCAUCUUUUCCAUGCAACCAAAGUGAGAAGAGAGGAAAAGAAAGAAAUUUUCAUUUCUUUACAAUUUGGUCAUUUUACCAAAAAUUCACUAUUUUCACUUAGAAAUCAAAAGAAUUUCCAUAGCUUCCAAGAGAGAAAAAUAAUAAGAAGACAAUGGGGAGCUAGAAUAUCAAGUUAGAUUCAAGAAAUAGAAGCUGGAGGAGAGAGAAAAUCAAGUUAAAGAUUGAAAUCAAUAGCACAAGGUAAGAACAUCAAGAUUUCAAUAUAUUUUUAAGUUUGAUAUUAUUGAAAAAGUAGGAAAUUAAUGUUAUAUUAGAGUUUUCUUAUAUAAGGUCUUGUGUUCUUGAUAUAUUAGUGAAGGGAAAUAAGUGAAAGUGAUGAGAAAUAUUAUAGAGAAAGGGAAUAAGGGAGUUAUAAACUUAGUAAUCAAAAUCUUGCACUAAAACAAUUUUGGACAGCAGCAGUAGGUUAAUUUUGGAAAAUCACUAUAAAUCGUGGAAAUCGAAUUAGAGGAUGAACAAAAUAUAGAAUUAAACCUUAUUGAGUCUAGUUUAUCAUAGAAGAAACGGUGUAAGUAAUGAAAUUAUAAAUCAUGAGAUAUAAUAAAUUUUGUGAGACAAGGUCAGAAUGAAUUCGGGUUCCCCUAUUCUGACUUUGGAAAAUCAUCAAAAAUUGAAUAAAAAUAAUUAGAGGCUUAAAUUGAUAUGUUUAAAAUCCUGAAUGAGUCUAUUUUCAAUAGAAACAAACGAGAACAUCAUCCAAAUUCUGUACAAAGAGAUAAUUAAUUUUUAGUGAAUAGGGGUCGGAACUAGAGGUGUCCAUGGGCCGGGUGGCCAGGCCGGCCCGACGGCCCGCCCGAAAUAUGGGAGGGUUCGGGUAAAAAUAUAGGCCCCAAAUAUGGGUUUGGGAAAAAACCCAAGGCCCGUUUAGAAAAUGGGUUGGGCCUCGGGCACCACUUUUCUGGCCCAGGCCUGGCCCGGCUCGACCCGAAUAUAAUAAUUAUAUUUUUUUAUUUUUUUAUUUUAAAAUAUUUUUAAAAUAAAUUUUUUUAUUUUUUAUUUUUUAAAUAAAUUUUUGGUAUUUAUUAAAAAAUAGGCCGGGCCGGGCCAGGCUUAUGAAUUUUUUCUAAGGCCGGGCCUGGACAAAAUUUUAGGCCCAUAUUUCGGGCCGAACUGGGCCCGGUCCUAGGUCACGGGCCAAAUUUUUUCUGGGCCCGGCCUGAACCCGGCCCGGCCUGGCCCGACCCAUGGACUCCUCUAGUCGGAACUGUCAAACAGUGAAACAAGGGAAAAUUUAAAGAAUAAAUUGUACUUAUUGGCUAAACCAAAAAUUUUGAAAAUUUUAUUGUAAGAAUAUAUGUGAGUCUAGUUUCAAAGAAAAUUUGCGGAUCUUAAUUCGAAGUUCUGUAGCUUAAGAUAUAAUUAAUUUAGUGACUAUGACUCAAGUUACAUGCUUGUUAUAAGUAAACAAGUAAAUAGUGGUGUUAUGUAUAUAUCAAGGAUGUGGAAUGGAGUGGAGGAGGAGGAAAAAUAUAUGUGAAUAUUCAGCUAAUAUGAGUUUAUUUUAAAAUAGCUAAUUUACAUGUUUUAGAUUCAGGGACUAAAUUGAAUAAAAGUGAAAUUUUAAGGGUAAUUUUGUAAAAAAGUCAAAAAUGACCAAAUUGUAUGAAAUGAAUUGUUUUAUUAUAAAUUGAAUGAAAUAUUAAUUUAGAUCAAGGUUGGGUGAAAAUUUGAGGAAAAUGGAAAAUGACCAAAAUAUCCCUAAAUUUUGGUAUUUUUGCAAUUUAGCCCGGUAAGUUUGUGUAACUUGAAUUAUAUUCUUAAAUACUUGAAAUAUACUUUUCUUGAUGUGAAUAUGAUUUGGAUGUUUAUUGUAUGAUAAUUGAUGAAGUAUUGAUAUUCUUGAUGAAAAGAGAAAAUAAAUCUCGGUUGAAUGAAAGGAAAAUUCGAUGGAUCUCUGAAAAGGAAUUGACGGUAAAAAGGAUCUAGUCCGGACGGGAGAUCCUAUCCUGAUAUAGCCCUCCCAAAAAAUAUGUGGAAAAUGGAUUUAGCCCGGACGGGUAAUCCGAAUUAGGGUCUGAAUUUAGCUUAGACUGGUAAUUCAGAUCCAAGCUCAUUAGAGUAAUUGUCAUUGCAGGGGAUUUAGCCAAGACUAGUAAUCCUGACAAUACUCUAUGAGUUUAUAUUACAGGGGAUUUAGCCUGGACUAGUAAUCCCGCUGUAAGGAUAAGGUUCGCGGGAAUGUGCUCUCUGAAAUGGAAAUGUGCGCACAUGAAUAUGAAUUGACGGACCCGAAUUUCUGAGAAAUUCAACGGGAUAAAUAUGGAAAAUAAUAAGGGUAAUAGAAAACAUGGAAUUGAAUUAUUAUUGGAAAUAUAUUAUCAAAAUUUAAUACCCAGUUUGGAUUGAACACGGGAUUGAGUACAAUUGUUCUAUGCCAAAGGAUGAAUCGACGGAUAAAACCAUAACUGGGUUAUGGCAUUACAAAUGUAAAGGAUGGAUUGACGGCAAAUUACCCAAGUAAACUGAGGUUCAGCAAUUGUUGUGGACUUUCGUGUUUACUAUCUGUUUAGCUCUCAUGAGCUUAAGUUCAGCCUUCGGGCUUCUGAAAAUGAUGUACUCAUAUCCGUAAGUCGUUCUUCGAUACAGAAAGAAGCGGUAAAAGACUUAUGUGGUUGAAUUGAAAGAUUUAUAGAUUAUUAUUGGUAUUGAUCUAAAAUAAAUGUAACCAUUGAUAUUUAAAUGAUAUAAUGGGUAAAGUUCUGAAGUAAGAUAACAUGAGUUUGAAAUGAACUAUUACCGGUAUGUACGCGAAAUUCAUGAAAAUGAUGGUACAUGAAAUAUCGAAAUAAUGAAAUGAAUGAUAUAUAUGUAUGAAGAAACGAUAAGAGAAUGAUAUGUAUCAUGACAUGUAAAUGUAUGAUUAUCUUUAAUAUGUUGAUACAAGAAAAUUAUGCAUGAUGAGUUUAUAUGUAAUGUGUGCAAGUACACUAACCAAUGUUGCUGCUUGAUGCUUAGGCAAGUGCCAAGCUAUUGGUUGAAUAGUAAUAUGAUUAUUUAAUGGAAGCAUUGAAUUGAUAAGUAUUUGAGGGAAAAUAUGCUAGUGUUCAUGAAAAAGUGGUAUGGUUUAAAUUAUGCAAUUUCUUAUGAAAUGACUUAUCACGUAAUCAAUUCGGAAAAGGCUUUAGUUAAAUGCACUAGCUUGUGACUAUGAUUGAAUGAUAUGUUUAUGACUUGUGUUUCACACAUAUGGAAUAAGUGUGGAAAGUAAAGAAAUGCAAAUGAAAAUAAAGAAAUUAUGAAGAGUUAAAGUUAUAUAAAGUCCUACUAAGCUUGGGAUAAUAUGUAAGUGAUACUGUGAAUUUAUUCACCUUGUGAGUUGAUGAAUAUAGCUUCAUGAGUACUAUGGUAUUAAUAUAGGAUUAUUCUUGAUAUGUAUAGAUUUCAUAUUUUAAAUGAACUAAUAUGAUUAAAGACUACAUGAACUUACUAAGCAUCCAUUGCUUACGUAUUUGUUUUUUUUAUUUACCCUACAGAUUAUCUAAAGCUCGAUUGGGUUGGAAGCUUGUCAGAGAUAUAUCACACUAUCCAUUGGUUCUAUCGGUAAUUUUGGAUGAUUUGAUUCUGGUUAUAAUGACAUGUAUAAGUUAAUUUGGACAACGUUGGCUCAUUAAUGUUUUAAUUUUGGUUGGUUUCAAAUAUGAAUGCUAGAUGAAAUGAAAUGUCUGAAAAUUAAUUUGUAAAUUUUUGUAAUGCUCCGUAACCCUAUUCCAGCAACAGAUUCGAGUUAGGGGUGUUAUAGGAUAUGCCUUAUUAAAGUAUUUUGAUUAUAUGCAUAUUGAUAAAAUGGUUGAAAAUUUAAUAUGUUAGGUAAGUUUUUGGUUAAUGCAUAGUUAUGAGAAAGAUGGAUGAUAAUGCCUUGGUAUAUGUUUAGAGAUAAAAUUAGAAGCUUAGUUAUUCAUAUUAAAGUACCUUAAUGGUUGAUUGUUUAGGUGGGUUGAACUUAAGUAUAUGUAUUUGGCUUAGUUAUUGAUGUAUUGAAUUGAGUUGCACAUGAAUGGAAUGCUUGGAUUUUGAUUUACAGGCAUUUAUCAGGCUUCAGUAAAUUUUGAGCAUAAGUGGAACUUUUUAAUAUAAGUUUUUACCAUUUCUGAAGUCAAGUGUCAAUACUUUUGCAUCUGGUAUCGAUACUUAACCAAAUGAAUAGUUUGAAAGCAAACAAAAUGUAGAAAUGGUAUCGAUGUUUAUUUAAGUAUCAAUAUUUUUUUAUCGAUACCAGGAAAUAAAUAUUGAUACCCUUAUUUUGCAAAGAAAACAUAAUUGAAUUUUGGUAUCAGUUUUUAUUAAGGUACCGAUUCGGUAUCGGUACCGACUGUGAAAUUUCAAUAUUGAUUUUUAAACUUUAAAAUUUUGCAAUUUAAUCCUACCAUAUGCUUGAAUUUCACAAGUAGGUCCAUGUAGAUUACAAAUUUUCAAUAUGCUUGACUAUAUAUGAUUUGAUGUUAAGUAUUUGGAAUUUUGUUUAGUAAAGUAUAUGUUGAUUGUUGAAUUUUGUUGUAGAAUUAGAACUCAUAUUCAAAAUUUAGUAUCAAUUUUCAAUGACGUGUCUGCAGAAAAUUUAUUGCAAGUAUUUUUGCUUCGAAGUUUGAUUGUCUUGAGACAUUAAACCUUGUGUGUCAAGACAUGGUCUCAUAUGUCUCAAGACCAACCUCCCUUGCUUUCCUAUUUUAGCUUUGAUGUUCGGAUGCCUCAAGACAAGGGGUUCUUGCCUUGAGACUUGAAAUAGGGCAAAAACUAAUUUAGCUUCAAAGUUUACUUGUUUAGAGACAGAGGUCACAUGUCGAGAGACCUAAAAGAUUAUCUCCAGACGAUCUUACCAAGUCUCGAGACAUUAAGCAUACAUUAAAAAAAUAUGGUAAAUUUUGUUCUUAUGAACUUGAGACAUUUUCAACCUGUCUCAAGACUCAAUCGUAAAUUCUCCCUAAAUGCACAUUUUCAAGUAUCCAAAAUUUAUCAAAAUGUACCUUAAACAUAUCUAAACAUUACCUUAAUAGAUGAUCAUCAAUUUAUCGUAUACAAACACCAACUGUAACAUCCCAAUUUUUUAGUUUAAAGUUCGUAAAAUUAUUUCAAGAUUGUGCUAUUGGCUUAAUGGUUAAGGGGAAGUAAGGAGUUAGUGUAGUUUGCUAUUUUUGCUCCCACUCCCUUAGUUUUGUGCCGCCCAACAUAGAUAAACCUUAAGUAUAUAUGUUAUUUCUUUCAUUUUUUCAGCUUUUUCUCUGUUCUUCCUCUGCUCUUUCGUCCUUCUCAUCUCCCUCUCCCAUUCUUCUAAUUUUUUUCUUCUUUUUUCCUCUUGUGUCAUCCCAAACACAUCGAAAUUUACCAUUGUUGUGCUGCCUCUUUGUCUAUUAUUUUUCUUCCAUUGUUUUAGCCGCAUUACUAUCAUUUUUAAUCCCUAAAUCAACCCCCUUUUACUAUCCAUUGCCGCCCCUCUCAUCCACUUGUGGUGGUAUCGGUUAGUUUCCUUUUUCCUUUUCUUUUCUUUUCCUUUGCUUGCCCAUUUUUCUGCUAUAUUUACAACCAUUUUACAGUUUUUUCCAACCCUAAAAAUCAUCCCCUUUGUUUCCCAAAGAUCUCUCUUUGUACCAUCCAAGUUAGCCCCCUUUUAUGCUGUCGUUUGUGGUGUUGUCGCCCUUGGAACACCAUUGGUUUGGGAUACUAUUUUCUCUUAUUUUUCCACCCCUUAUGGCCGUCUGUUCUUUGAUUUUUCUUUGUUUAAAACAACCCUUAAUGUUCCAAAUCAAUAAGGUAUAUGAACAAAUUCAUCUGACAUCUCAAAUCUGGUUAUCGAGUAGUGUAAGUACGGAUCUAUGUGAGAUCUUGUGUCGAUGAUUUCGUUAAUGGAUACUAUUUUGGUUGAAUGCUCAAGGCCUUAGGUUUACUUUUACUUACUUAUUUUUGUGUGUUAUUUCCAACUUAGGAACUAAUUUUGACGUCCCGGAUCAACAAUGAAGUCGAAUUUUGUUCGCACCCUGGUUUCACAUCAAAUCAAUGUAAGUUAGCUUCUCAAAUUGGAUUUGAGAAAAUAAUUAGUCUAGCACUAAUUUGACCGAACCCUUAAGGGGUGUUUCAAGGCUGGUUAUAGCCAUAUUUUAACGUGUUAAGUGUUGUAAUUUGGAUUUAGUCACAUCUAAGGCUUAAAUGUAGAAGUGUGAACUUUACGGGUUAGUGUUGUGGACUUGUGAAUUAAGGUGUAGGUCUUUCCCUUUCCUAGAUUAGUCUAAAAACCUUAUAAUACGUGUUUAAAUGGUAAACUUGUUUGAUGGUUUUGGCAUGAUCGAAUGGCCUAAGUGCUAGUAUAUGAGGUGCUGAGCGAAGUACAUAUUUAAAUAGAGAGCCUGAUUGUUAAAGGCCCUAUUGGGACUAAAUGAAUUGUGUAUGAAUUGUAUGUGAUGUAUGAAUUUGUGAUGUAAUUGGUUGAUCGUAUGUUGGUGUCAAAUCUCUGAUUGCUAAGUCCUGAUGAAAAUGUAUGUACUGUAUGCAUGUAUAGCAUGCUGAAUUUUGAAACACUGAUUAAUAUGCAUGUAAUAUGCCAUGAAUGACAUUGAGCUUGUAUGUAUUUAAAUUACACACCAUCUGUGAAAAUGAUUGUAUGGAAAGUAUGUACGCAUGCCACUGCUACUGUAAAAUGACUAGCAGUUUACUUAGCCAUUCUGGUGGUUAAUGUAGCCUUCAUGAUUCAAUCAUAACGUUUAGACCAUGUUAGAGAGAUUACAUUUGGUGGUAUCAGAGCCAACUUCAUAAACUUAGCUUGAGGUUUUUUUAAAUGGGUCAGCAAUCAUUUAUUGAAAGCAAGAGAGAUUUUGGGAAAAACAAUUCACAGGAAUUUUUGAACAAAAUAUAUUUUUAAAAAGGAAAAAUAAGUCCGACACUCCGGUGUCGGUUACCAUAGGAAUACUACUAAAACUAUAGAUACUCAUUAGGGUAUACUGUAUAAAAUUUUAAACAAAAAAUUAAAACAAAAAUUAGAAUUGGAAAGAAAAUUUUUAACUAAAAAUAACUAAAUGUGUUUUUUUUUACUUUGAACUGUAGAUAAAUGAGAUAAAAUUUUCUAAGCAAAAGGGUAAGGUUCUAGCUUAUGCAUCGCACCAACUCAAACCUAAUAAGAAGAACUACCUAACCCAUGGUUUGGAACUGGCAGUAGUAGUAUUGACGUUGAAGAUAUGGAGAUAGUAUUUAAAUGGAGAAAAGUGUCGUGUAUUCUCUGAUCAUAAGAGUGUAAAGUAUUUGUUGACACAAAAAUAUUUGAAUCUAUGCCAAAUACGUUGGAUGGAACUGCUGAAAGAUUAUGAUUUGACUAUAGAGUAUCACCUUGGAAAAGCAAAUGUUGUGGCUGAUUCUUUGAGUAGAAAAACAGUGGAAGCGUUAACAUCACCACAAGAAAAAGUGAGUAUGGUUGGUGAUGGAUCAUUAUUGAUAGAGUUAAGUGUUAAUCCAACUUUUCUCUCUCAAAUUCUAGAAGAGUAGAUGAAGGAUGCACAUUGUGAUAUGUAUAAGCAACGUAUGAUGUCUAAUAAUGCAACAAAUUUUAGUCUAAGUAAAAAUGGUAAACUGCGAUUCAUGGAAAGAAUGUAUGGACCAGUUAGGAAUGGAUUAAGAAAAAAUUUGCUAAGGGAAGCUCAUUUAGGGACCCUUUUCACUCCAUCCAAGCAGUAUCAAGAUGUAUAGAGAUUUUAAAAGAUUAUACUGGUGGCCUAGAAUGAAGAGAGAAAUCACAGAAUAUGUUUCAACCUGUUUGACUUGCCAAAGAGUUAAAGCAGAAUAUAAAGUUCCCUCAGGUAAGUUGUAAUUUUGCCUUUUUUAUAAUUCAUGUAAGGUAGGUAAUCCUCUUCUAUAAUGGAUGAAAGAUGUUGUGUAGGUAAUGGUUAUUUGAAGUCUUUCAAUCUGAGUGCAAUCUUUCUGUGAUAUAAAGUAAGCAUCAUUCUUCAUGCUUAAGCCACUACCAUCUGCUUCUGAUAUGUAUGAUAUGAUAUGAACUGAUAUGAAGUGAUAGAGAUGAGGAGAUAUGUCUAUGUAGACUCUGGUAGGGUAGCUAUAUUGCAAACCGGAUUGGCAGAUCACGAUAAAAGAUGUUGUUCUGAAUGAAAAUGAUAUGACGAGUUAAAGGGAAGAAUGUAUGUGAAUAAGAUUGAAUGAUAUGCUUCUGAUUUUAAAUUCUAAGUACGUGGCUGACAUAAGAAUGGGUUUGUUUGAGUUGGGUUGAGCUGGCGUACAGUAUAUGCCCUAGUGAUUACUAAGUUGGCGUACAGAUUCUGUCGGUGUUCUGUAUACGCCAUUGGACAUAUUAUGUGAAUGUGUGUAAAUCCUUCAGAAAGGUUCAAAUGUACUAUCAGUAACAUUAAGUAUGAUUUCUCUGUGGAACUUAUUAAGUUCAUAUGAACUUUCUUUGUUACCUUUACCUUCUCAAGCUUGUUGAUUGAAGGAAGGCUUUGUUAGAAGGACUACGCCAGAGUGCUACUACUAUUGUGAGUUGACUGCUUUGUUUCGUAUCAUGUACAACUCGUGGGGGUGGCAUAUAAGUGUAUUUGUAAAUUAUUUGUACAAAAAACUUACGUUUUGAUAAGACUCUAUUUUUAUGAUAUCUCUAUAAAGUAUUAAUGCUUAAUAAAGUUAUAUUAUUUAAACUUAUACGCCAGAUGGUUUGUUUAUUAUUUUUAAACUGUUGAUGUUUUCAUUCAAACAUUAUGAUAAUACUCUAAAAAGACAUACUUUUAUGUGUUAAUUACAUAUAUAUUUUGAGUAUGAUUCUACUAAAUUGUGUUUUUUAAAACACUAAAGGACGAAAAAAUAGGAGUCGAUUCACCAAAAAAAGUGCUUAACGCUAGGGUUAACGAAAACUCGAAUCUAACACAUCAACCUAUGGCUCAAACGAUUUGGCAAUUCACCGAAGCUCCUACAAAACAACCGCCGUUAUGCAUUGCGUAUCCUACUAUUGAUACUAAUUUUGAACUAAAGUCAGGAUUAAUCCAGUUACUGCCGACUUUUCGUAGAUUACAAAAUGAAAAUCCACAUAAAUAUCUAAAAGAGUUUCAUAUGGUUUGUCUUAGUAUGAAACCUCAAGGCGUAAGUGAGGAUCAAAUCAAAUUGUGUGCUUUCCCGUUUCCCCUAGCAGAUUCUGCUAGGGAAUGGUUAUUUUAUCAACCUCCUAGAUCUAUUAGAACUUGGACUGAUAUUUCCCAUUUGCUUCUCAAUAGGUUUUUCCCAACAUCGCGUGCAACUGAGUUAAAAAGAGAGAUCGUUGGGAUAAGGCAAAAAGAUGUGGAGUCUCUUUAAGACUAUUGGGAGCGAUUCAAGAAAUUAUGUGCAAGUUGCCCACAAUAUGGGAUAACAGAAUAGUCUUUGCUCUAAUACUUUUAUAAGGGCUUAAAGUCCAUAGAGAUGAACAUGGUAGAUGCCGCCAGUAAAGGAGCAUUGGUCAACAUGACUCCCCAACAGGAAAGGGACUUGAUAUCCACGAUGGCUGCAAAUACUCAGUAAUUCCGGGCCAAUCCUGAACCCACCAAAAGGGUUCACCAUCUAAGUAUUUCAGCUUUAGAAGAUAAAGUUUAUUGACUUACUAAUAUCAUGAAUUCUCUUUUUGCAGUAAAAAUAGGACCAACCCAACUUUGCGAAAUUUGUGCAACACCCAAACAUACAACUGAUGCAUGCCCUAGUUUUUGUAACGAUACUAUGGCCCAUUUAGAUGCUGUGGGGAACUUUCAUGGACUACCCCAAAGGCAAUAUAACCCCUAUGCAAAUACAUGUAGCCUAGGAUGGAAAGAACAUCCUAACUUGAGUUAUGGGGCAAACCUACAGUAUAACCAGCCAUACCAAAACCGGUUUCCACAACAAAUGCAAGAUUCAAGUACCUCUCUAGAAACCAUGGUCAAUAAAUUAGCAGCUAAUGUGCUUGAUUUCCAAUAGCAGAUACAACGACAAAUUGUUAAUUUCCAACAGUAAAUACAAUGGCAAACUCGUGAUUUCCAAAAGGAAACAAAGGAUUUUCAACAGAAAAUCGAGGCGUCAAUAAGAGAGUUGACCACAUCAAUUGAGAAAAUAAACUCACAAGGAAAGCUGCCAUCACAAAUGGAACCUAACCUAAGACAACAUGCAAAUGCAGUGACGUUACGAAGUGGAAAAGUGCUAGAACCAAAUAUUGGCAAGAAUUUUGAUCAAGAUUUCACCCAAAAAGAGUAGGAGAACGAUGAACAGGUCUGAACGAAACCUCCAUUGCCCAUAAUUCAACCUUCAUUUUCAGGACGAUUGAACCAACAUUAGAGAGGUAAGGAGGAAAAAGAGAUCCUCGAAACAUUUAGAAACGUCGAGAUCAACAUACCAUUGUUGAAUGGCAUCAAACAAAUUCCACGAUAUGCCAAGUUCCUUAAAGAGCUUUGCAGCAGCAAGCGAAAAUUAGCUGAAAAUGAAAGAGUAAGUUUUGGUGAAAAUGCAUCUGCGGUGUUGAAGCAGAGGAUGCCAGUAAAAUGUAAAGAUAGAGGCAUGUUUGUAAUACCAUGAAAAAUAGGACACUUAGGAAUUAAAAGAGCUAUGUGUGAUUUAGGGGCCUCCAUAAACGUAAUGCCUUUUUUUCUAUUUAUGAAUCACUUAACGUGGGUUUUUUGAUGAAAAUAGGUGUUAUCAUUCAAUUAGUAGACAAAUCUAUUGUUCAUCCCGAAGGAGUCCUUGAGGACAUAUUAGUGAAAGUCAACGAACUUAUCUUUCCUGCGGACUUUUAUGUGAUAAAAGUGGAAGAGGAUAGCGUUCUUAGGUCUUCAAACAUCUUGUUGGGGCGACCUUUCCUUAGUACUGCAAAUACUAAGAUUAACGUGCGUAGCGAAACCCUCACGAUAGAGUUUGACGGGGAGAUCGUGAAGUUUGACGUUUAUGGCGCUAUUAGUCAUCCUAGUGAAAUUUUGAAUAUAAACCGUGUAAUACCCCAAACUCGGCCUGGACGUUAUGGCCGAAUCUGGUGAUGUCACGUGAUAGUGUGUUUGAAAAUCGGUGCUCGUGUUGAAAAACCGUAACUUUGCUUAAAACAUUUUCCGUUUAGAUCUCGUCGGUAUAUUUUAUUAAUCCUAAAAUAGUGAUUUUUAUUCAGUCGUUAGUUUGUAAAAUAUUAUACGUUUUGGAAGCUUUUUAAAACAGUUUUUGUCCUUGUGGUUAUUUUGCUAAAACACAUGCAUUUCUUUUAAAAACUCGUGUUUUAUCUACCUCUAGCAGAUAUAAAAUCCAAAUUUUAAGAAAAAACUCAUAACGGCUAUUAUUAUAGAAAAAUACCCCAAAUAAAGCUUUAAAACAAAUAAACCUAAUUAAAUACAAAACAGUAAAAAGGAGUCAUGUGGCCACAGCAGAGUCCUCCACCACUUCGAUCCACCUAAGUCUGAGGAUUUCCUGAAAAGAUGAAUCAAAAUGGUGAGUUUACGAAAACUAAGUGUGUAAUCCCCACAUAAGCAAGCAGACAGUAUGCAAUCAUAGUCUGGGCCUAAGCCCAUUUCGAUAACAGUUUCAGUUUCAAUUAGGGCCUUAGCUCAUUACAGUACAGAAGCAGUCAUGCAUUUGGACCUUGGCCCAUUACAGUAUCAAUACUCAGUACAGUAAUAGAUAUGCAGUAUCAAAUCCUACCCAGCCAGCUUCUACACUCCAACUCUAUCCAACCCUAUACUCUAUGUGGGAAUAUAAUCAACCCACCCAUCCCUACACUUCAAGUAGCACCGAAUGCGGCACUAGACAGUAGUUUGUAGCUGAGCUGCCAGUAAUUUAGGCUCGAGGCCUUUCAAUACACCUCCUCCGAACAAUAUAACCCCACCCCAAUGCAAUGCAAUAUACAUAUAUGACAUGUUAAAACAUAAUAUCAUGCAUAAAAUCAAGGCACAUAGUAUCAAACCAGUGGGACAUCGUCAUGCUUAAUAACAUGCAUAAUUGUAUCAGUCAUAAAGUCAUUUGAAUCAAUUAAGGGUCUAGGUAAGCUUACCGACCCUACAGAGGUCCACAGUCGACUCGGGUGACCCGUGCAACCUUAGCAGUCAAAUAGUGAAAAUGGGCCCACGACCCAUGUUGCAUGCCCAUGUGGGCCAACAUGCUCGUGUGGCCCACACGGCCCAAAAUGGCCUUGGCCGUGUGGAUUUCACAGCCUGGCCCAAAAUUCUCAUACAUCCGUGUGGUUCACUCGUGUGGGGCCCAUGGGCCCGUGUGGCCCACACGGCCCAAUUCGGUCUGGCCCAUGAAUAGCACAUGGCCAGCAUCGUCGAUCACACGCCCAUGCUCGAUCACACGGCCUACCACACGAGUGGCCGCAUGCCCGUGUGGCAUCGAUAAUCACAUUUUUCGUCUUUUCACCGAUUCCCGUUUUCAGAGUUGUGUUUCCACACCUGGUUACGAAAGAUGCGCACACAGUCCUCGACCACUCACAACCUACUUUCAACCACAACCACUCGAUUAAUCGCAUAACAAUCGUAUUUAUUUAACUUGAAACAAAGUAAACCUUUUCUGAGCGACAAGCUAAUACCUUCUAUCAAUGAACCAAAACUCCCCCACACUAAGGCUUCGACGGGAGACUACGUACCUUUCAGUCCUCCCCUUAUAGGUAGAAAUGAAAUAUAUUUAAGAAGAGUUGCUAAAAGGAAAUGAACCGCUUAACCAAAAACUUACCGAACGAACGAACUAAGUUGCACAACAGAGAAAAAUGGCACGAACACCGGAGGAAAAAAGGAGAAAUAAGGGAAAACCCAAGAAGAAUUCAACAGUAACAAUGGAGGAUUUUGGCUGGAAGCAAACAAAAGAGAAAGAAUAAAAAGAAUGAAGAGGGGAAACACUAGAAAAAGUUUCGGCAAAGAGGGGAAAGGAGUAGCCAUCAGAAAACUUGAGAAAUUAUAGAGAAGGUGCCAAAAUUGUAGAAAAAAAGAAUGGAGGUAAUGAUCAGAUUUUUCAUACACUCAGCCCCCAAUCCCUUAACUUUCUCUCAUAUCCCUAACUUCUCUCCUAAAAACUUCCCAACACACUCUCACUAACCCUCAAAUUCCCCCCAAACCUUCCACCCUAAUCUCUUCAACAACCGAAUUCAAAUCUCACUCCAACUCUACAAAAUUUUGGUCAAACUACAACACCCACACGGCACAAGGAAUAAAAAUAAAUCCCAUGAUUGCGCAAGUACUCGAACUCCAGACCUCUUGCUCAUUUGUCCUCCACUUAACCACCAGACCAGCAGACCCUUUCUAACAUAUUUUUACUAACUUUAAACUAUAAUCCUAUUGAAUAAAAGAAAGGCUUUAUUUAAUUAAAAAAAGAUUUAGCUCAAGACAAGGCUUGAACCCAAUACUUCUUAGACACUCCCAGAACACAUAACCACUAAAGCAGACAGAUAAUUUGUGUCACAAAAACACAUAAAUAAAUAUAAGAGAAUUUUGGGGCAUUACAACUCUACCCUUUAAAAGAAAAUUUUAGCCUCAAAAUUUUACCUGAUUAGAAUAGAUGAGGAUACUACUUACACAUCGCAUCCUUAGGCUCCUACGUGGCCUCCUCAGUGCUAUGAUUACACCAAAGAACCCUUACCAGUGGGAUGGAUUUUCUUCUUAGAACCUUUACAUCUCGCUCCAAUAUCUGAACCGGCUCAUCCUCAAAGGUUAGAUCUGACCUAACCUUGAUCUCCUCAACAGGAACAAUAUGCGUGGGAUCAGAGCGGUAGCACCUAAACUUAGAGAUGUGGAACAAGUCGUGAAUUUGAUCCAAUUCCGGAGGUAACUCCAACUGGUAAGCAGCUGGUCCCACUUGCUUAAGCACACGGUAAGUGUAACAGCCCGAUUUUGGGCCUAGUCGGAACAGUAGUUUCGAGAUCACAAAUCCGACAAGGAAAAAAUUAUUUUUCUUAUAUUUUUAUGGUCUACGAUUUCACGGAAUGAUUUUGUAAAAAUUUCGUUCGAAAAUUUCGACGUUUGGGCACUCAAUUUAAUCAAAAGGACUAAAUUAUAAAAAGUGCAAAAGUUAAGUUCUACAUGUUAGAGGUGUUCAACUGUUAUGAAACUUUAAAUUGGAGGUCCUUAUAUGGUAAUUAGAUCAUUGGUUAAGUUGGUAGAUAAAAAUGGGCAUGAGAUAAGUGAAAUAGGAAAUUUUUAAGUUAGGGGAAAUUUGGUAAUCUAGUAUUUAAAAUGAAUUAAAAGGGAAAAAGAUGGCAAAUUGUGCUCAUCUUCUUCAUUUGGACGAAAUCAGCAAGGGGGAAGCCAUUUUUAGGGUUUUCAAGCUUCCAAGCUCCAUAGUAAGUGAUUCUAAGCCCUGUUUUUAAUGUUCUUUACGUUUUUAGAGUCCCGGUAACUUGAUUUUGCUUAUUCUAGCAAUAAUUUAAUCUAGGGUUUAUAUUUGGAAAAAUACCCAUAUGUGAAAUGUGUUUAUUUUGAUGUUUUAUGGUAGAAUAUGAAGCUAGAAAUUAUGUUAAGCAACUUUUGCUAAGCGAUUUUGAGUAAAAACGAGUAAAACGACAUAAUCGAUAAAAAUACUAAAUGUUCAUAAGUGUUAGAGUGGGAAUUUGAUGUUGCCAUAGAAGGGAAAAAUGUUUAGCAUGUCAUAAUACAUAAGAAAAAAGGAUGAAGUUUAAUUUACGAGCUUUGGGGAAAAAGUGUAAAUAUGCAAAAGUUUAGGGGCAAAAUUGUAAUUUUUCCAAAGUUUGAGUCAAGGACUGUUUUGAUAAAUGUGAGUACUAAAUAAGUCAAAUGUGUUAUUAUAGAUCAAGAAAGAAGUGGAAUCGACAUUGACCGGAGAAAAGAAAAGAUUAAAGACUAAAUUGCUAAAUUUUUAUAUUGUUGCAUCAAAGUAAGUUAUGUGUAAAUAAUAGUAAUAUACUUUUAUAAAUUGUGAAUUUUAUUUGAUAUGUGAAUCAAUAUUAAAUGUGGAUGGAAAAUUGUUCAUGAAUUAUUCAAGUGAUAAAGUGUUGAAAAUAAAGUGUUAAGUGUAAAUUCCCGGUUGAACUUAGGAAUAGAAGUGGAUACAAGUGACAUGUCACUAGAGAUCAGUGUUACAAUGUUACAGUGAGUCUCGGGUGCUGGGUGAUCUAGCAUGUGUUGCAGACACCUGACAACUUGUGUGAGCAGGCCCGUGGACAUUUCCAGUGUUAUUGAUCAGUGGUAGCUUCGGCUACAUUUCAGUGGUAGCUUCGGCUACAUAUCAGUGGUAGCUUCGGCUACAUUUCAGUGGUAGCUUCGGCUACAUAUCAGUGUGGCACUUAUGUGCUAAUUCUCUAUGUAUCCGUGUAUAUUUCGAGUGUUCAACGGGAAAUUGACUAAGUGAAAAUACAUGAGAUCAUGUAACGAUUAAGUGUAAUUGAAUAAUGAAUAUAUGUGCGGAAUUGAAUUGAAUAUUGACUUGAAAAUGGAAAAGUGAAUUUUGAAUUGAAUAGUGAUUAAAAGUGAAAAAGUGAAAUUAUGAAAAUGUAGAAUUAGCAACAAAACAGUUUUGGACAAUAACAAUAGUGUGACUUUGAAAAAUCACCAAAAAUGGUGGAAAUUUAAUUAGAGGGUGAAUAAGAUAUGAAAUGAAAUCUUAAGGAGUCUAUUUUUACAUAAAAGAAACAAAGAAAUCAAAAGAGUUAUACAUUUUGAGAUAUUUGAAUUUUAGUGAGGCAAGGUCGGAUGGAUUUUGGAAUCCCCUGUUCUGACUUUGGAAAAUAAUUAAAAAUUUUAAAAAAAAUGAUUAUGAGUUAUAAUUUAUAUGCUUAGAAUCUUUAAUGAGUCUCAAAGGGAACAAACGUAAAUAUCAUCUGAGUUCUGUACAAUGAGAUAAUUCAUUUUUAGUGAAGAGAUGUCAGAGAUGUUGAGCAGUGAAACAAGGGUGACUUUAAAGAAUAAACUGUACUAAUUUGCCAAGUAAAAAAUUCUAAAAAUUUUAUGGUAAGAAUACAUGUGAGUAUAGUUUCAAGGGAAAUUAACGGAUCUUAAUUUGGAGCUUUUUAUCUUCAGAUAAAAAUGAUUUAGUGACUCUUACUCAAAUAGACAACUUUGAAUUUAAAUAUAAGUGAAUAGUGAAAUUAUGUAUAAUGCUAUUUAAGCAUGUUUUAUACAUAAAGGAUGUGGAAUGGAGAGGAGGAGGAGGACAAUAAAAUGUAUGAAAGAAUUGUGUAUAAUGGUCAUAUGCCCAAUUAUAAUCGGUAAAUGUUAAAUUGAAUGGUAAAUACGUAUUGGUACUGAAGGAACUAUUGCGGUAUUGAAAAGCAAUUGAUCAAAUGUUUAAGAAAUUUAGUCAUGACAUAUAUAUAUAUAUGUGAUAAUAAUGAUAUAUGGAUGAUUAUAUGAUUGAGUUGCAUUGAUUAAUUCAGUCUAUGUGAUGGAAAUGUCAAGAACAUUUGUCUUUGAUAUGUGAUGAUCAUGGUUUAAGCUCAUAUGGGAAAAUAAAGUUUCAUAGUAUGAGAGUGUGGUAUUGAUAUAUAUAUAUAUAUUGGAUUGAGAAAUUGAUUUGAAUUGUGAACAUGAAAGAUUGUGAAUUGAAUAAAAUGGAAAUGGAGCUUUGAAUUACAUGAAUAAGUAUCGGGUCUCGUAGGCCCUAUUUGUUAUGAAUAUAAUAUUUUGAGGAUAUGUUGUAAAGAAUUAUAAAAGCAUGUUAAAAAUUUGAAGAGUUUCAGUUUGAAUGAAAUUUUGUAACUCGGUUUAGUACGUUUACAUGUGUAAGUGUUCUAGUAAUACCUCAUACCCUAUUCCGGAGCUGAAUACGGGUAAGGGGUGUUACAUUAAGGUCCAAUAAAUCUAAGGCUCAACUUGCCCUUGCGACCAAAUUUCAAUAACUUUUUCCACGGCGAGACCUUGAGAAAAAUGAAGUCCCCCUUCGAAUACUCAAUCUCUCGACGCUUUCAGUCAGCGUAGGGCUUCUACCUAUUAGAUGCCGCUUUCAGUCGGUCUUGAAUCAACUUAACUUUAUCAUCGGUAUUAGAAACUAGUUCAGGGCCCAGAACACGCCGCUCGCCCAACUCAGUCCAACAUGCAGGUGUGCGACACCUACGACCAUAUAAAGCCUCGUAAGGUGCUAGACUGAUAGUAGUUGUUAUAAGCAAACUCUGCUAGCGGCAAGUAAUCCUCCCAACUGCCUCGGAAAUCAAUCACGUAACUCCUUAACAUGUCCUCCAGUAUCUAAAUCACCCUCUCUGACUGACCGUCCGUUUAAGGGUGGAACGCAAUACUGAAGUCCAAGAUAUCUUGUACCCAGAGCUUCAUGUAUCUUCUUCUAGAACCUAGAUGUGAAGCGAGGAUCCCUAUCAGAUAUUAUUGAAACCGGUACCCCUUGCAGUCUCACUAUCUCAGACAAAUACAAUUUUGCCAGCUUCUGCAGAGAGUAGUCAGUACAAACCGGUAUGAAGUGGGCGUAUUUGGUCAAUUGAUCCACAAUGACCCAUACCGAAUCCUUCUUAGUGGGUGUGAGGGGUAACCCACUAACGAAAUCCAUAGUUACAAGCUUCCACUUCCAAAGAGGAAUCUUGACUAGUUGCAACAAUCCCGAAAGUAACUUAUGUUCAGCCUUAACCUGCUGGCAUGUCAAACAUUUAGCCACAAAUUCAAUAACCUCUCGUUUAAGACCUGGCGACCAAUAUAACUCACGAAGGUCAUAGUACAUCUUAUUUCCACCUGGUUGCAUAGCAUAAGGGGUACUAUGUGCCUCUCUCAAAAUAAACUGCCUCAAUUUAGUAUCUUUCGGUACACAGAUUUUCCCACGGAAACAGAACACCCCUUUGCUAUUCAAUCCAAAAUCCUCGGUAUUCCAACUCUCAACCUAUCAGAAACGAAGACCCAACGACUCAUCCUCUAUCUAUUUACCCUUAUUCUGUUCUAUCCACGUCGGUUUAACUUGAAAUUCGGCCAACAGACUACCAUCAUCAAAUAAACUGAGGCGAGCAAACAUCAUCCUCAGAUCAGUCAUAGCUCUAUGGCUCAGUGCGUCGGCCACCACAUUAGCCCUAUCAAGGUGGUAUUCAAUAGUACAGUAAUAAUCCUUAAGCAGCUCAGUCCAUCUAAGCUGUCUAAGAUUCAGCUCCUUUUGAGUGAGGAGGUAUUUGAGGCUCUUAUGAUCAGUGUAAAUGAUACACUUCUCACCAUAGAAGUAAUGCCUCUAGAUUUUUAGUGCAAACACCACUGCGGCAAACUCCAAGUCAUGUGUCAGAUAAUUCGCUUCAUGAGUCUUAAGUUGACGAUACGCAUACACUACCAUUUUACCCUUUUGCAUCGGCACACAUCCUAAACCGACAUGUAACGUAUCGCUGUAAACAGUAAUCUCCUUUCCAAACUCUGGCUGUAUCAAAAUAGAGGCCUCAGUCAAUAUAGUCUUGAGCUUCUCAAAGCUCUCUUGCUGCGCAUCAGUCCAGUUAAAUGACACACCCUUGCGUAGCAGCUUAGUCAAAGAUGCUGCAAUUAGUGAGAACCCCUCUACAAAUCAUUGAUAAUACCUUACCAGUCCCAGAAAACUGUGGAUCUCAGGUACAAUCUUAGGGUGCUUCCAAUCCAAAACAGCCUCAAGCUUUCAAGGAUCGACUCUAAUCCCCUCAAUAGAAACCACAUGUCCCAAAAAUGAUACUUCACGUAACCAAAACUCACAUUUACUAAACUUGGCGUACAGUUGUUUUUCUCAAAGAAUUUGUAGAACCACUCUGAGGUGUUCAUCGUGCUCAUCCUAAGUUCUCGAAUACACCAGUAUGUCAUCAAUAAAUACCACCACGAACUGAUCCAGAUAGGGCUAGAACACUCGGUUCAUCAGAUCCAUAAAAGUUGCUGGUGCAUUCGUCAGUCCAAAUGGCAUCACUAUAAACUUGUAAUGAUUGUACCAAGUCCUAAAUGCUGUCUUGUGCACAUCAGUCUCCUCAACCCUCAACUGAUGAUAUCCCGAUCGGAGAUCAAUCUUGGAGAAAAUUAAAGCACCUCAGAACUGAUCAAACAGACCGUCUAUACUUGGUAGGGGGUACUUAUUCUUUAUGGUCAACUUGUUCAAUUACCGGUAAUCAAUACACAUACGCAUGGAUCCAUCCUUUUUUUUCACAAAUAGAACCGGUGCUCCGUAUGGAGACACACUAGGGCGGAUGAACCCACGAUCCAGUAACUCUUGCAUCUGAGCCUUAAGCUCCAUAAGCUCUUUCAGUGCCAUUCUAUAAGGGGCAAUAGACAUCGAAGCUAUACCAGGAAAUGGCUUAAUCCCAAACUCUACUUCACGAUUCGGAGGUAACCCAGGUAGCUCUUCAAGAAAAAUAUCUGAAAACUCCUUAACCGUCCUGAUAUCCUUAACCAAAAAAUCCCUAAAAUCUGAAACACUGAUUUAAGCCAGAUACACCUCACAUCCCUUACGAACCAACAUUUUGGUCCUCAAUGCAGAAAUCACAUUUGAUAAGUAAUUCGACACUCCCCAAUUAUGACUACCUCGAUGUCUUCCGCAGUUCUCAGUACAACCCUUUUUGUGGCACAAUCUAAGCUCACUUGGUGUUUAACCAACUAGUCUAUUCCCAGUAUCAGAUCAAACUCCCCAAAAGGCAGUUCCAUCAGAUCAGCCAAAAACAUAGCUCCUUGAACAUCUAGAGGAACAUCUCUAAACAGUUUGUUAACCCUUAUUGACUGCACCAAUAGACUCAGUAUACUGAUGUAACGCCCCAAAAAUCUAAGUCUUUAAUUUUUGCAUGUUUUGGCACUGAUUGCUUGUUUGCUUUAAUAGCUAAGUGAUUUCAGUGUGUAUGGGAGUGUUUAAGAAGCCUGAGUUCAAGUCUUGGCUUCUGCAGAAUUUUUAGUUUUGCUCUUAAAUGAAUCUAGACAUUGGCAUAUAGGCCUUAUAUAUAAUACUGCUUGUGUUAUAACACAAAAAGAGCUUGUGCUCUAAUGGCAAGGUGGCGUGUUGUGUAACUGUGAGGUCUGAGGUUCAAGUCCUGGGUUGUGCAAUGGAGUAUUUAUUUUGCUGCUUGAGCUGUGUAGGUAAUGGAGUUGGACUGAAAUACAACUAUGGGGAGUUUGAUUUGAAUUUGAAUAGAGUUGUUGGGGGAGUUAAAGAGAAAUUGGUGGAGUGAUUCUAUGAGGGAUAAGGGGAGAGAUUUUAGGAGAAUAUCAAGGAAACUAAGGGGAAAGGGGAAAUGUGCAGAAAAUGAACUUGUUACUCAGGAAAAUUUGGCUAGGGGGCAUGCUGCUCAUUUUUGUUCUACUUUUCAUGCCGGUUUUGUGUGGUUUUCCCUCUCUUUGCUUGUAAGUGCCAAUUUUUUGCUAAGAAUUAAGGUACCUCUCGGGUUUAUUUUCUUUUGGCUGCUCUUCCCUUUUUACCUAUUUUCUUUUUGGCCGAAUACACUCUCCUCCCUCACCUUUCUUUUUCUUCUUUGUUUUCAGUUUCCCUUCUCUUUGAUUGUCAAAUACACCUUUCUUCCCCUUCUGUUCUUUCGAAUCUAUCUCCUCUACCAUUCCUUGUUCUACUGCACUACUGCCGAUUUACUCUUCUGAUCUUUCCCUGCUUUAAUAUUUUCCUUCUUUUUCUAGUUGCUAAAUCUUCCUUUCUUUUGGGUGCCGACUGUGUGUUUCACAUUUCGUAGUUAUUUUCUCUCUCGUGUUUGGUAAGGGUAAUAAUAUAAAGUUACCUUAUUACCUGUUGAUUAAGUGCUUACCCAGUUUCAGUUGGUGCCUAGGAACUUUUCAAAGGGUUGAAGGUUUGUGAUUGCAUUUGGAUUGGCGAACUUCCCUCUUAUCUCAAUCAAAAUUUGUGGUAAGUAACGGUUGUGAUCACUUGUGUUUAUUCGAUGCUUUAACUGUGUAAGUGAUUAAUUUGAGAUUGUUGGUUAAGUGUAGGUUUCCAAAGCAUGGGAGGUUUCUCGGUAAAUAGAAUCCAGGUGUGUGAUCACACCCCUUUAACUGCAAAUCAGCAAAAGCUGAAAGGCCGAAAAGAUAGAGUACGAGGCCAUAUGAGCGUAUGAACGCUCAUGUGGUAAUCUGAGCCCACGAAAUAUGGUGUUGGACUGUAGAGGCCUCAAUGAGCAUUUUCAUAGGCUAAGGCUGUAAUGGGCCACGUUGGGCCAAAAUGGGCUCGUGGGCCCAUUGGGCUCGUAGGCCCUACACGGAUGAAAUCCACAAACUGUGGUGAAAACUAGACUGGGCUAUAUAAUUUUCAUAGUCGUGGCAAAUUUUAGGCUGAGUGGGCCGCACGAACGUGUGGGCCAAUUUGGGCUAAGUAAUGGGCCUUGGGCCCAUAUACACUACUUUGCCCAUUUAGGUUACCUGAGUUGCUCGAGGUGCCUGCAGACCUUUCGUGAGGUCAAUAAAAUAAUCGAAGUACCCCUAUAGGGUAAAAUGAUCGAAAUACCCUUAUAGGGUAAAAUAACCGAAAUACCCCCAUAGGGUAAAAUGAGUGAAAUACCCUGAUAUGGUAAAAUGACUGAAAUAUCCCCAUAAGUUAAAAUAACUGUUAUACCCCUAGGAGAUUAAAUGACUGCUAUGGCCCUAUGUUAUGUAUGACUGAUUUGCUCUAUGAUAUGUAUGACAUUCUGCAUACACGUAUGAUUUAUGGCAUGACAUACUGUAUGGGGUUGGGAUACUGUACUGUAGGAAGUAUACUGUACUGGUGGCUCUGGCACAUAUACUGUUACUGGCAGCUUUGUUACGAUACUGAUACUGGCAGCUUUGCUGCGAUAUUGGUGUGUUGGCUGGGUGGGUCGAUUUUAUCCCCACAUGGUGUGUUGGUGGUACGGAGUGGUGUGUUGGCUGGAUUGGGACAGAUUAUAUUAUUACACUGUUACUGUAUUGGGGUAGGGCCCACACUGUACUGAUACUGAAUAGGGCUCAGGCCUAGACUGUUACUGCAUGUUGUAUACUGUUUGAUUGAUAGGGGAUUACACACUGAGCUUUCGUAAACUCACUUUUUCCUUUUAACUAUACAGGUCAUCCUCAGCCAUAGGUGAUUCGGUGCUGCGAGGGACGCGGAGGUGACCACACAACUACUACUGUUACACUUGCUUUUAUUUAAAUUUAAUUCAUAUGUUGGGUUUUAUUUUUGUAAUAAGGCAUUUAAGUUGUUUAAAUUUUUAAUUGGGUUUUUGCUUACUCACUUUAAACUGUUAGGUUAGGAGAAGACGAAUCUUUUAAAAUAAUUAUUGUUUUCAAAUACACAAGUUUUUAACAAAAAGGAUUUUAAGAGCUUCCACGAUUUUAGAUCAGCUUAUUAUAACAAAAGCAGAAAACAAGGCAAACGUUUUUGCUAGAUGAUUAUUAAAUAAUAAUUAAGAGGUUUUUUUAAAACUUAGAAAUGAAUGUUCUUCCAACAAGUCCAAUUUUCGAAAGGCACUUCAAUGUGAGACGUUAGAUUCAACCAUAACGUCUAGGCCGGGUUUGGGGUGUUACAUUUAGUGGUAUCAGAGCUAGGUUUUAAAACUCAGCUGUGGAAUGGGUUUUUUAAAAUAUUUGAAAAUUCUGGAAGACUAUUUUUGAAUUAUACUAAAACUGAGAGGCUACUAUAGAGAGUAGGAAUGUACUAAAAUUCUUUGGUGUGAGUAAACUGAAACUAUAGGGAGACCUUGUUUUAUGAAAACAAAACUCUGAUUAUUUCUUUUCAUAAGACAUCUGUUAAUAAUUAUUGGAAUUGCUAACUAAUGCAUAAAACUUCUUAAAAUAGAUAAUACAUUAGUCGAUAUGAGCACUAGAGGUGCUCGUGGAAGGCGUACAUGAGGUCGCGGUAGAGGCCGAGGAAGUGCUAGGGUUGGGUUUUCAGCAUCAGGCCACAUGCCUAAUGUUGGGGCUAGAGAGGCACUAGCUUCACCGGUGACCGAGUUGGGAUCUUCCGAUCAAGCGGCUGGGGAUGAUGCAUUAUCUCAAGCUAUGCUCCGUAUUCUGGAAAGGGUUGCAGGGAUCGGUACAGGUGCUGUGGGCUGUGGGUCGAUUUCAGAAUGACUUCGGUACUGGUUGAAUACUGGUUGGAAGCCACAGAGAGAAUAAUAGACGACCUCGAUUGCACUUCUGAGUAAAAGCUAAAAGGGCCAGUGUCUUUACUGUGAGAUGAAGCCUAUCAGUGGUGGCUUACGGUGAGAGAGGGUACUCAGGCCGACCGGUUAACGUAGGAUUUCUUUAAGGUGGCAUUCGAAGGAAAGUAUGUGGGCGCAAGUUAUGUGGACGCCCGAAGAAAAGAAUUUUUAAGUUUGAUCUGAGGGAUUAAAACUGUAGCAAAAUAUGAGGCAGAGUUUCUGCGAUUGAGCCGUUAUGCUCGUGGGAUAGUGGCGACUGAAUAUGAACACUGUGUGAGAUUUAAAGACGGCCUUCGGGAUGAAUUACAAGUUUUGAUAGCUCCGUAGAUUGAGCGAGAUUUUGCUGCCCUAGUUGAAAAGGCUAAAAUUCAAGGGAUGUGAAGUGCUCUGAGCGCCAGAACCAUGAAAAGGAUAGAGGUAGAUAUAAGAGGGAUUUAGAGCCCUCAGGUUUUUCUAGAAGGCGUAAAAAGAAGGCCAGUUUGAUGGGCCAGUCCGAGCUGGGGUUUCUGUUGCAAGACCACAGCCUUGUGCUAAUUGUGGGAGACAUCAUUGGGUGAGUAUUGGAAAAAGAUUGGGGCAUGUUUCAAAUGUAGGUCUAUAGAGGAUCAAGUUAAGAAUUAUCCUUAGAGGCUUGUUCAGAUGCAAGCUGCAGGUCAGAGUUUUGUUCAGCCAGUGAAAGGUGGUUAGCAGUCACCGAGAGGCCAUGGGCAAAUCAGAGGUGGAAAUGGUGUAGGACGAGGUCAUGGAAAGUCGGGCAGAGGUGUUGGUAACAUUGAGGUAAGACAGCCAACACUGGUCUAUACUGCUCGUCGCCGAGAGGAUGGUGACGCUCUAGAUGUUAUAACCAGUACGUUCCUAAUUCAUAAUGCACCUUACACUGCUCUGAUUGAUAUAUGGUGUACGCAUUCAUACAUUGCAUGCACUGUGUCUUGCACCUUGGUUAUCAUGUGUGAGAGUACUGUUAAUUAGAUGAAUGUGUUAAGUCUACUGGGACAAUCAGUAAGGGUAGACAAGUUGUUCAGAGAUGUACCCUUAGAGGUUCAAGGAGUUAUAUUUCUAACGGAUUUGAUGGAGUUACCAUUUGGUGAAUUCGACCUAAUCUUGGUGAUGGAUUGGUUGGUUAGACAUUGUGCAAGUUUGGAUUGUGCUGCUAUGGUGUUAAAGACUAUUAAGGAUGAGGAGGUGGCUCUGAUUGGGGAGCGAAGGGACUUUCUAUCUAUUGUGAUCUCUGCAUUAAGGGCUGAAAAAUUGGUCCACAAGGGUUGUGAGGCAUUUUUAGCCUAUAUUAGUGUAUCUGAUUCUGAGGGUCCUUCUGUUGGAGAUAUUAGAAAUGUUAAAGAUUUUUCUAAUGUAUUUCUUGAUGAGCUCUUUGGGUUGCCUCUGAGCUACGAAGUUGAAUUUGGUAUUGAGCUCCUGUCAGGAACAGCUCCAGUGUCCAUUGCCCCAUAUAGGAUGGCACCGAAGAAGCUAGUGGAAUUGAAAGCUUAAAUCCAAGGACUAUUGUAUCGGGGAUUCAUUCGACCUAGUGUGUCUCCGUAGGGAGCACCAGUGCUGUUCGUCAAGAAGACCGAUGGGAGCAUGCGCAUAUGCAUCGACUAUCGACAAUUGAAUAAAUUGACUAUCAAGAAUAAGUAUCUUUUACCGAGGAUAGAUGAUUUAUUUGAUCAGUUGCAAUGAGCUUCGGUUUUCUCCAAAAUAUAUCUUCGUUCUGGGUACCAUCAGCUGAGUGUUAAGGAGGCUAAUGUGUAUAAGACUGCAUUUAGGACUCGUUAUGGUCAUUACAAGUUCCUAGUGAUGCCGUUUGGCCUGACGAAUGCACCGGCAGCAUUCAUGGACCUGAUGAGCUGAGUAUUCCAGCCCUACUUGGACUGGUUCAUGGUGGUAUUUAUAGACAACAUUUUGGUGUAUUCGAGAAUCAAGGAUAAGCAUGAUGCACAUCUCUGAAUUGUUCUGAAGAUUUUAAGGAAGAAACAACUGUACGCUAAGUUCAGCAAGUGUGAGUUCUGGCUGCGAGAAGUGACAUUUCUGGGUCACGUGGUAUUUGCCGGGGGAAUUAGGGUUGAUCCUCAAAAAAUUGAAGCCGUACUGGAUUGGAAACCACCUAAGACCGUACCUAAAAUUUAAAGUUUUCUUGGUCUGGCAGGGUAUUACAGACGUUUUGUUGAGGGGUUUUCCUUGAUUGCUGCACCUUUGACUAAGUUGCGGUGUAAAGGGGUACCGUUUAAUUGGACUAAUAAGCAACAAGAAAGUUUUGAGAAAUUGAAGAAAGUUCUGACUACAGUCUAGGAGGGAAUUCACUGUCUACAGUGAUGCAUCACACAUGGGUUUGGAUUGUGUGCUGAUGCAGGAGGGUAAAGUGGUUGCUUAUGCGUCUCGUCAGCUUAAGCCUCAUGAGGUGAAUUACCCUACUCAUGACUUGGAGUUAGCACGGUGGUAUUCGCACUGAAAAUUUAGAGGCACUAUUUAUACGGUGAGAAGUGUACUAUCUACACAGAUAACAAGAGUUUCAAGUACCUCGAUUGAGUACCAUCCUAGUAAGGCUAACGUGGUAGCUGACGCACUGAGCCGUAGGGCUGUAUCUAAUUUAAGAGCGAUGUUUGGUCGUAUCAGCUUGUUUGAUGAUGGUAGCUUGUUGGCUGAGCUGCAAGUUAGACCAACGUGGACUGAACAAAUUAGGAGUAAACAGUUGUUGGAUGGGUCACUGGUCCCUCGUUUCCGACAGGUUGAGAAUGGAGAAACUUUAGAUUUUGGGUCAAAUAGUGAAAGAGUACUGUGUUUCCGUGUGAGACUUUGUGUAUCGAGGGAUAAUGAUUUGAGGCAGCCUAUACUGCGAGAGGCGCAUAGUGGUCCUUUUGCUAUACAUCUCGGUGGGAAUAAAAUGUACCGUGACCUUCGGGAGUUAUAUUGGUGGCCUGGUCUUAAGCGUGAAGUUACUGAUUUUGUAAAUAAGUGAUUGUCUUGCCAACAAGUGAAGGCUGAACAUCAGUUACCUUCAGGGUUACUACAGCCAUUUAAGAUUCCACUUUGGAAGUUGGAGAUGGUAACCAUGGAUUUUGUGAGUAGGCUGCCCUUAACACCUUCUAAGAAGGACUCGGUAUGGGUUAUUGUAGAUCGAUUGACUAAAUCUGCCCAUUUCAUACCAGUCCGUACUGAUUACUCUUUGAAGAAGUUGCCUAAACAGUAUGUGGCUGAGGUAGUAAGGCUGCAUGGGGUACCCAUUUCCAUCAUUUCAGAUAGAGAUCCUCGAUUAACGUCUCAAUUCUGGAAGAAAUGACACGAAGCCUUGGGUACUAGGUUGGACUUCAGUACUGCGUUCCAUCCUCAGACAGAUGGUUAGUCAGAGAAGGUCAUUCAAAUACUGGAAGGCGUGUUAAGAAGUUGUGUAAUGGAUUUUCGAGGUAGCUGGGAAGACUUUUUACCCCUAGCAGAGUUCGCGUAUAAUAAUAGCUACCAAUCCAGUAUUCAAAUGGCACCGUACGAAGCGUUAUAUGGUUGUAGGUGUCGUACUCCUACCUGCUGGACUGAGUUGGGCCAGCGGCGAGUUCUGGGGCUAGAGAUAGUUUUUGAUACCGAAGAGAAGGUAAAACUGAUUCGAGACCGAUUGAAGGAAGCAUUUGAUAGGCAGAAGUCUUACGCGGAUCUUAAACGCCGAGAGAUUGAGUAUUCUGUGGGGGAUUUCGUAUUUCUCAAGGUCUCCCCAUGGAAAAAAUGCUGAGGUUUGGACGGAAGGGUAAGCUUAGCCCUAUGUUCAUUGGGCCUUACCGUAUACUAAAGCAUGUGGGACUGGUCGCAUAUCAACUUGAGUUUCCUUCAGAAUUAGACCGGAUUCAUGAUGUGUUCCACGUCUCUUUGCUGAGGCGUUAUCGCUCUGGUCCCACACACAUUGUACCAGUCGAGGAGAUCGAGGUUAGGAUAGAUCUGACCUUCGAGGAGGAGCCAGUAUAGAUAUUGGACCUUGAGGUUAAGGUACUGAGGAAGAAAUCUAUUCCAUUAGUUAAAGUGCUCUAGCGUAAUCACAGUUCAAAAGAGGCCACAUGGGAACCCAAAGAGGUGAUGCGACAACAGUACCCUCAUCUUUUCUGACCAAGUAACUUUUGAGGCCGAAAUUUCAUUAAGGGGGUAGAUUUGUAACGCCUCAAAAAUCUAAUUCUUUUAAUUUUUGCAUGUUUUGGCUCUGAUUGCUUGUUUGCUUUAAUUGCUAAGUGAUUUGGGUGUGUAUGGGAGUGUUUGAGAAGCCUAGGUCUUGGCUUCUUCAAAAUUUUUAGUUUUGCUCUUAAAUGAAUCUGGACACUGGCAGAUAAGCCUUAUAUAUAAUAGUGCUUGUGUUAUACCACAAAAUGAUUUUAUGGUCUAGUGACAAGAUGGCGUGUUGUGUAACGAUGAGCUCUAAGGUUCAAGUCCUGGGUUGCCCAAUGGAGUAUUUAUUUUGCUGCUUGAGCUGUGUAGGUAGUGGAGUUGGACUGAAAUACAGCUCUAGGGAGUUUGAUUUGAAUUUGAAUAGAGUUGUUGGGGGAGUUAAGGAGAAAUCGGUGGAGUGAUUCUAGGCGGGAUAAGGGGAGAGAUUUUAGGAGAAUAUCAAGGAAACUGAGGGGAGAGGGGAAAUGUGCCGAAAAUGAACUUGUUACUUUAGAAAAUUCGAUUAGGCAGCAUGCUGCCCAUUUUUGUUUUACUUUUGAUGCCAGUUUUGUGUGGUUUUCCCUCUCUUUUCUUGUAAGUGCCGAAUUUUUGCUAAGAAUUGAGGUACCUCUCGGGUUUGUUUUCUUUUGGCUGCUCUUCCCUUUUUACCUAUUUUUUUGGCCGAAUACACUCUCCUCCCCACCCUUUCUUUUUCUUCUUUCUUUUCGGUUUCCCUUCUCUUUGAUUGUCGAAUACACUUUUCUUCCCUUUCUGUUCUUUUGAAUCUAUCUCCUCCACCAUUCGUUGUUCUGCUGCACUGCUGUCGAUUUACUCUUCUGAUUUUUCCUUGCUUUCAUAUUUUUUUUCUAGUUGCCGAAUCUUCCUUUCUUUUGGGGGCCGACUGUGUGUUUCGUAUUUUGUAAUUUGUUUCUCUCUCGCAUUUGGUAAGGGUAACAAUAUAGAGUUACCUUAUUACCUGUUGAUUAAGUGCUUAUCCAGUUUCGGUUGGUGCCUAGGAACUUUUCAAAGGGUUGAAGGUUUGUGAUUACAUUUGGAUAGGCGAACUUCCCUCUUAUCUCAAUCAAAAGUUGUGGUAAGUAACGAUUGUGAUCACUUGUGUUUAUUCGAUCCUUUAACUGUGUAAGUGAUUAAGUCGAGAGUGUUGGUUAAGUGUAGGUUUCCAAUGCGUGGGAGGUUUCUCGGCAAAUAGAAUCCAGGUGUGUGAUCACACCCCUUUAAUUGCAAAUUGACAAAAGUUGAAAAGCCAAAAAGACGGCGUACGAGGCCAUAUGAGCGUACGAAUGCUCUUGUGGUAAUCCAAGCCCACAAAACAUAGUGUUGGACUAUAGAGGCCUCCAUGAGCAUUUUCAUGGGCUUAGGCCGUAAUGGGCCACGUUGGGUCGAAAUGGGCCGUGUGGGCCCAUUGGGAUCGUGGGCCCUACACGAAUGAAAUCCAUGAACUGUGGAGAAUACUGGACUGGGCUAUAUAGUUCUCAUAGCCGUGGCGAAUUCUGGGCCGAGUGGGUCGCACGAAUGUAUGGGCCCACUUGGGCCGAGUAAUAAGCCGCGGACCCAUAUACACUACUUUGCCAAUUCAGGUUACCUGAGUUGCUCGAGGUGACUGCGGACAUUUCGUGAGGUUAAUAAAAUGACUGAAAUACCCCUAUAGGGCAAAAUGAUUGAAAUACCCUCAUAGGGUAAAAUGAUUGUUAUACCCCUAUGAGAUUAAAUGACUAUUAUGGCCCUAUGUUAUGUAUGACUGAUUUGCUCUAUGAUAUGUAUGACUUUCUGCAUACACGUAUGAUUUAUGACAUGAUAUAUUGCAUGGGGUUGGGAUACUGUAUUGGAGGAAGUAUUCUGUACUGGUGGCUCUGCCACAUAUACUAUUACUGGCAGCUUUGCUGCGAUACUGAUACUGGUAGCUUUGCUGCGAUAUUAGUGUGUUGGCUGGGUGGGUCGUUUUUAUCCCCACAUGGUGUGUUGGUGGUAGGGAGUGAUGUGUUGGCUGGAUUGAGACAGAUUGCAUUAUUACACUGUUACUGUAUUGGGCUAAGGCCCACACUGUACUGAUACUGAAUAGGGCUCAGGCCCAGACUGUUACUGCAUGUUGUAUACUGUUUGAUUGAUAAGGGAUUACACACUGAGUUUUCGUAAACUCACUUUUUUCUUUUAACUGUACAGGUAAUCCUCAGCCAUAGGCGAUUCGGUGCUGUGAGGGACUCGGAGGUGGCCACACAACUACUGCUGUUACACUUGCUUUUAUUUAAAUUUAAUUUAUAUGUUGGGUUUUGUUUUUGUAAUAAGGCCUUUAAGUUGUUUAAAUUUUUAAUUGGGAUUUUGCUUACUCACUUUAAACUGCUAGUUUAGGAGAAGACGAAUCUUUUAAAAUAAUUAUUGUUUUCAAAUACACGAGUUUUUAGUAAAAAGGGUUUUAAAAGCUUCCGCGAUUUUAGAUCAGCUUGUUAUAACAAAAGCAGACAACAAGGCAAACAUUUUUGCUAGAUGAUUGUUAAAUAAUAAUUAAGAGGUUUUUUUUAACUUAGAAACGAAUGUUCUUCCAACAAGUCCAAUUUUCGAAAGACACUUCAAUGUGUCACGCCAGAUUCGACCAUAACGUCUAGGCUGGGUUUGGGGUGUUAUAAGUGGCCUCACUCGUAGUGCUCUUAACCAGUAUACCCAAGUUUUUAGAUACAAUACAGGCUAUAUAGGAGUGAGUGGAUCCUAUAUCUAUCAGUGUAGUAUAUGGUACAUUAUAAAUAAAUAACGUACCCGUAAUGAUGUCCAGAGCAUCUCUAUUCUCUCGGCGACGAGCAGCAUAAACUAGAGCCGGCUACCUCACCUCAGUAUGUCCAGCACCUUUGGCCGGUGCUCUCUAACCACGGCCCAAACCAUUACCACCUUUGCCCUGACCCUGGCCUCUCGGUGCUUGAUAAACUACACUUGGUGGCAGUACAAUAUUAUCACCCGAAGCUUGCAUCUGAUCGGACCACCGUGGACACUCUCUAAUAUGGUGCUCUAGACAACCGUACCUUAAACAUGCCCUAGUUCUAUUCCAACACUCGCCCUGAUGGCACCUAUCACAGUCAGUACACAGCGGCUGUCCAGUAGCAGCAAUGGGAGCCCCAACUCUGAUCGGCCCAUCAACUCUGGCCUUUUUCUUAGGCCUCUGAACGGAACUCGAGGGCUCCGAAUCCCUCUUAUUCCUACCUCUCUCUCUGUCACGAUUCUGGCGCUCAGUGCGCUUCACUUCCUCGGUGAUCUUUGUCUUGUCAACUAGUGCAGUAAAAUCUCGCUCCCUCUAUGGAGCUAUCAAAACCCUCAGAUUAUCCCUAAGGCCAUCCUCAAAGCGAACACAUCGCUCGUACUCCAUCUCCACCAUACCACAUGCAUAACGGUUUAGUCGUAAAAACUCGGCCUCAUACCCGACCACUAAUCUGUCCCCCUGAGUCAAAUUCAAGAACUCUCUUCUACGGGCAUCCACAUAGCUGGCCCCCACAUAUUUCCCCUGACAAGCAGUCCUAAAGAACUCCCAGGUCAAUCGAUCGGGCUAAGUGCCCUCCUUAACUAUGAACCACCAUUGAUAUGCCUCAUCUCGUACAAACGAUACAACACCCUUUAAUUUUUGCUCAGGUGGGCAGUCCAGGUUGUCCAUAAUUCUCUCUGUGGCCUCUAUCCAGUACUCAGCCACAUUAGGGGCAACUUCAGCAAUACCCCUGAAAAGCUCAGCUCCAUUAGAUUGGAGUAGUUCCGUAACCGACCUGUGGCCACUAGCUCCAGUAUUAAGCCCACAGACCCUCUCUAGAAUCCUUAACAUGUCUUGGAACAAUGCAUCGUGUUAGAGUAUGCCCAAAGAUCAAUCAUGAGAUGGUUGUAAUAAUAUACUUAAUUUAUCAUGUUUAUUAAUAUAAGGCGUUACCAUUAUUAUUUCAGUUUCUUUUCUGUGUGCGUAAAUAAAAUGUUUUAUAGAAAUGUCCUGAGAAUAAUAUGAUUAUUCUUAAAAGGUCCUUAGUCAAGUAUUAUUGUUGGCUAGGAUAACAAUAAUGCAUUAAGACUAACAUGUAGUUGAUUGAUGAUAAAUAGUUGUCAUUGAUAUGGAAUGUUAAGAUCGAUGCAUGAAUAUGUGUGUUAGAGAACAACAUAUUGGACUGACCCGUUAUGAGUAUGUUUCUUGGAUUAUUAUGUAAUUGUCACAACAUUACUCAUAGUGAUUAAUAUGUAUAUGAUCCUCAGACUUGAGAUCAUUAUAAUCCCAACAUCGUGAGUUGUGUAUUUUGAUACAGUCAAAUGUACACCGUAACUGGUUGUUCUAUAAAGGCUAAUGUUGGAUAUACCAUAAUCUGUGUAGAGGGAUAUGGUUGAUCGAUAUAGGAUAAAUCCCUCCUACAUAAUGGGAGUAAUAUCUUAGGCCACUUGAUUGAGUGAGACUAGAAAUGCAUGGUCAUGUUCAAAUAAGCUGAUAUGAGAUGUCAUACUUAUUUGUAUAUCAUAGUCUACUUAAGAUAUCAAGGAACAUGGAAUGGACUAUGCAAGUGUAACUAUUCCAUGACUUGUGUCCAAUCUAGAGAUAAAAGACUUAAGGAUUAUUGCAUGAAAGGUUAAUCAUAAAAGGUUAUGUCAAAUCACAUUUUCUUGUGACUUAGGUAGCAAUGAUGCAUUGCUAGGUGCCAUUCAUUCUUUGUAAAAUUGGAAUCGUUCUAGUAUAACUGCUAACGUUACAAGAACCUACAGGGUCACACACUAUAGUUGAAAUGAACGGAAUAAAACAUAGUUGGUAUUGUGUUUGGUUAUCGCUUGGAUUAAAUUAAUUAUAGAAUUAAUUUAAUUGGGUAAUCAAAUACCGAACACAUUAUAUGUACAAGGUUGUUGUACGCAUAAUGAACAUGAAUUUGGUUAGUAUAUAAAUUCAAAUAAAUAUAUAGUUUACCGAAAUCAUUAUUAUAAUUAAUGUAAUUAUAAUUUUUGGUUUAAAAACGUUGAUAUUUUUAUUUAAUUUAAAAAAACCCUAAAAAAGGGAUAUAAAAUCCCGUUUUUCUUUGCUUGGUGGGUCUAGUAGCCGUCAAAGCAAAAUCUUCUUAAAAACAGUUUUUGAGAUUCUUUCCGUUUAUUGCCAACAAGGUGGAUUACGUAGAGCCGAGGGUCACGAUAGAUUGCGGCUAGAUUCGAUACCAGAUCAGAUUACUCAUUGUCGAGGCAUCGCUGUCUACUCAGAUUCAACAUUCGGUAAUUUCGAAACCUUUUUUCACCCCGAUUCGUUCCUCACACAUGGAUCCAUGGUUAGGAUCGCCAGAUGUUUUAUUUUUUCGCUGCACCGUAGGGGUGCCAGCGUUCCAACACGUUGUCCCCAGCUGCACGAUCAUGAGACCCAUUUUCGGUCAUGGGUGAAGUCGGUGUCUCACUUGUAUCCAAAUUAGGCAAGUUGCCAAAAAAUGAGGACCCAGCUCGAGCACCUCUACGGCCUCUACCACGGCUUUUUGUAUCCCGUCCGCAAGUACCUCUUGUGCUCAUUGCCUAUUUGUAUUAUUCUGUAUUAACAGUUUUAUGCAUCGUUUACAAUUUCAAUAUUUGUUAACAGAUAUCUUAUGAGAGGCAGUAUUAAAAGCGUAAAGUUUGUUUUUGCCCAACACAGUGUCUAUCAGUGUCUAUCGAUUUUACUACAAUAUUAGUAUACACUAACUUGAAUGUUUUCCGUACAAUCUACCUAUAGUAGUCUCAGUUUGUACUAUCUAUAGUGGUUUCAGUAUCAAAUUAGUUUCAGUUUAAAACACAUAAAGGCUUCAGAGAACUUACAAGAUCAGCGUCGGAGACUCAGCGUACCACACAUUCAGUAAAAAUGUUUCAAAUCAUUUAGAAAUCAGUGCUUUAAAAACCAAGUUUUAAAAACCCAAAUCCACAGCCGAAUUUUGCAACUAGGCUCUAAGACCACUAAAUGUAACACUCCAAACCCGGCCUAGACGUUAUGGCUGAAUCUGGUGAUGUCACGUGAUAGUGUGUUUGAAAGCUGAUGCUCGUGUUGAAAAAUCGUAACUUUGCUUAAAACAUUUUCUGUUUAGAUCUCGUCGGUAUCUUUUAUUAAUCCUAAAAUAGUGAUUUUUAUUCAGUCGUUAGUUUGCAAAAUAUUAUACGUUGCGGAAGCUUUUUAAAACAGUUUGUGUCAUUGUGGGUAUUUUGCUAAAACACAUGCAUUUCUUUUAAAAACUCGUGUUUUAUCUACCUCUACCUGAUAUAAAACAUAAAGCAGUAUAAAAUCCAAAUUUUAAGCAAAAACUCAUAGCAGCCAUUAUUACAAAAAUAUACCCCAAAUAAAGCUUUAAAAAAAUAAACCUAAUCAAAUACAAAAUAGUAAAAAGGAGCCGUAUGGCCACAGCUGAGUCUUCCGCUGCUCUGAUUCGCCUAAGUCUGGGGAUUACCUGAACAGAUGAAUCAGAAGGGUGAGUUUUCGAAAACUCAGUGUGUAAUCCCCACAUAAACAAGCAGACAAUAUGCAAUCAUAGUCCGAGCCUAGGCCCAUUUCGGUAACAGUUUCAGUUAGGGCCUUAGCCCAUUACAAUACAGAAGCAGUCAUGCAUUUGGGCCUUGGCCCAUUACAGUAUCAAUACUCAGUACAGUAACAGAUAUUUAGUAUCAAAUCCUACCCAGCCAGCCUCUACACUCCAACUCUGUCCAACCCUACACUCCAUGUGGGGAUAAAAUCAACCUACCCAUACCUACACUACAAGUAGCACUGAAUGCGGCACUAGACAGUAGUUUGCAACUGAGCUGCCAGUAAUUUAGGCUCGUGGCCUUUCAGUACACUUCUUCCGAACAAUAUAACCCCACCCCAAUACAAUGCAAUAUACAUAUAUGACAUGCUAAAACAUAAUAUCAUGCAUAAAAUCAGGGCAUACAGUAUCAAAUUAGUGGGACAUCAUCAUGCUUAAUAACAUGCAUAAUCAUAUCAGUCAUACAGUCAUUUCAGUCAAUUAGGGGUCUAGGUAAGCUUACCGACCCUACAGUAGGUCCACAGUCGACUCGGGCGACCUAUGCAACCUUAGCAGUCAAACAGUGAAAAUGGACUCACGACCCAUGUUGCAUGCCCAUGUGGGCCCACAUGGCCCAAAAUGGUCUUGGUCGUGUGGAUCUCACGGCCUGGCCCAAAAUUCCCACACACCCGUGUGGUUUAAUCUGUGGGGCCCACGCGCCCAUGUGGCCCACACGGCUCAAUUCGGUCGGGCCCAUGAAUAGCACAUGGCCAGCCUCGUCGAUCACACGCCCAUGCUUGAUCACACGAGCAGCUGCAUGGCCAUAUGGCAUCGACAAUCAUAUUUUUUAGCUUUUUGCCGAUUCCCAUUUUCAGAGUUGUGUUUACACACCUGGUUACGAAAUAUGCGCACACAGUCCUCGACCACUCAAAAUCUACGUUCAACCACAACCACUCGAUUAAUCGCAUAACAAUCGUAUUUAUUUAACUCGAAAUAAACCUUUUCUGAGCGACAAGCUAUUACCUUCUAUCAAUGAAUCGAAACUCCCCCACACUAAGGCUUCGACAGGAGAAUACGCGCCUUUUAGUCCUCCCCUAAUAGGUAGAAACGAAACAUAUCAGAGAAGAGUUACUAAAAGAAAAUGAACCGCUUAACCAAAAACUUACCGAACGAACGAACUAAGUUGCACAACAGAGAAAAAUGACACGCACACCGGAGCAAAAUAGGAGAAAUAAGGGAAAACCCAAGAAAAAUUCGACAAUAACAAUGGAGUUUCGGCUGGAAGCAAACAAAAAGAUAAACAACAAAAAGAAUGAAUAGGGGAAACACUAGAAGAAGUUCCGGUAGAGAGGGGAAAUGAGUAGCUGUCAGAAAACUUGAGGAAUUAGGGAGAGGGUGCCAAAAUUGUGGAAAAAAAAAGAAUAGAGGUAACAAUUAGAUUUUGGAUAAAAUCCCCCCAAUCCUUUAAAUUUCUCCCAUAUCCCUAACUUCCCUCCUAAAAACAGCCCAACACACUCCCACUAACCCUCAAUUCCCCCCAAAACGUCCACCCUAAUCUCCUCAACAAUCAAAUUCAAAUCUCACUCCAACUUUACAGAAUUUCGGUCAAACUACAGCACCCACGUGGUACAAGCAGUAAAAAUAAAUCUCAUGAUUGCACAAGUACUCGAACUCCAAACCUCUUGCUCAUUAUCCCUCCACUUAACCGCCAGACUAGCAGACCCUUUCUGACAUAUUUUUACUAACUUUUAACUAUAAGCCUACUGAACAAAAGCAAUGCUUUAUUUAAUUAAAACAAAGAUUUAGCUCAAGACAAGGCUUGAACCCAAGACUUCUCAAACACUCCCAGAACACAUAACCACCAAAACAGACAGAUAAUUUGUGUUACAAAAACACAAAUAAAUAUAAGAGAAUUUUGGGGCAUUACAAAUAGUGUCGACAUAAUUUACUCAUUAGUAGAAGAAACUUUUGAGUCAUCUUAUGGAGAUAAACUUGAAACAUUGUUUGAUGAUAAUUUUGAUUCAGGAUCUAUUUGCGAACCUAUUAAUGAAUUAUUAGGUCCUAAGAACAUUAAACUUCUACCUUCUAUUGUGCAGGCACCAGAUCUGAAAUUAAAACAACUUCCCAAGCAUCUCAAGUGCGCAUUUUUAGAGAAUGAUGAGACAAUUGCCAACUUAAAAGGGAUUAGCCCCUUGACAUGCACACAUAGGAUUUUCUUGGAGGAAAAUACGAAACCAAAGUAAGAGGUGCAAACAUGGUUGAACCCAAAUAUGUUGGAUGUGGUAAAAUAGGAGAAUUUCCAAGCCCAUACUAUCGAAAGAAUUCAGCUGGAACAUCCCCAAUACUAGUUGGGGUGUCAAGCUAACAACGUUAAACAAGCGCUUGUUGGGAGGCAACCCAAAUAUAUUUUUAUUUUUAUUUUAUUUUAUUGCAUGUUAGUACAUUUUAUUCUCUUUUCUUAUAUCUAGGAAAAUCGAGGAGAAGAAAAAUUAAAAUUGAAACAACAUCUUGAAGGAAUGGGUAUGUUUUAGCAAAACUUCAUAUUCUACCCUAGUCUAGGUAGGAAUAGCGUAUCCCUACUUUAAACUCACCCAAACCUAUGCCCAAACACCCACCCACACUUUCAAACCCUAAUUUUUCACCCAUAUUCACCCAAAACUCCCUCAAGCUACCCUUAGUCCUCUCUCUCACCCCCACCGACAAUUUUCGAACCACCAUGGUUAGGACUACGAGUUGCAUCGCAGUCGAACCCUCCUUCACCGUUAACAAUCAUUGGUGUCAGUUCUUGGCACCCCAACACGUCAACCUUGGCAACACCGAACCUUUCCCUCCUUGCAGCUAUGCGUGAACGACAGUGACUACAUGGAGAGUUUUUCUAAACCCUUUUACUUUCACCUUUUUUUUUCUUCUUCUUUUUCCUUUUUCUUUCAUAUCGAGGACAAUAUGUUUUAAGUAGAGGGGAGGCAUUCCUCAUUAUUUUUGUCAUUUUAUCUACUGCUUUUACUAUUGUGUUACUGUUGUUGCUACCUUGUGCUUGUUUCUACCCAUAUUUUUUUUAGAAUAUUCUGCCUUUUUUCAUGCCCAAUAUUUUAACUAAGAAUUACCUACUGUUUGACCUACGAGCAUGAUUCUUGUCUACUGAGUUAGUUAUGAUUUUGCUAGUUUGAUUUCAUCUCCACUAUUUUAUUUCAAUCAAGCUAAAAUGAUUGUGAUUAAUAAAGUUAGCCCUAUCUUGCUUAUAGUAAAGUCGAUUAAGUUUAAUGCAAAGAGGACACUUAAUACAAUUGUAUGCUAAAUUUAUUUUCAUGACUGUUAGGUAGCUGCCGAAACUUAUUUUUGGCAUUUGAUUGUUUUUUUCCUAGUCCUCCAAAAUUAAAAUUCUAUUUCAUGAUAAUAAUAAAUUUUGAUGCCUCCGUAGUUAUGAACACAGCUUAAAACGUGACUGACUGAGUAACCGAGGUAGGGUACUUUGGUUUUCACCCUACUUCACGUCAAUAGGUUGUGUGAUGUGUUAGGUAAAACUCCGCUAACCGGAAUUAAACAAAAAAUUUUAAGAAUGUGUUGGGCUGAGUAACCUGGGUGGGGUGCUUGGAUGUCAUCUCUCUUCACGUCAAAAGGUUCAAUAUAUUCUUAAGAAAAGAAAAACAUAUAUAAUUAUAAUAAAUUAGGAGUAUGUUGGGCUGAGUAACCGGGGUGGGGUGCUUGGUUGUCAUCUCUCUUCGCGUCAACAGGUUCAAAUUAUUUUUAAGAAAAGAAAAACAAAAAAAGAAGGAAAAACAAGUAAAAAAUAAUAAUAAAGAAUUGUAUUUGGGGACUAAGGGUGGAAGCAAAUAGGGUGUCUUGGUAAGUUUAGUAAAUUACCUAAUUUUCAAGAAAUAAUCCAAGAUGAUUUAAUUUUUGUGUGUUUAACUUGGGAUACUUUUUCAAGUUUUAAUUAACGGAAACUAAAUAUUCUCUUUAUUUUUCAUAUGCAUUAUGCCUAAUUUUUAUAAAAAUUUGGAGUGAUACUUCUUUUACAAAAAAAAUCUAAAUUACACAGUGGAUAGGAACCAUACUUGAGGGCAAGCAUGGGCUAAGUAGGGGGAAUAUGAUACUACUCUAAAAUGACAUACUUUUAUGUGUUAAUUGCAUAUAUAUUUUGAGUAUGAUUCUACUAAAUUGUGUUUUUUAUGGUUUUUUAUCUUGUAGGGGCCAAAUUGAAGGCAAAAGGAAAUUUGGGGGCAAAAGCAUGAAUUUAAAGAUAAAAUGGGCCAGCAUGCUAAGUAGAAAAGAAGUGGUGCCAAAAAUACAAAGUGUGAAAGACUUGGGGGCAAAAAUUCAAAGAAGAGAUUUAUAAACAAUAAGACUCUAUUUAAAUUUGAAUUUUAUUAGGAUUAUUAUUAGGAUUAUUAUUUAGAUUUAAUUUCAGCUUUUAUAUUUAUUUAUCUUUUAGAGUUUUAAUAGGAACAAGUUAGGUUUUCUGUGUACUAUAAAGAGGGGAUGGAGCGAAAAAAAGAGGUACUCAUCUUUUUUGUAAAAAAUUCCCUCUACCUAAAGCUCUUAGUUUUUGCUCCUUUUAUUAUUCAAUAAAAUUCCAUUUGAUUACACUUAUUUCUUUUUUCCCAAAAAGCAUGAACCACUAAACUCAUCUAGCCAAAGGUUGUCGAGAUUUCUCAAAAAAAGGUUCUUGAGGCUUAAAAUCUGCACUUAGCCUUCUGAACGAGUAUUCAUCAUUUCUCCGCAUUACAAGACUGACGCUUUCGUUCAUGUCCUUCCAAAAGUGAUCUUUUCAUCUUGUGCAAAGGUAGCCGCUUUGUAUGUUUUGGGAAGUUGCACAGUCAGUUUGUUAGCUUACUGCAUCAAUGGUUGUCGAGCCCAAGAGACAAGAUGACAUGGCAUUUGCCAUUGAGAAGUGAUGAUCUAGUAUAAGACGGUACCACAAAAGUGACUGUUGGCUAGAGUUAGGUUCCUCUAAAUCGUAAGGUCAAAAUCUAAGUGGAGCUGGUUGUCGUAGGUGUCCUCUUCCACUAUAAUUGGCUUAUUUUGUCAUGAGAAGGAUCGCCUGAAAGCCUAAGAUUGAACCCAAGAGGAUCGAGACAACCGAAGGCUGGAAUCUCUCAAUCAAAGAAUCUCUUUUCUCAAUUUUAUUUCUUUUUACAAUUUCGAUUUCAAUUUAUACAAUUUCAACCCCUCCAUAUUUUUAAUUCUUUUGUUGUUUCUUUUUCCGGGUACGCCGCUUUUUCUUGGGCAUAACUGUGCUCGAGAUCUCGAGGAACAAAAAGUUGUGCAAAUCCAGUCCUUAAGGAUUUGACCCUACUUUCCUUGGUAAAGUAACAAUUAAUAUAUGUCUUAUAUUAAUAACUUUGUAAGAAUUAUAUAAAGCUUUCACCAAAAUGUUUUAAAGUUAGUUUGAUUUUAAAUAGUGACACACCAUACUCGGAUCUUAUUAUAAGGUCGGGUUUAGCCUAUUACAUAACAAUGAAACAAUCUAUUACUUGGGCUAGAUUUAAUUACCUUCCUUAACUAGAAUUUCAUAAAAAUAUCGCAUGAAAAACUCACCAUUUUCUUCUAAUUAGAGCUGGAAAUGGAAGGAGCUUAAAAUUCUUUUCUUCCUUUUCUCCUAUGAAUGGAUGGUGAUGGAAGAUGAUAAUAUUGGUUCUUAGUUUUGUCUCUUUCUUUCCACCAUCUUUUAUCAAUUAACUUAAUUACUUUAAUUAAGUUUUUUUAAUCAAUGGUCCUUAUUAAUUCUUACUAACUUAGUGACUACUAAUGGCUUAGAUCAUUUCAAGCCAUUAUCUUAUUUUAAACACGGUUUAAUUACCUACAAGGACAUGGAAUAAUCACCAAACAAUGACAUGUACAAAACAUCAAUUAACUCCUUUAAUAUACUCACUUUAUAAAUUAGUCCUUGUAUUAUUUAUACAACAACUUAAUUCAUUUAAUUACUACUCGAUUGUAUUCUUAAUAUCACAUACGACUUACCACCUUCUUGAUUUUAAAUUUUAAAUUACUAGGUUUUUAGGAAUUCAACCUCGAACCAUGUUUUUCUAACACCAACGAAAAUUGGAUCAUUACAAUACUCCCCUUCUUUAAAAAAUUUAAUCUGUAAAAUUUAUCUGAAAAGAGGUAGGAUAUUGCAACUACAAUGUUUCCUUAGGUUCCUAGGUAACCUCUUCGACGUUGUAGCUAUGCCAAAGUAACUUGACUAAUGAUACUUGUAAUACCUCAAUUUUACCCGGUCCAAUAAAAGCAAAAAAAUAGAUAAAAUAAUAAAAUAAAAACAGUCCAUAGUGUUUGAUUACAAACGGGCUACAAGGCCCAAACCAAAACAAAGUUGUGGCCCAAAUACAGUGGCCCAAGACAGAGGAUGAAACCCUAGGGUUUCAAAUUUUCAACAGUGCCGCAACUGAGCCUCUGAAUCUUUACCGAUCGUCACCUGCAAGGAAACAAAACAAUAAAGGAAAUAAUCAAAGAUUUGUAAUCAAACAAUAUUUGUUUCUUGAUUUAUCUUAUUCAUUCGGCUAUAAAAUAAAGCCAUAAGCAUACUGUAAGGGAUUCGAUUUCAAAAUCAGAAAUAAAAAAGGCUCUAUAUUUCCAAAUACCAGCAGAGAAACAAAGGAAUCAAAGGUUGUUAUUUAUAUUUUUAUUGUCGUAUUUUUUUAUGCAUUUAUAUACAUACAAUUAAAAUAAAUAGAAAAGGAGGGAAAAAACCUGUUUACGAGCCCUAACCUCUACGGAUGGCCGAGGAAGUCAUCACCGAGGAAUGACGACCAGAAGCCGAAAGGUUUCUCUGCUUUUAGGGCCCCUUUUGUUAAUAUCUUGCGAGUUUUGAGCCCAGAUUUGGGCAAAGGGAGUCAAGGAGGUUAAAAGGAGGAUUUUUUCCUUUUCCUACCACCGCAUACAGUGGUGCCAGCGCCGGAGAGCGAUGGCCGGCGCGGUGGCCGGUGAUCGUCCGAUGACCGGCCCAUGGCCGGAGGAUAGAAAGGUUGAGAGAGUUUUUUAAAAGGUUUUUUUUUGUUUUUUUUUUAAAAAUGUUUUGAAAUGAAAAUUUUGUUUUAUUUUUGGCUUAAAUAGCGAAUUGAAAACGGCGCCGUUUUGAGGGGAGGAUCCGCGCGUCGACCCGACCCGGACCCAGGAUACGCGUGUUUUUAUGCGGAGGAGAAAAUUGCGCUUUUAGCCUCUCCGCCUUUUUAAUGUUUUACAAUUAGGUUUGUUUAAUUUUUUUUUGUUUUUUUUAAAUUUAGCCCUUUAAUUCGUUUCCGAUUUCAAUUUAGCCCUCGCUUGAAAGACACCGUUUUGGGGAGAAGGGUAAAUUGCCCUUCCAGCCCCUCUGAGUUAUCAACAUGUUCAAUAGGAUCUUUCAAUUUCUAUUUAUUUACAGAUUUGCCUCAAAAUUUUAUUUACAGUUCAAAUUAGUUUUUUUUCAUUUUUCUAUAUUUUCUAAUUAGUUUUUUAUAUAUUCUUUUUCAUAUUAAUUAUUUUAAUAUAUGUAAUAUAUUUUUACAUACGCACAUUUAUUUUUUGCAGAAUAGUAUAAUUAUUUAUAUCUUAUUUUUUAUUUAUACGUAAUUAUUUCUUAUAACCUAUAUAUAUAUAUAUUUGGUGCAUAUAUGUAUGUAUACAUUAAUAUUUUUAACUAAUAUAUAUAUGAAUAUAUAUUUAUAUUUUUUUUAAAAUGCAAAUAUAUGUUUUUUUUAUACACUUUAUAGUUUUUUUUUUUACUUUCACAAAUGCAUCACACAUGUAUAAGUUUCAUAGCCCAAAAUUUAUUUAUUUUUAAUUUCCAUGUGUAUAUUAUAUGUUCUCUGAUUUUUUUAUUUAUUUUGCUUUUCUCGUUCGUGGUAUAAUUGUGUUUACAUUUAACAUUUUGCAUGAUAUGGAUUAUUGUUUUUUAUCUUGUUUAUUUAUUUGUUUAUAUUAUUCUUAUGCGAUUAAUGUAUUUAUUAUUGUUAUUAUUAUAGCAUUUGUAUGUAUGUAUACAAUAAUGUUGCAUCAUUUUUUUACUCAAAUUUAAAAAUAGAAUUUUCUUUUUAAAAUUGAGAUAAUGUUCGUAUUUAGAAUUUACAAGGAAAUUGAGUCCUAACGUAUUGGGUUCCGAUUUUCUUCGUUAAAUCUAACGAUCGAGCAUUUCUUUUUAAUCAAAAAAAUAAGAAUUCAUUAUCGGGAAUUCAACACGUUGUGUCCUAACGUAUUGGACGUGACGCAUUGAUUUCUCGAAAUGAAGAUUUUUCUAAAAAAAAUAAUAAAGGAAAUAUUCCGAGUUUGGGAUUUUAAAGAAAUCGUGCCCUAACGUAUUGGGUGUGAUUUUUAAAUCUUGGAUAAGUGGAUGUUCUUUUAAGAUUUUUAUGGCACUAGUAUUUUGACCCAAUUCAUUUUUGAGGAAAUUAGAAUGUUGUGCCCUAACGCAUUGGGUGUGACAUUUUUGCUUCUCUAAAUUGAGAAGGGUCUUAUUACGUAACGGUUUUAAAUUUUCUUACUAAGGAUUAUAUAUUUUCAAACUUUCGACUUUAAGACAUUAAUCAAUUAACUAGGUACCAAUUUUUGGGCGUAAUGAGGGUGGUAAUCCUUCCUCAUACGUAACCGACUCCCCGAACCCGUUUUUCUAAAAUUUGUAGACCAAAGUGAUUUUUAGGUGACCCAAUCACACCUUAAUAAAAGAUUGAUGGCGACUCCCAAUUUUAAUUUUUUAAAAAAGUCGACAACCUAAAAUUUUUUUGUUUUCAAAAAAAUGGUUUCGACAGUUUGGCGACUCCACUAGGGAUUUUUUUUAAAAAAUAAGAGAGUCGAGCCACAAAAUUAAUUUUUGUCUUAUGGUCGAGAAAAUAUUUUUUAAAAAAACUUAUGACAUCCUUUUGCAUUCAUUAUCUUCUUGUUUAAAUAUUGUUUGCAUUAUGCAUUUCAUGAGUUGAACAAUUUUACCCUUUUAAGUGGGAGUGAGAAGCUAUGCCUUCGUAAGGUUUUCACCUCCGUAUAGGAUAGUGGGUCGCUUUCGGGAUACAUCGGUACUUAUGCCUUCGUGAGAUUUUCGUAUCCGUAUAGUCAUAAGGAAAAUGUGUCCCCCUGAACCGAACUUGAUCUAUAUGAGCCUAUAAUGGGUGAGGAUCAAGGAAUCUGCUAGUUCAGGUACCUUUACUUUAGAACUGAACCGCAUAUAAUGAGCCUUAGGAGCUUACCUUAGGUAGAACCGCACUAAAUUCUGGUAGAUAUCCUAAUAGGUGUUUUAUUAUUUCUUGAUUGUUUUCUAUGUUUAUAUAUGUUACUGACCUUUUUUGUUUUAUUUUGAUUGCAUGACAUGGCAUUUCAUUUCAUCAUAAAAGGCGUCAGUUCAGAUUUGGUUGCUAGAUAGAAAGCUUAACAUGGAAAAAAGGUUUCUUGAUAAAGUGGAGGACAAUACGGCUGUUCAAACUUGGUCUGAAACAAUGCAACAAGAAAACGGUGAUAGUCUGGCCAAUGGGUAUGUAUCAGAAUUAUGGGAUUUUACUCGCAUCAGUGACUCAAAACAAUUUGCAGGAGCUGAAAGAAAUUUGGGAUCAGUGGAAUAAUGAGGUUAGGCAGUUAUUUUACGACAAUUAUGGGGAUUUGCCUUAUUUGCUUGAUGUGAAGGUGGACAAACAUUUGUUUCAAGCCCUCGCCCAGUUUUGGAAUCCUGCUUACAGUUGCUUCACGUUGGGGAAUGUUGAUUUGGUACCUACGAUAGAGGAGUAUGUGGCUUUACUCCGAUGUUCAAAGUUCCAAGUGGAUAGGGUCUACUCGAGAGCGGUGAAUGUGCCAACUUUUUCAAAGAAAUUGAUAGGUAUAACAUGGAUGAGUAAGCAGUGGGUCGCUGCACGAGUUAAGCAAAAGGGGGACAGCAAGUGCAUUCCUUGGAGGAGCUUGAAGGAUGCCAUUCUCACACACCUAGAGAUAAGAAAGAGGUUAGAUAUUUUUGCCUUAAGUAUAUACGGCUUGGUUGUCUUCCUUAAGGCCUUGGGGCAUGUGGAUGAAGCAGUCACUGAUUUAUUUGAUCGACUUGAUAAAAGGGUUACACCGAUUCCGGCAAUUUUGGCGGAAACCUUCAGGUCAUUGAGUGCAUGCCGAAAGACGGGUGAGGGUAGAUUUAUUGGAUGCGUGUAGCUUCUACUUGCAUGGUUUCACAGUCACUUUUGGAAGGUGGAUAAAGUUUCGUAUCGAGUUUUCUCUGAAAAUUAUUCACCACUAAAGGAGAUAAUUGCUACACCGAGGAGAGAUGACAUUUCUGAGGAAAAGUGGAUGGCUAUUCUUCAAAAUCUUCAAGAGGAAGAUGUUGAGUGGAGAGCUCCUUGGUUACUACCAGGUGAGAUCCUAUAUAGGUGUGGAGAUUUCAAUUGGGUACCUUUAUUGGGCAUUUGGGGUGCUGUCGGAUAUGCCCCAUUAUUGGUGCUAAGGUAAUAUAGGUCGAGACAGUUUAUACCUGCGACUCAAAGGAUAGCUGAUUGUGAAUUUUCAUAUAAAGAGGAUGGUUAUAGAAAGAAGAUUCAAGAAAUGUCCAAGGCGUGGAAACAGACUCGCCGAAUGAAGAGGAUAGCUGUAGGGCUAAUGACGACUCCUGAGUAUUAUGGAUGGUGGGCUAGGAGGAUUAAUGAUAAUACACCCAAGAUAAAUCAUGGGGACGGCCAGUCAAUAGAAGAGCAUUUGCAAGUCAUCCCUUCGGAAUUUGAAAUGGUAAGACAAGAUUUUGAGAGGAAGAACGCGGAUUUGGAGAAAAUGAUAGAGCAAAUGGAGACGGAAAAGACAAACUUGAGAUUGGACAUAGACGUUCAGAAGCUUGAGAAUGAGAGAGUGAAGAAAGAGAAAAACAAGGCUGAUGAGGAACUGGGCAGUCUAAAGAUAGAUUAUAAAAAGUUGCGUUUGUCAAUAAGAACUGCUGGGCUGGGAAAGACAUCAGAACAGUGACGAGCAGAAAUCCAAGAAGAAAAGGACAAGGCUGAUAGAUGGGAGCAGAGAUUUCAAAAGAUGCAAAGGCGAAAUGAGGACUUAGAAAAGAGUUUGUCAGAAAGCCAGAAGGAAAAUGGCGAGUUAAAGGAAAAGGUGAUUGUGUUGGAAAGGUCUCUUCGUCAGUAUCGAAACCGAAAUUCUACGAUAGAGUUGAAAGCAAGCUUGAGCAAGAUUGACGAAAUGAAAGGAAGAAUCGAAGAGCUAGAAACGGUGCUGCAAAAUUGUAAGAUUCAGAUCAAUCACCUGAAGGCAAAUGAAAGUUGAAAUAAUGAACAGCUUCACCACUUUCAGAGUCAAGUUAGAAGCAGAGAUCAUCUUAUCGAGGAAGCUGUGGUCUAGAUUCGAGAAGUAGCUGAUCAUAUGUAGACUUUAGCAGUACAGGCUGACACGCUGAGUGUGAAGUAUGAAUUAGAAUCGGAUCGGGGGCAAGAAUUAGCUUUGUUACUUAGGAAGUUUAGAGUUCUGGGUACUAGGGCAAAGUCUUACUUGUAAUUCGCUUUAUGUAAAGAAAUUUGCUUUCUAGUAAGGUUUUCUUAUAUGGAAUUGAAUCAAAAUUGACGUCUUUUUGCAUUCAUGCAUUUCAUUACUUCAUAUGCAUUUAAAAACAUUAAAAGAUUCUAAUUAAUUUAAGUCAUUCCUCAAUUAAUCUGGAAACCAAUCAAGCUACUCAGCACCACUACGGUACUCGAUCGAAAACUAGAGAUAUGGACCAAAGGCUAGAACAGUUCCAGAAAUAAAUGCAAGAGAAAAUGAAUGAGCAAUUAGAGAAGAUCCAACAAAAGAUGAUGGAAAAAAUAAUAGAAUCUCAAGGGAGUAUGAUGGCUAAGUUGACUCAGUUAUUGGCUGGAGGAGUUGACAAAGGAAAGGGGUUGGUGCUCAAUAAUGAAGAAGGAGACAACGAGGGACCUGUUUAUUCCUCAGGACUUACUUCUCAACAAGCGAGGAUAUAUCCGCACAAAUCCUCUGUUACUAUCAAGCCUCAUGACGGUACUGAAACAUCGAUAAAUUUCCAAGCUAGAGACAAUCUUGCUAAUCCUAUUAUCCCAGACUUCGAUGAGACAAUCGAGAAAAUGAAUGAUGAAUUACCAAAACAGCUCGAGGAAAAGUAUAAAUGGCUGGAGGAAAAACUUAGAGUGAUAGAAGGUACUGAGAGUUACCAUGGAAUUGAUGCUAGAGAAUUGAGCUUGGUUCCAAGUCUGGUACUUCCUCACAAGUUUAAAAAGCCAGAGUUCGAGAAAUACAAUGGGACUAGUAGCCCCGAAGCCCAUAUUACUAUGUUCUGCAGGAGGAUGACUGGAUAUGUUAAUAAUGACCAGUUGAUGAUACAUUGCUUCCAAGAUAGCCUCGCAGGGGCAGCAUCCAAAUGGUACAAUCAAUUAAGUCGUACCCAGAUUAAUUCAUGGAGAGAUUUAGCACAGGCAUUUUUAAAACAGUACAACCAUGUGACUGACAUGGUACCUGAUAGAAUUACUCUAUAGAACAUGGAGAAGAAGCCUGGUGAAAGUUUCAGGCAAUACGCACAGAGAUGGAGGGAGGUUGCUGUCCAAGUUCAGUCAUCUCUUCUAGAGAGAGAAAUGACGAUGCUUUUUGUUAAUACAUUGAAGGCCCCAUUUAUUACGCAUCUAUUAGGGAGUGCUUCCAAAAGCUUUUCUGACAUAAUUAUGAAUGGGGAAAUGAUAGAAAAUGCUAUCAGAAGCGGGAAAAUAGAAGUUGGGGAAGGUAGCAGAAGGUCAGCUUCGAAAAAGAAGGAGAAUGAGGUUAACAACACGAGUUCAUAUUCGAAGACAGUUACAGUGAAUCAGCCGGGAAAAGUGGUUGUUAAUCAGCAGGGAUCAUCAAAGUAGAGAUCUGACACAAGACAAAACACAGAGAAGGUUUAAUUUACGCCAAUCCCAAUGUCGUAUAGGGAGCUAUAUCAGAAUCUAUUCAAUGCACACGUGGUUGCCCCUCACCAUUUAAAACCCCUGCAACCUCCAUAUCCCAAGUGGUACGAUGCAAACGCACAGUGCGAUUAUCACGCGGGAAUUGUGGGGCAUUCUAUAAAACAUUGUACGGCAUUCAAGAAGCUGGUAGAAAGGCUUAUAAGCAUGGGUGUGGUGAAAUUGGAUGAUUCACCCAAUACAGAAAAUCCAUUACCUGAUCACAACGGAGUGAACAUGAUAGGUGGGAGCAUGGGUAGAAAAAUCAAGGAAGACAUAUCAGAAGUGAAAAUUCCUUUGAGGUGGAUCUGGGAAAAUAUGGUGAAAAGGGGAUUGAUCAUCCCGAGUUCAGAGAGAAAUGUCGAAGGGGUGGAAAAUUACUGUGAGUUCCAUCACGAGGAGGGACAUAAAAUCCAAGAAUGUACAGAAUUUAGAGUCUUGGUUCAAGAAUUGAUGGAUAACAAGGAGAUGGAAUUUUAUGAAGAAGUUAAGGAGGAGAGGAGCAUUUGCACAUCAGAGGCUUCGAAGGUUCCAAGAAUAGUGCAACCUGUGGUCAUUAUCUCGCGACCCAAGAAGGAUGAGGUGAGAGCACCAGCAAUGCCAAAAAUCAUAAUAAAGAAACCUGCAACCUUUCCUACCAAAACAGUAAGAAGGUCCCAUGGAACUACGAGUGCAAUACGACUGUCCCAAUAAGUGAGGCGGCAAAGAGCCGGUGUGUGAGUACCGAGUCUAUGAAAGAGGCUAUAAUAGGGGAGCAAAAAGGGAAAGUAGUUGAGCCAGUGAAGGAGGAAGAAGCUGUGGAAUUCUUUAAAUUUUUAAAACAUAGCGAGUAUAAUGUCGUUGAGCAGUUGCAUAAACAAUCGGCCCGCAUAUCUGUACUGUCUUUACUCUUGAAAUCUGAAGUGCAUCGAAAUACGUUGAUGAAGAUGCUAAAUGAAACCUAUGUGUCCAAGGAUAUUUCUGUCAGUAAGCUAGAUUGGUUGGUCAAUAAUAUCAGUGCUGAUAAUUUCAUAUUUUUCAAUGAUGAUGAAAUACCUUCGGGGGCAUGGGAUCUACCAAAGCUUUGCAUAUCACUGCACGAUGUAAGGGGCGUAUUUUGCCAGGAGUACUGAUUGACAAUGGGUCAGCUUUGAACGUAUUUUCAUUAUUCACACUUACCAGGCUACCCAUAGACAGUUCGCACAUGAAAACGUGUCAAAAUGUAGUGAGGGCAUUUGACGGUACAGAAAGGAAGGUCAUGGGAAGAAUUGAGGUACCCUUACUGAUUGGUCCAACGGUUUAUGAGGUAGAUUUUAUUGUGAUGGACAUCAAACCUUCCUAUAACUGCUUAUUAGGGAGACCGUGGAUACAUUCGGUAGGGGCAGUACCGUCAUCAUUGCAUCAGAUGUUGAGGUUAGUGUCAGAUGGUCGGCUAGUGACAAUAAAAGCCGAAGAGGAUAUAAUAGCAGCUGUAUCCAAUGAGACGCCAUACGUGGAGACUAAUGAUGAGUCAAUAGAAUGCUCAUUUCGAUCUUUGGAGUUUGUAAAUGCGGCAUUUGUUCCUGAAGGGAGCAAAAUUUUGGUGCCAAAAUUAUCCAAAACUACAGAGAUGGGUUUACAGUUGUUGGUGGGAAAAGGAGCUUUACCCAGAAGAGGGCUGGGGAGAUAUCUUCAAGGGAAAACUGAGGUUCCAGUGCUGAAAGAAAAGUAGGAUAAUUUUGGCUUAGGAUACAAGCCAGAUAGGGGACAGAGAAGAAAGGAGAUAGAGAAAAGGCAGAAAUAGAGAAGAGCGCGCUUAAAUGGGGAAGAAGCUAAGUGGGAGCCAAUGAUAAUUCCCCACAUAUCCAAAACUUUCAUAUCUGGAGGAAUUAUUCAUCAAGAGAGAAAGAAAUCGAUUAAGGAAAGCAUCGAGGAUCCGUUGGGAAAUAUGCACAUUAAUGCCAUUCAUGAGCUAGGGAAUGAAGAGAGAAGUUGGCUAGACAUUCGUCCUUAUGAGCCUGGGAGUGUUCUAGACAAUUAGACUGCGGAAGAAAUACCUAAAGUCUUUAGAACUGUCUCAGAGUAAUAUUCAGAACAAACUUGUUGUUUUAGCCUAGAAAUAACAAGAAUUCUUUUGUGAAAUAGGCUUAUGUUUAAAAAUCAUUAUUUUAAUAAAAUACAGCUUUGCAAUUGUUUCGAGUAAAUAUUCUUUCCUUCUUCCCAUACGCCUAAAUAUAUUCUUUCAUUACAUAAAUAAUUGUACAUAAAUUCAUACAUUCUUUUGUAACUAUAAUAGGUCUCUGUGUAUCAAUGACGUGAAUGACGCUGCUACGAGCUCAAAGUGCCCUUUUGAACGAAAUGUGUGUUUAGAAGGAUUGCAGGACUUUGAACUUGUUGAGGAUGGUAGAACAAGAGGAAAAGCAAAUCCUACCUCACAAAGAGUCAGUAGAAGUUGUGAGCUUGGAAGAAGGGAAAGAGGUGAAAAUUGGGACUGAAAUUCUCGCAAAGACAAGACGAGACCUCAUUGAAUUACUUCAUGAAUUCAGAGAUGUCUUCGCAUAGUCAUACCAUGAUAUGCCUGGAUUGAGUGCUGACAUUGUAGUGCAUCGUCUACCCAUAAAAGAGGAUUGCAAACCAAUUCAACAGAAGCUCAGAAGAAUGAGGCCUGAUAUUGUGCUCAAAAUAAAAGAGGAAGUUAAGAAACAGUUUGACGCUGGUUUUUUACAGGAGGUCAAAUAUUCUGAGUGGGUAGCUAAUAUUGUCCCAGUCCCUAAAAAAGAUGGAAAAGUACAAAUGUGAGUCGAUUACAGGGAUUUGAACAAAGCAAGCCCAAAGGACAACUUCCCAUUGCCACAUAUUGAUACUCUGGUGGAUAAUACUGCAGGAUUUUCGCUAUUUUCUUUUAUGGAUGGGUUCUCAGGAUAUAAUCAGAUAAAGAUGCAUCCAGAAGAUAUGGGAAAGACUACGUUCAUUACUUUGUGGGGAACAUUUUGCUAUAAGGUGAUGCCAUUCAGAUUAAAGAAUGCGGAAGCAACAUAUCAGAGAGCCAUGGUAGCUUUGUUUCAUGAUAUGAUGCACAAAGAAAUUGAAGUAUACGUUGAUGAUAUGAUUGCCAAAUCCAGAACAGAGAAUGAACAUGUACAGAUCUUGAGAAAAUUGUUCUUAAGAUUGAGGAGGUUCCAGCUCAAGCUUAAUCCGACAAAAUGUACUUUUGGAGCCAGGUCAGGAAAGUUGUUAGGCUUCGUAGUCAGCGAAAAGGGAAUUGAGAUCGAUCCAGACAAAGUCAAGGCAACGAGAUUUAUCGCCACCACGUACCCAGAAAGAAGUUUGAGGUUUCUUGGGAAGACUAAAUUACAUUGCUCGGUUCAUUUCAUAGUUGACCGAGAAAUGUGAUCCCAUAUUUCGCCUUUUGAAGAAACAUAAUCCUGAUGUCUGGAAUGAAUAAUGUCAGAAAGCCUUUGAAAAGAUAAAGCAAUACUUAUCUAACACUCCAGUACUGUCACCACCUAGCCCUGACAGACCCUUGAUUUUGUAUUUAACUGUGUUUGAUAACUCUAUGGGAUGUGUACUGGGUCAAAAUGAUGCUACAGGAAAAAGGGAAAAGGCGAUUUAUUAUCUUAGCAAGAAAUUCACUGAUUGUGAGAUGAGAUAUUCACCUAUCGAAAAAUUGUGUUGCGCACUGAUUUGGACGACCAAGAGGUUGAGGCAAUACUUACUCUAUCAUACGACUUGACUAAUAUCAAAAUUAGACCCUUUAAAGUAUAUGAUGGAGUCAACAGCAUUGAAUAGAAGAAUGGCUAGAUGGCAAAUCUUGCUCUCUGAGUUUGACAUCGUAUAUGUAAGUCAGAAGGCCGUCAAGGGGAGUGCGAUAGCAGAUUUUUUGGCUAGUAGGGCUCUGGAAGAUUAUGAGCCUCUGGAUUUUGAUUUCCCGAAUGAAGAUUUGAUGUAUGUGGCGAAUGCUGAAGAGGAUUCCCAAAAAAAUCAUUCUUGGAGGUUGAACUUUGACGGAGCAUCGAAUGCACUAGGCAAUGGGAUUGGGGCAGUCCUGGUGUCUCUGAAUGGAGAUUAUCAUCCUUUUACUAGUAAACUAGACUUUGAUUGCACUAAUAAUAUGGCUGAGUAUGAAGCCUGCAUCAUGGGUAUACGGGCAGCCAUAGAGCGGAAAAUCAAGACAUUAGAGGUGUACGGAGACUCAGCAUUGGUGAUAUACCAGCUAAGAGGAGAAUGGGAGACAAGAGAUCCUAAAUUGAUCCGUUACCGGAGAUUGGUUUUGGGAUUGAUCGAAGAGUUUGACGACAUUACAUUCUGUUAUCUCCCACGGGAAGAAAAUCAGAUGGCUGAUGCUCUUGCUACUCUAGCUUCCAUGAUUAAAGUGAAUCAGUUAGAGGAUAUGAAGCCCAUUCAAAUUAGUAUUUAUGAGAUCCCAGCUCACUGUUACAGCAUUUAAGACGUAGAGAAUAAUAAUAGUCCCUGGUACCAAGAUAUUUUGCUAUAUAUGAAGAAUCGCGAAUAUCCUGAUCAAGCAACGGAGAAUGAUAAGAGGACAUUGAGAAGACUAGCGAUUGACUAUGUCUUAGAUGGGGAGAUCUUAUACAAAAGGGGAAAGGAUCGAGUACUGUUAAGAUGUGUAGACACUGUUGAGGCUAAGGAAAUUUUGGAAGAAGUCCAUGAGGGUGUUUGUGGAAUGCACGCUAAUGGAUUCACCAUGGCCAGACAGAUUAUGAGAUUCGGGUAUUACUGGUCUACUAUGGAAAGAGAUUGCAUCAAUCAUGCCAAGAAAUGCCAUAAAUGCCAAAUUUAUGGGGAUAAGAUGCAUGCGCCUCCUUCCCCUCUUCAUGUUAUGACUUCUCCAUGGCCUUUCUCCAUGUGGGGUAUGGACGUCAUUGGACCAAUAUCACCGAAGACUUUCAAUGGACAUCGUUUCAUUUUUGUGGUUAUUGACUACUUCACUAAGUGGGUAGAGGCAGCCUCAUAUACUAAUGUCACGAAGUCAGCAGUCAGUAAGUUUUUGAAAAAAGAAAUCAUAUGUCGAUAUGGAAUGCCUGAAAGGAUCAUAUCUGGCAAUGCGCUGAAUUUGAAUAACAGCACAAUAGCAGAAGUCUGUGAACAGUUUAAUAUCAGACACCAUAAUUCGUCACCGUAUCGUCCAAAAAUGAAUGGUGCAGUGGAGGCAGCCAACAAAAAUAUUAAGAAGAUUGUGGCAAAGAUGGUAGAAACUUACAAAGAUUGGCAUGAGAAGUUACCAUUCGCUCUUUUGGCUUACCGAACAUCGAUCAAGACUUCUACUGGGGCAACGCCUUUCUCGUUGGUUUAUGGAAUGGAGGCAGUUUUACCCAUUGAGGUUGAAAUUCCUUCUCUCCGAGUUUUGGCCGAGUUGAAAUUGGAUGAGGCCAAAUGGAUCCAAUCUCGGUAUGACCAACUGAACCUGAUUGAAGAGAAAAGAUUAAAAGCCGUUCGUCAUGGCCAAAUAUAUCAGAAGCGAAUGAUGCGAGCUUAUAAUAAGAAGGUUCGUCCCAGAGAAUUUCAUGAAGGGGAUUUGGUUCUGAAAAAGAUCUUCCCUUUACAAAAGGAUUUUAGAGGGAAAUGGAUGCCAAACUGGGAAGGACCUUAUGUUGUAAAAAAGGCUUUUUCCGAAGGCACUUUGAUUUUGAGUGAAAUGGAUGGCAAAAAUCUUCUGAAUCCUGUCAAUUCAGAUUCGGUCAAGAAAUAUUUCACUUGAAGGAAGAGAGGAAUCAAAGUGAAAACCCGCAAAUGGUGCUCUAAUUUCCAAAAAAGGAAAAAGAAAAAAGAAAAAGGAGAGGCCAAGGUGAAAACCCGAAAAGGGCACUUUGAGACCAAAGGUGGUUUGAGUUGAAAACCCGAAAAGGGCGGCUUAAACAUUGUCAGAUUCGGGCAUAUGGUGAUCUUGCUUCACUUAAGUCAACAAGAAUAUACAACAUCUCGAGGCAUCGACAGAGUACUGUGGAUCCCCUAAACACAUGUUAAAUUCAGAAUGGUUCUUGGCUUGCACGGAAAGUUCAAGCGGCGAUAUCCAGAGCACCUAGUCUUCAUAUUAUUUGUACCAAGUUUGUUGGUUCUUAUAAAUACUUUAUUCUUUGCUGUUCUUGAAUAUUUUUUCUUUUCAAGACAUUUACUAUCAAUAAAUUUUUGAAUUAAUUCAUCUCUUACUCAGUAUUUGUGAUCUUUGCGCAAGCAUGUUGCAUUAGAAUAAUGAUUGAUGGACUAAUUAACUUUUACAAAAAGAAGUUUGGUAUAUUACUCUAGGAAUUUCUAAAUAAUUUAGUAACCUAAAAUAGGACUAUUGUUUAGAACACCCUGAGGUCAAAAGAUAAGGAGUCUAAGAAGGAAAAAAUCUAAAUUAAGACUGCUUUGGUGGUCUAAAAUAGCGAAUGAGACAGCAGGAGGUUUUGAUGGGGUAGGAAGAAGUUCCUUAUGGAUAGAAAGCUCCUCAUUUGGGCAUAAGCAUUUGAUAGGACACCCUGAGAGUGGUGUAAACAAAUUUCGUAAUCUGUAUCCUUGAAAUAGGAGAAGAUUGAAGAAAAGCCAUAUACUCUUGGGUUACAGUGGGAGAACAAUGGUAUGAAUUUUUUGCGCCCUAGUGGAUUAAACUUUAAGGUUUAUAGUGGGGGCAACCUGGCCAAAUGUUUCUUCAGAAAGGCCAGUCAAGUAAGAAGGCAUUGUAGCACGUCAGUCGCAAAGCUUUAAUAAACUUCGAGUAAUGACAACCUAAGCGGGAUCAUUCACGGAAAAACAAAAUUUUGCAUUCAUGCAAACAUCAUUCAUACGUACCUAGUUAGGAGCAUUGGACUCAUUCUGAUCACGACAUCCUAAUCACUAGGCAUAUUUAGGUUCAUAAAAUGAAUUAUACAGGUCAUGUUCCCCAGAGAACAAAUAGGUGAAACACCAAGCCUUGUCUCCCUAAGCAGCAGUGGAGAAGGUUGAAGAUUGUAGAUCUUAUCUCCCUAAGCAGUAGUGGAGUAGAUCAAAGAUGGCGAAUCUUAUCUUUCCAAGAUAGUGGGAAGCAGAUUUGAGCCACCAAGCCUUGUCUCCCUGAGCAGCAGUGGAGAAGGUUGAAGAUUGUAGAUCUUAUCUGCUUAAGCAGUAGUGGAGUAGAUCGAAGACGGCGAAUCUUAUCUUUCCAGGAUAGUGGGAAGCAGAUUUAAGCCACCAAGCCUUGUCUCCCUGAGUAGCAGCGGAGAAAGUUGAAGAUUGUAGAUCUUAUUUCCCUAAGCAGUAGUGGAGCAGAUCGCAUCCAAUCUUAUCUCCCUAAAGUUGUAGUGGAGUAGAUUGAAGCACUAUUUCCUAUACUUCUGAAGAUGCCGUAGGAAGGAAUGAGGCUACCCGAAGAAGAAGAGUACCAAAGUCUAGCACGACCGGGCAAAAUUGGGCAUUUUAAAGUCUUCGCUCCGUUCCCGUUACACAAUAACGGGCAAAGAGGGGCAGCUGUAAUACCUCAAUUUUACCCGGUCCAAUAAAAGAAAAAAAAUAGAUAAAAUAAUAAAAUAAAAUAGUCCAUAGUGUUUGAUUACAAACGGGCUACAAGGCCCAAACCAAAACAAAGUUGUGGCCUAAAUACAGUGGCCCAAGAUAGAGGAUGAAACCCUAGGGUUUCAAAUUUUCAACAACGCCGCAACUGAGCCUCUGAAUCUUUACCGAUCGUCACCUGCAAGGAAACAAAACAAUAAAGGAAAUAAUCAAAGAUUUGUAAUCAAACAAUAUUUGUUUCUUGAUUUAUCUUAUUCAUUCGGCUAUAAAAUAAAGCCAUAAGCAUACUGUAAGGGAUUCGAUUUCAAAAUCAGAAAUAAAAAAGGCUCUAUAUUUCCAAAUACCAGCAGAGAAACAAAGGAAUCAAAGGUUGUUAUUUAUAUUUUUAUUGUCGUAUUUUUUUAUGCAUUUAUAUACAUACAAUUAAAAUAAAUAGAAGAGGGAAAAAACCUGUUUACGAGCCCUAACCUCUGCGGAUGGCCGAGGAAGUCAUCACCAAGGAAUGACGACCGGAAACCGAAAGGUUUCUCUGCUUUUAGGGCCCCUUUUGUUAAUAUCUUGCGAGUUUUGAGCCCAGAUUUGGGCAAAGGGAGUCAAGGAGGUUAAAAGAAGGAUUUUUUCCUUUUUCGGCCACCGCAUACGGUGGUGUCGGCGUUGGAGAGUGGCAGCAGGCGCGGUGGCCCGUGAUCGUCCGAUGACCGGCCCAUGGCCGGAGGACAGAAAGGUUGAGAGAGUUUUUUAAAAGGUUUUUUUUGUUUUUUUUUUAAAAAUGUUUUGAAAUGAAAAUUUUGUUUUAUUUUUGGCUUAAAUAGUGAAUUGAAAACGGCGUCGUUUUGAGGGGAGGAUCCGCGCGUCGACCCAACCCUGACCCAGGAUCCGCGUGUUUUUAUGCGGAGGGGAAAAUUGCGCUUUUAGCCCCUCCGCCUUUUUAAUGUUUUACAAUUAGGUUUGUUUAAUAUUUUUGUUUUUUUUAAAUUUAGCCCUUUAAUUCGUUUUCGAUUUCAAUUUAGCCCUCGCUUGAACGACGCCAUUUUGAGGAGAAGGGUAAAUUGCCCUUCCAGCCCCUCUGAGUUAUCAGCGUGUUCAAUAGGAUCUUUCAAUUUCUAUUUAUUUACAGAUUUGUCUCAAAAUUUUAUUUACAGUUCAAAUUAGUUUUUUUUUUCAUUUUUCUAUAUUUUCUAAUUAGUUUUUUAUAUAUUCUUUUUCAUAUUAAUUAUUUUAAUAUAUGUAAUAUAUUUUUACAUACGCACAUUUAUUUUUUGCAGAAUAGUAUAAUUAUUUUUAUCUUAUUUUUUAUUUAUACGUAAUUAUUUCAUAUAACCUAUAUAUAUAUAUAUAUAUAUAUAUUUUGGUGCAUAUAUGUAUGUAUACAUUAAUAUUGUUAACUAAUAUAUAUAUGAAUAUAUAUAUUUAUAUUUUUUUUAAAAUGCAAAUAUAUGUUUUUUUAUACACUUUAUAGUUUUUUUUUUUACUUUCACAAAUGCAUCACAUAUGUAUAAGUUUCAUAGCCCAAAAUCUAUUUAUUUUUAAUUUCCAUGUGUAUAUUAUAUGUCCUCUGAUUUUAUUUAUUUAUUUUGCUUUUCUCGUUCAUGGUAUAAUUGUGUUUACAUUUAACAUUUUGCAUGAUAUGGAUUAUUGUUUUUUAUCUCGUUUAUUUAUUUGUUUAUAUUAUUCUUAUGCGAUUAAUGUAUUUAUUAUUGUUAUUAUUAUAGCAUCUGUAUGUAUGUAUACAAUAAUGUUGCAUCAUUUUUUUACUCAAAUUUAAAAAUAGAAUUUUCUUUUUAAAAUUGAGAUAAUGUUCGUAUUUAGGAUUUACAAGGAAAUUGAGCCCUAACGUAUUGGGUUCCGAUUUUCUUCGUUAAAUCUAACGAUCGAGCAUUUCUUUUUAAUCAAAAAAAUAAGAAUUCAUUAUCGGGAAUUCAACACGUUGUGUCCUAACGUAUUGGACGUGACGCAUUGAUUUCUCGAAAUGAAGAUUUUUCUAAAAAAAUAAUAAUAAAGGAAAUAUUCCGAGUUUGGGAUUUUAAAGAAAUCGUGCCCUAACGUAUUGGGUGUGAUUUUUUAAAUCUUAGAUAAGUGGAUGUUCUUUUAAGAUUUUUAUGGCACUAGUAUUUUGACCCAAUUCAUUUUUGAGGAAAUUAGAAUGUUGUGCCCUAACGCAUUGGGUGUGACAUUUUUGCUUCUCUAAAUUGAAAAGGGUCUUAAUACGUAACGGUUUUAAAUUUUCUUACUAAGGAUUAUAUAUUUUCAAACUUUCGACUGUAAGGCAUUAAUCAAUUAACUAGGUACCAAUUUUUGGGCGUAAUGAGGGUGCUAAUCCUUCCUCAUACGUAACCGACUCCCCGAACCCGUUUUUCUAAAAUUUGUAAACCAAAGUCAUUUUUAGGUGACCCAAUCACACCUUAAUAAAAGAUUGGUGGCAACUCCCAAUUUUAAUUUUUUUAAAAAGUCGACAACCUAAAAUUUUUUUGUUUUCAAAAAAAUGAUUUCGACAAUACUCAUUUAUUUCUCAAUUUUUCACUUCACGAGCUAAGAUCUCAACAAGUUCUUCCUUGUAGGACAAAUCUGAUUGGACCUCAACUAAUUCUAUUGGAAUCAUGUGAAACUAACCAAUACCUCCGAAGCAUAAAAACAUGGAAUACAUUAUGAAUUAUUUCUCGCUCCAGUGGCAAAGCCAAUCUAUAUGCAACAAGUCCCAUCCAUUUCAGUAUUUGUAUGGCCCAAUGUACCUUAGGCUCAACUUGCCUUUUCAACCAAACCAAAGUACUUUUUUCCAUAGGAAAACCUUUAUAAACACAUUUUCUCCCAUUGCAAACUCAAUUUCCUUUCAUUUUUAAUGAGCGUAGGAUUCCUGUCUAUCUGAAAUUGCUUUCAAUCUAUCUUUAAUCAAUCAAACCUUAUUUUUGGUUUCUUAAAUAAACUCUAGCCCAACUAUUUUAGUUCACUAAGUUUGGUCUAGCAUAUAGAAGUACGACACUUUCGACCAUACAAUAGUUCGUACGGGAUCAUUUGCAUGCUCAAUUGAAAACUAUUGUUAUAGGAAAAUUCAACUAAUGAUAAAUAAUAUUUUCAAUUUCCCUCAAAAUCAAUGAUACAAGCUAACCAUUUGAUUGAGGGUCAAAUGCAGUAUUGAAAUUCAAUGUUUUUCCAAGUGACUCAUGUAACUGUUUCCAAAAUCUAAAGGUGAAACGAAUCACUCUUUUAAAUUCAGAAACAAUCCCUUUACAAGCGUUAGUAUUGGUGAAAUUCACGAUGGUGUUUAAACAAGAGGGAAACCUAGUCAAAAUUAUAGAGACAUGGUGAGAUUUGCAUGUUAUACAUCUCAGUUUGAGCCUAAACAUGUUGAAUAAGCAUUAAAGGAUGUAGAAUGGAUCCAAACCAUGCAGGAACAAUUUGAGAGGAAUGAAUUUUGGCAAUCUGUACCUAGACUUGUAAUGGCAACAUCAUUGGACAUUUUCACUAGUGGCAAGACUUGAAGCAAAGCAAGGCUAGUUGUAUAGGGAUACACUCAAGUGGAAGAAUUUGAUUUCUAUGAGACGUUUUCACUAGUGACAAGACUUGAAGCCAACAGGAUGUUGUUUGUUGUGGCCACUCAUCUUGACAUCAAACUUUUUCAAAUGGAUGUCAAGAAUGCCUUCCUAAAUGUCUACUUGAAAGAAGAGGUAUAUAUGGCACAACCAAUAGGUUUUGAAGAUCUUACACAUCCUGACUAUGUGUACAAACUGAGUAAAGCAUUAUAUGGUUUCAAAAAAGUACAUCGUGCAUGGUAUGAAAGGUUAACUCAAUUCCUUAUUACAUAAGGCUUUGAAAGGGCUUUUUUUGAUAAAACCUUAUUUAUAAAAAGGUAGAAAGGAUAAUCUAAUUUAGCUCAAAUAUACAUUGAUGAUAUCAUAUUUGAACCCACUUCUAUAGCAGCUAAGGACAUCUUUGUGAAGCUAAUGCAAGGUGAAUUCUAUAGGAAAAUUUUGGUAUAGAAAACGAUUUUCAAUCACAACGGAAGUUUAAAAAUUUUGAAAACUGAGCCGAUUUGUAAUAUUAAUAGUAAUAAACUUUUCCCAAAAAGUACAUGUGCUUUGUGCGAGAUGGAUUUAAAUUAUUCAUAGCUUUCAAUCGAACGACCUUCUCUACUAUCAUCGUACCCUGAAUUGUGUCAAGGUGGGCUCGAGUAACACGAACCAAACACAGAACAAGAAACAAUUUAAUUACUUUCAAUCAAAAAGUAAUUCUCUCAAAUAGAAAUCAGUAAAAAUUAUAGUUCCUAGAAAAUAUAUUUUAUUCUUAGAAAAAAAAUUCUCACUACUUUCUAGCAGAAUAAUAAUAUAUGAAACUUGUUUGUUAAAACUUAUGUAAAUAACCAAUGUCACCUAUUUAUAUGGAGAGAUAGGAGAAUCCUAAUUAAAUAAGAAUAGCACAAAUAAUAUUUAUUUAAUAGAAAACACUCCCUUAGUUUAACUAGGAGAAAGGGGGUGACACACCCUAGAAUACUAACACUAGGAUUGUCGCGCCUUACAUGUAAUAUACGGGGUUUUGGGCCUCUCCUAUAUUGGGUCCAAUUAUAUGUGCUUCCUAGACUUUUGACCAACACUUUAUAAUUGUAAUUCAACCCAAUAUUUGUUUUCCCUUUCCCAAAAUAAAUAUUAUUUUAUUUAAUUAAUUUAAUUAAUCAAAUUAAAUUAAUUAAUUUUCCAAUUAAAUAAUUUUUCAAACUAAUUCUAAUUCUGUUAAAGUCAUGUCAAUUUUACCGUGAAAGAAUCUAUAAAGAAAUAUAUUUAAUUUUCACAUCCAAUGGAUUCAUAAUGACUAAUUGAUUCAAUUUAUUUUUUUUAAAUUCAAUUAUAAAAUUAUAAUUAAUUAAAAAAUAAUUCAAAACCCUUAAAUUAAUUAUCAAGUCAUUUCUAUACUUUGUGAGAAAAUGCAUUCAUUUGUGAAGACGACUCAUUUCUUCAACCUUCUCAUUUCCAUUCAUUUCUGUUCAUUUGGUUCUACAUGCAAAUAAUUUUUUUUGUUUCAACAAGUUGGCGGAAGGGCUAAUUGGACAUAUAUAAUCAAGGCUAAAGUAAUUUAAAAUUAAGUUCCAACUUUUCACCUAUUAAUUAUAAACUUAUUUAGUCACAAAGUCAUUCCACUAUAGUAUCGUGACUGAGCUCUCCCUAAUUACAUACCAUUAUGAAAUCUAAAUAAUAAGUUUUCAUCUACUGACCUUUUUAUAAGUGUGUUACCCUCGUAGGAUAUCCUUAAUCUUUUUGGGAUAAAUUCAUUCUCCCGAUAUGAUAUUAUUUUAUCUCAUGGUAAUCAUCACAUCUUCCUUAAUGAAAAUUUAAUUACUAUGAAAUAGUAAUAAAGUCAUUUAUCACAAAGACAAAUGACCCAUGGUUACAUUUACUUUACAUCUAUUAUGAAAUGUCGAUGAGAGGCUAUCAUUUACCCUUUAGCCGGGCUAUGAAUUUAACUAUUGUGAAUGAUGUUACAUACUAUAAAAGUCGUAUACCCAACACACCAACUUUUUGUAACACCCUCAACCCAAUCCAUGUUUUCGGGACCCGGGUCUUGGGUAUUACCACACAAAUAUAGACAAAAACUUAAUCUACUUAUAAAAUUACAAUUAAUUUUACAAGUUAACAUCAUAUAGAUCCAACCUAAAUGACAAAUAUAUAUACAAUGGGAAAAUACAAUUGCAACACAUGGUAAUUUAAUUACAAUGAUAUCUAAGCAUGAUAAUGGGUAACUAAAUCAUUGGUGGUUGGUUGAUAGAAAUGUUGGGAAGUUCAUUUUUGGGUUUAGGGACUAAAUCGCAAAAGAUGGACCAAGUCAAAUAGGCUUCAAAACUUAAAAUCGACGCCCUUAAGGAAAAUUAAGAUAAGUGAGACCGAAAGGAGAUCUAAUUAGGCACCAAUUUGAUAGUCUCCGAUUAGUUUGGUGAUGUCAAGAGAUAAACUAGACUAAUUUGUCUAAAUCGAUAAAAUUGAGGCCGAGCGGUAAAUUUGAGCCAAUUUAGGAGUAAUAACGAUUUAGAUCCCUAAUUCAAAGGUUAACCAACUACAUGGAAAUCAACCAACCACUGUAUGUUAUCGUAUUUGUUAGUUUCAUACUUUACUUGAUUUACAAUUUAGUCAUUGUCCGUUGCUAGGUAAUUAAUUAGUGUAAUUAACCUCUUGUAUGACCUGUCAUAAAAUAAUUGCUUAGUGGUAGGCAGCUAGACUCCUUUAAUUUAAUGUUUGUUGUUUAGAAAUCAUUUAAUCACCGAAUCAUGUGGUUCAAUCCUUAGAAUAUUUCAAUGUUCCAUUAAACAUUAGAAAUAUUACAACUCGACACUGUUCGCUUGCGGUUAACACCACACUUUUAAAUUGUUUGUUUUCUGCGCACACAGCAUGUAGCCAAGUAGCAACCCUAGUAAAAUAUAUUAUAUUUUGCCAUCCCUUGUAUCCAGCGUUAAGGGCUUUUGGACCUCUCCCUUAUUGGGUCCAAUUAUAAUUGUUUCCUAGACUUUUAUCACAGCACUUUAUAAUUCAAUCCAACCCAAUAUUUAUUGUAUUAUUUUCCAAAAUAAACAACAUAAAUUAAUUUCCCAAUUAAAUAAAUUUCUCAACCCAAUUUUGAUUCUUUUAAAACCAUGACAACUUUACCGUAAAAGAAUCUAUGAUAAAAUAUAUUUAAUUUUUCUACAUUCAACUGAUUCACAAUGACUAAUUAAUUUAAUUUAAUUUUAAAACUUCAAUUAAUUAAUUAAUUAAUUAAUAAUUCAAAAAAUCAUAAAUUAAUUCUCAGGUCAUUUUCAUACUUAGUGAGAAAACCAUAUUCAUUUCCGAAUGUUUCUCAUUUCUUUAACUUUUCCAUUUCUAUCCAUUUAUGUUUAUUUGAUUCACUAUGCAAUUCAUUUCUGGUUUCAACGAGCUACAAGAGGGACCGAUUAGACAUAUGUGAUUAGGGCUCAAAUGAUUUAUAAUUAAGUUCUCGUUUUUCACCUAUUAAUUAUUAACUCAUUUAGUCACGAAGUCAUUCCACUAUAGUAUUGUGACUGAGAUCUCCCUAAUGACAUACCAUUAUGAAAGCAACUUAGUUAGUGCUCGUCCAAUAACCUUAUCAUAAGUAUGUUAUGCUUAUAGGAUAUCAUUAAUCUCUUUAGGAUAAAUCCGCUCUCCCAAUAUACUCCUAUUUUAUCUCAUGGUUACCAUAACAUAUUUCUUUAUGAAAAGUUAAUUACUAUCAAAUAGUAAUUAAGUCAUUCAUCACAAAGACAAAUGACCGCUGACCACGUUUAAUUUUUAUCUAUCAUGUAAUACUAAUGAAAGCAUGUCAUUUACUCAUGUCCUCGGCUAUGAAUUCUACUAUUAUGAAUGAUGCUACUGUUGGAUUUAGUACCCUAAAUUUAGUAUUUUAGUCUAAGUACACUUGUAAUUUUUUCGAACAUAUUGAUUAAUAAAAUUAUUCAUGAAUUACAUUAAUACUUUGUAUAUAGUCUUCACCUGGUUUUUACAUGUAAAGAAAAAUAGAAUCAACUAUUAGCUCACUAGUUGUCUAAUAUUUCACUAAUACUAAGCGGAAUUACAUGGUCGGAUCGUAAUACGAAAAAAAACUUAUAUUAGUAUACAAACCUAAACAUGUCCUUAGUCUAAUCAAAAAUGAGAAAACCGAUUAAAAGACUAAUAUGUCGUCUAUCAAGUCCAAUUGGGGAGAUGUCUUGUCUUAGGCAUCGGAGCAGAUGACUCCCAAAAGAUAAAGACAGAUGUGAUUGACUAGAUUGAUAGUACAUUGGACUGGACCCAAGAAGAAUAGAUCUUGAAUUCGUUUAUGGAUUUAUUCACUUGUGACAUUCAUAGUGUGGCAUACCUAAAUCUUGAGUGGAUGACAGACUAUGUAUGUGUGACCCGUAUACGUUGAUAUAAGUAAAAGUCUAAGUUUAUACUGUAGAAGUCGUAUACCUAACGCACCAACUUUUGAUUCCUUAUCUAUUUGAACUUAUACUUUUACUUAUAUCAAAAUAUAUAAGUCACGCAUACAUAGUCCUUCAUCCACUCAGGAUUUAGGUAUGCCACACUAUGAACAUCACAAGUGAAUAAAUCCAUAAACGGAAUCUGAAUUUAUUUUUCUUGGGUCUAGUCCGUGUAUUGUCCGGCUAGUCAAUCACAUAUAUGUCUCUAUCUUCCAAGAGUCAACCGUUCUAAUGCCCAAGACAACGCAUCGCUCCAACUAGACUUGAUACACAGAAUAUUAGCCUUUCAAUCGAUUUUCUAAUUUUUUAUUAGACUAAGGACAUGUUUAGGUAUAUCUACUAAUAAAAGUUAUUUUUUCCUAUUACAAUCCGGCCACGUAAUUCCUCUUAGUAUUAGUUAAAACAUUAAAAACUCAGUGAGUCAAUAUUUGCUUCUAUUUUCCUCUGCAAGCAAAAACCACAUGAAGACAAUUAUACAAAGUAUAUUUAUGUAAUCCAUGAAUUGUUUUAUCAACCAAUGUGUUCGAAAAAAUUUACAAUUUUACAAAUGAAUAUACUAAUCUUAGGGCACUAUAUCCAACAUAAAUGACUUAAACACUUUUAGAGGGCAUCCAAAUGCAAAAGCCUGAUGCCAUUUUGGUGAACAAUAUUUUCAAAUUCAAAAAUUUAUUGUGAAAGUAUCUUUUUUUUUAUUCAAGUUUUUCUCUCCAAAUUGUAGAAGGGAAAAAAAGGUUUUUAAUAGUGGCAACGGUCGUGAAAACAUAUUAAAUGGAGGAUUGGAAAUUGGUUUGAAUUAUAUUUCCAAAAAGUCUGUAAAGGGGUUGUGCAAUGACCCUAACCGAUUCAAUUUCUUCCUUAAGAUACUAUUUCUGAAGCUAUUAUUCUCUCUUCAACAUUCAUCUUUGUUUGUCUUCUAUCAUUCACAAUGGCAAGAACAAACAUUAUUUCUUAAUAGGAACAUAAAAAAGGUUCAGAAAAUACCUUGAACCAGAGACUUGUGUAGAAGAAGGCUCAAUGAAGGCGGUAGUGCCCAUUACUAUUAACCCUUCAGAAGCUCAGGGGAGGAAAUCAAAGUAGAAAGAGGAAGAGGGAGAUACAUCUGCUUAGAAUGCCAUAGCAAAGAUCGAUGAGUUGCUAACUAAUCCACCUGUUCUAGAGCAUCAACCAAUACUAAAGGGGAAGAUUGAUACAUUAAUUGGUACAAUGAUUUCACAAGGUGAUGUUGAUCUUGUUCUUGAUGGAACUCUUAUGAAUACUGCGUUAAAUUUUUAUGUUAAUAUUUUUGUUAGUCUUAGUAAUAAUUCUGUGUUUGUAACUGACAUUAUGGAGCCUGAGGCUCAUCAUGAUGAGAAUGUACCUAUUAUUUCUAUUCUAAAAGAAAUUCUUGAUGAUGUAGUGGUCACGAAAGUGAGAAAAUUAAUGGCAACUUCCUUUGCCCUUUUGAGGAAAAGGACUAUAUAUGUGGCUAAUCAAGAUUUGGAAUCCAUGGUUAAGCUAAAGAAGAAGGAGAAAUGAAAGGCUCGUGUUACCCCUCAACCAUCCCAGAAAAGAAAGAAGGAAUAUGAGAGUUUGAGUGAGGAGGAUUCUAACUCGUUUAAUGAGUCAUACAACAUUUCUAAGAAAAAUGUUCCUCUAAAAGAAACCAUAUCAACAAAGCUAAGUCUAAGAAACCUAUGAUAACAAAUUCUGCCAUCCGAAGAAAUAAGAAAUUGAGAAAGAGUGGUAUACCAGCAAUGCUUGUUGAUGCAGUGGAAAAGGAAAAAGCAAAGGACAAAGUGCUUUUGGCCAAGAAGGAUCAAGUAUUCUUGACACUUAAUUGCCUAAAUAGAUACAUGGCCUUGAGGACAAAGGGCUUUAUUGAGGAGCAAAACAUCAAGGAUGCUAGUUUUGUUGAAUAAGGAAUUGACACCUUCUUAACAAAAAGUGGUCUAAUGGGUACUAUGGCAUUUUUCAAGCCAUAUGUGAGGGAGCUAGUGUUGGAAUUUUAUGCCAAUUUGUUGUCCUCAAUCACUGAUUCAAGAAGCAAAUUGUUCCAGAAGGUAUAUGUAAGAUGCCACUGGUAUGAAUUCAACCGUGAUUUGAUUCGGAGGGUGCUUAAAUGUUUCAAGAAAAACUUCAUUUAAUUGAAUGAAUCUUUGGAUUUACUGCCAUUACCAAAAACAUCGACUGAUCUUGGCCCAAAAAAGGAAGCAUUUGAGCUUUUCCAUUGCCCACUAUUUAUGUUGUCCUAUUUUCCAUUGCAAGGAAUUAGGUCCUAAACACACGGAGGGAUUCAGUGAUUCCACAAGUUGUUGUACUUAUCAAAAAAAUAUAUAGAUGAUUGAGUUUGAUGUGGUUUAGUUGGUGUUUUAUUAGGUGGUAAGUCAUUAUAAGAAAGUAUAUACUAGAUUGUGAAAAUCUAAAGAUUGUGAAAAUCACUAAAAGAUGUGAAAGGACAAUUCCUGAGCUUAAGUUCUCUCUUAAGUGGUUGGAGGGUAAGCAUAUUAGUGCAGAGCCAGUAGAAUAGGCAAUUGGAGAGGAUGUUGAUCAAACAAAACAAGCAGACCAUGAAGCAACAACUACUGCAGGGGAGGCAGAAAUGCCCACUUCCACUGACCCUUCAAGCAAUGAUAAAGGAUUCAACAGAAGGAUGAUUGAUCAUUUGACAUCAUCUAUUCGAUCUUAUAAUAGAGUGAUAGCCAUAACGAGGGCUUCAGUUGAUUAGGGAUGUACGGCCAAUUUUGACCCGAGCCCCAUAGGCCCAAAACCCACAUAACAAGCCCAAAUUACAAACCCUAGCCAAAAACCCAUUUUCAGAAAAAAGAAAAAAAACAGAAAACCCUAGUUCCCCCCAUGUGCGCCGUACACUUCUGCAUCACCAACCCUGCCAUCGCCGUUCGCCUUGUCCCAUCGCCUCUGAUGUCUCCGACCUGUAAACACGCAACCAAGGACGGAAGCAGACCACAAAUGGAGAAGGGGUUCAUUUUCUAUUUUUUCUUUUCGGCUAUAAAGCCUAUCAUUUAAAAACGAAUGGGGUUUUUUUUCUUUUUUUCUUUCUUUCGGCAAAAGCCGAAUCUGCUAUAAAAGAAAAGGUUUUUUGAGGUUUCAUUCUGAAAUAAAAAUCCAAGAAAAAAGCAAAGAAACACAAAGGUUUUCCUAGUUUUCCAACUUUAUUUAUCUAUUCGUUUUUCUAUUUUUGAUUUGUAAUAAUAAAUAUAUUAUAAAUAUAUUAAUAAUAUAAAAAAAGAAAAAAAUAUACCUUGUCAAAUUUCCGGCCACCACGUACGGUGGCCAACGCGACGCCGGAGCGGUGGGCCUUGGCCGGAAUCUGGACUUAGUCUAGAGAGAAUUUUUUUUCUUUCUUCUAUUUUUUUUCUUUUCAAUGCCCAAAUGAUUUUUUUCUCAAAAGAGUGUCUUUUAUACCCUGGUAAAACGACGCCGUUUUGGCCGGCAUUCUUAAGCCCCGAAACGACGUCGUUUUGACUUAGGUCAAAUCGACCCGACCCGUACCGCCUGGGAUCCACGUGUUUUUGGACCAGAGGGGUUAUUUUCGCCCUCGGUCCUUCCGCGUUUGAGGCCGUGUACAAUUGGGUCCUAUCCCUUUUUCUUAUUUGUUUUAAUUUUGCCCCAGAUAUCCUUUUUUCUUGCGAUUUGGUCCAUAGACCUUCUGCACAGACCAUGCUAGAACGGCGUCGUUUAAUAAGCGAGGGGUUAUUUCCCUCUUUGGUCCUUCGCCCUUUUGCGCCCUUCUAUUUUGGUCCUCCUCUACGCAUUUUAUUAUAGUCUUAACCUUUAAAUUUUAUUUUUAUCCCAAAUUGACCCAUUUUGUUAUUUUUGUUGUUUUAUUAACUAAUCUAGCUAUUAUUAUAUUUUCCCAUUAUAUAUAUGUAUAUUUACGUUACCAUUAUUAUACCAUUUAGUUUUACAUUGUUAUUGUUAUAUUUUAUUUAUAUUUACUUAUUUAAGUUUUGAAUAUAUUGGUCCUAUUAUUAUUACUAUUAUAACUAUUUAUAUAUAUCAUCUUAUUAUAUAUAUCUAUAUAUCUCUUUAUAGGCACGUUUUUUUUAGCUUAUAUACAUACAUAUGUUUUGUUAUACAUACAUACAUAUACGUCUAUAUCCAUCAUUCAUUUUUAUAAAAUAUAUGUAUAUACGUCUUUUUUUUAUAUAUAUAUACAUACUUACACUGUUUUAUUUUACGAUAUACAUACUUAUAUCUUUUAUUUUAUGUAAUAUAUAUGUAUGCACAUACCCAUUUUUUAUUUAUAUAUGUACAUAUUUAUACUUUUAUAAUAUAUAUAUACAUGUGUAUGUACGUGUUUAUAUAUAUACACACAUACUUAUACAUAUUAUUUAUAUUUUAAAAUCUAUAUUUUUCUUACGUAUUUUCUAUAUUUUAUAAUUCAUAUAUAUAUGUUUUUUAUAUAUAUCGCAAUACAUAUUAGCAUCGUGUUUCAUUUUACCCAAUAUAUCAAAAUCCAUUUCAAAUAAAUUAAAUCUCGUGUUUAGAUAUUUGAAAAGUCGUGCCUUAACUUACUAGGUUUCGAUUUUCACAAUAAAUCUAAACACGUGAAUAUUUUCAAACUCAAGUUUUUAAACGAUCUCAGGAAUUAAUAAAAGAUCGUGUCCUAACUUACUGGGCAUGAUCCCUUUUCUAAACCGGAGAUAAUUAAAUGUCUUUUUAAAUAAAUAAAUUUUUCGGCAUGUACUCUCGUAUCGGGAAUUCGAUACGUUGUGUCCUAACGCAUUAGAUAUGACAUGUCGUUUUCUCGAGAUAAGGAUUUUUUUUAAAUAAAGGCAAUAUUUUGCGUUUGGAAAUUCGAGUAAACGUGCCCUAAUGUGUUGGGUUUUGAUUUCUCAUUUAGCCAAAUAGCUUGAUAUCCUUUUAAAAUUUCAAAAUACGGGUUUUGGAAACCAUAAGGUGAUCUUGAUUCCUACAGUUUAAAGUAUCAUAUCUUAAGGUGCUGGAUAUAAUAUUCUUUCGGAAUAAGAGAACCUUAAAUUCCAACUCAUAUUAUUCAAAAUUUUUAGGAUCGUAUUUUUAAAAUUCUUCAAAAUUUUCAAUUUUCGACACUAAGACAUUAAGUAAUCAACUAGGUACCAAUUUUGGGCGUAUCGAGGGUGCUAAUCCUUCCUCGUGCGUAACCGACUCCCGAACCUGUUUUCUGACUUCCGUGGACCAAAACUGUUGUUUUAACAAAAUCAAAUCGUUUAUUAAAAACAACCACUUUUCAAGGUGACCCGAUCACACCUUAUCAAAUAGGAUUGGUGGCGACGCCCGUUUUUUUCGUUUUCAUUUUCAAAAUCCAAGUCGACCCCGUUUUCAUCAAAAAAAUGGUGUCAACAGCUUGGCGACUCCACUAGGGACCCAAAAUAAGAGAGUCAAGCCACGAGUUGAUUACUUCUUGUCUUUUUGUCAAAAAUUGAAAAUUUGGUUUAAAUGUACGAUCCUUUUGUUGCAUUUUGUCUGUCAUUUUUGUGGUCUUUAAUAUGUUUACUUUUUUUGGUUCAAGCUUUUUGAUAUUUCUGCACAUUGCAUUGCAUGACCGUUGGUCACAACCUUUUCAGUGGGAGUGAGAAGCUAUUUCCUUCGUGAGGUCUUCACCUCCGUGCAGGAUAGUGGAUCGCUUUCGGGAUACAUCUGUACCUAUGUCUUCGCUAGAUUUUCAUCUCUGUGCAGCCAUAGGGAAAUGUAUUCCCCUGAAUCGAACUCAGUUCGCAUGAGCCUAUAAUGGGUGAGGAUCGAGGAAUCUGCUGGUUUGGGUACCUUUGCUUUAGAGCCGAACCGCAUGUAGUGAACCUAAGAGCCCAGCCUAGGUAGAACUACUUCAAACCCCUAGUGGUUACCCGAAUAGGUACUCUAUUUUUCUUGUUUGCUUUUGCUUUGUACUAACAUGUUUCAUUUUGUUUUGAUUGCAAAAAAGGUGUUGGUUCAAGUUCGAUUACUAAAUUAGAAAGCUUGCCAUGGGAAACAGAUUUCUUGAUAAAGUGGGAGAUAAUAUGGCUACCCAAAUACAUUCCAAGAAACACGACAAAAGAAAGGUGAUGGAAGAGGACAUGAUUCUACUUCGCGGCCCGAAGAUUCAAGCUAAUUAUUUGAGAGUCACCGACAUUCCGACUUCCUUAAAGAAGCUGAUGAGCAUUACGAGGAUGAACAGACGAUGGAUCGCAACUAGGAUUAAGCAAUAAGAAGCUAGUAAGGGCAUCCAUUGGAAAUUUGCAAGAUUUAUCUUAAACAUUCGGAUAAAGAGGAAGAUCAAUGUUGUUUCUUAUAAUAUAAGGGCGAGGCUGUAUAUGCACCCGCUUUAUGUAAAGAAAUUUGUUUUUUAGUAAAGUUUUCUAAAUGGAAUUGAAUCAAAGUCAACGUCUUUUUUGCAUUCAUUUCAUGUAUUUGCAUCACAUGACAUCACAUGCAUUAAAGAUCAUUAAAAGACCCUAAUUGAGUAAAAUUAUUUCAACUAAUCUGGAAAACCAACACCCUUACGGUAUCCAAGCAAAAACUAAAGGAGUGGACCAAAGGUUGGAGAAAUUAGAGCAAAGGCAAAUACAGAUGCAAGAGCAAUUGACCAAAUUUCAACAAGAUAUGCAAGAAUCCCAAAUGAGCUUGAUGAGCCAAUUAGCACAGCUAUCAGCUAGAGAUAAAAAGAGAAACCCUGUAGUCAAUUCUAGGGACGAAUAUGAAGACUCUACCUAUCCUCUAGGUUUCACCCCAAUAGGCAUCCAGGCCCAACCUGACGCACAUCUACAAGGGGUACCCACUACUAACAGACCCCAACGAUAUCAGGCCGGUACCACUGCACCAAUGAACUACCCGACAGUCUUAGGUUCCAAUCCAAGGAACGAUCCGACCAAUCUUGUAGUUCCUGAUUUAGACGAAAUAAAAAAAACAAGGGUAGAACUACCAAAGCAACUUGAAAAUCAGUAUAGAUGAUUGGAAGAAAAACUCAAAGCAAUUGAGAAUGCUGAUUACCAUUGCGGGGUUGAUGCCAAGGAUCUAAGUUUGGCCCCAGAUCUAGUAAUUCCGCCGAAAUUCAAGGCUCCAGGAUUCGAAAAAUAUAAUGGGACUAGUUGUCCUGAAGCUAUCAUCACGAUGUUCUGUCGAAGAAUGACAGGAUACAUUGAUAACGAUCAACUGUUAAUUCAUCGCUCCCAAGAUAGUCUGAUCGGGUCAGCUGUAAAAUGGUACAACCAGUUGAGCCGUGCCAAUAUCCACUCAUGGAAGGACUUGGCACAACCUUUCAUGAAGCAAUAUGGUUACGUGACAGACAUGGCACCUGAUAGAACUACACUACAGAACAUAGAAAAGAAGCAAAGUGAGAGCUUCAGGCAAUAUGCCCAAAGAUGGAAAGAGGUAGCGGCACAAGUCCAACCACCUGUUCUGGAAAAAGAAACCACAGUGCUUUUCGUCAACACUCUGAAAGCCCCAUUCAUUAACCACAUGUUGGGAAAGGCUGCCAUGAGCUUCUCAGAUAUGGUAAUGUCUGGCGAGAUGAUUGAAAAUGCCAUAAGAAGUGGGAGGAUAGAUGCGGGGAAAAGUGUCAAUAGAUCAACCCCAAAGAACAAAGAAAAUGAAGUGGGCCAACCGAGGGUCAUAACCGCUAGCUAUCAAAGUAUUAACGCUGUAUCCGAGGAAUGCCCCGAGAAAGAAUCAGGCAUUUACCCUUACACACUUGGAGGUGUUUUGAGUAGUGGGACUGCGAAAAAGAUCCCUAUAUUUUUUAGAGCUAAUUCGGAGUAAUGUCCAAAACACGCUUAUUGCUCUAAGCCUAGGGGCAAUAAGAAUCCUUUUGUGAGACAGGCUUAUGCCCAACAUCUUUAUUUCAAUAAAAUGCAUCUUUGUUUCUCACUUUGAGGAAACAUUCUUUUAUUCUUUCCAUUUCAUUCAUAAUCAUACUAUACAGAUAAAUAUUCUUAGAUUCUUUUAUUUUUUGGAUCUAUAUUCGUCCUAUAAUAGUUCUCCAGAUAUCAGUGAUGUGAGCGACACUGCUAUUGACUCAGAACCUCCUUUUGAGCAAGAUAUGUGUCCAGAUUAAACCUCAAGACCUUGGAGAUAACUGACACUGUAGCUUAUCUCCUGAUUUGUUAAAAAUGGGAAAACAAGAUUCUACCUUACGCAGAAUCAAUGAGAGCCAUGGCCUUUCUCUAUGUGGGGCACGAAUGUCAUAGAGCCGAUCUCACCUAAGGUUUUUAACGAUUAUCUUUAUGGUCAUCAAUUACCUCACUAAGUAGGCAGAAGUUGCUUCAUAUGCCAAAGUCACAAAGUCAACAGUCUGCGAAUUAUUAAAAAAAUCAUAUGCCAGUAUGAAAUGCCAAAAAAGAGCAUAUCUGACAAUGCACUGAAUUUGAACAACGGCACGACAUCAGAAGUUUGCAGUCUAUUCAAGAUUAGCACCAUGUCACCCCAAAAUGAACAGUACAAUGGAGGCAAAAUAAAAACAAAAACAAAAACAAAAAAGAGCAAAAAAAAACAAAAAACAAAAAAAACUCUACCGGGACAACUCAUUUCUCAUUGGUAUAUGGAAUAGAGGCAGUUUUACCCAUCGAAGUUGAUAUUCCUACCCUUAAAGGCUUGUCAGAGCUGAAGUUGGAUGAAGCAAAAUGGAUCCAAGCCUGAUAUGAUCAGUUAAAGUUGAUUGAAGAGAAAAUGCUGAAAGUUAUCCAUCAAUGGUAAAAUGUACCAAAAGUGAAUGAUACGAGCUCACCAAAAAAGGUUCGCCCCAGAUGAUUCCAUGAGGGGGACCUGAUAUCGAAGAAGAUCCUUCCCAUACAAAAGGACUUUAGAAGAAAAUGGAUGUCGAACUGGAAAGGACCUUAUGUGGAAGGCCUUAUCUGAAAAAGCAUCGAUAUUAACCAGGAUGGAUGGCAAGAACCUGCCUAAUCUUGAGAAUUCUGAUUCAAGCAAUAAAUACUUCACUUGAAAAAAAAAGAGAAACAAAAAAAAGAAAAGAAAAGAAGAACGAAAAAGAAAAAGGAGAGGCCAAGGUGAAAACCCGCAAAGGGCGCCUUGAGACCAAAGGGGUUUUAAAUUGAAAACCCAAGAAUGGGCAGUUCAAAUUUUGAUCAAAGGUGGGGCAUGCGGUAGUCUUGUCCUCUCCGAAUUAAUAAGAAGGAGAGAUGCUACAUCUUAGGGCAUCAACAAAGUCUUCUAGGACUUCUAAACACAUGUCAAAUUCAAAAAGGGUCCUCAAGAAGUUUGGAGCAGAGAAGCUCAUGCUACUAUAUCUGGGGCACCUAUUUCCAUUCAUUUCUCUUGUAUUUUGACAAAGUACGCCAUCUUGAUCAAUUUAUUCUCAUUUUGUAGCAAAAUUUACUAUCUUGAUUAAUUUUUUCAUUUAGAGCUUUGCUCUCAAUAAAUUUCCAUCUUAUCCAUUGUGAUAAUCUUUUUCAUCUUAUUCAUCUCGUAUCUUAGCAAAAUUUGUUAUCUUGAUUGAUUUAUUUGUUUAGAGCUUUGCUCUCAACAAAAUUUCAUCUUGUCCAUUUUGAUAAUCUUUUUCAAGCAUUUUUUCAUUGAAAUAACGAUUACUGGACUGAUAAUAUUCUAGCAAAAGGAGUUUUGCAUAUUACUCUGAAAGCUUCUAAAUAAUACAGGAACCUGAAACAGGACUAUUGUUCAGAGCACACCAAGUUUAAAGGGUGAAAUGUCUAAGAAGGAAAAGUCUAAAUUAAGACUAUCCUUUCGGGUUUUGUCGUCCAAGCAUGGAUGGAACAAAACGACAAAAUGUCGUGUUGGUGACAAAGCUUCAAUGAACAAACGAGCAAUGAUCACCGAGUGAUAAAAAGAGGUUUCUUGGAAGAGAAAGUUCUACAACUGUGUAUAAAUAUUUGGUACGACACCCUAGGAAUGGUGUAGAAGACAAAAGAGAUUCAGAUCUUGUAUCCCUGAAUUACAGUGGGAGAGGAUUGAGAAAGAGCCAGAUUUUAUACUCAGUGAGAGGAAGAUGGCCCGAAUUUUAUGUCCCAAAAUUACCGUGGACUUAUCCUUGAAGAUUACAACGGAUUGAACUUUGAAAAUUACAGGGGGCAAUCUGGCUAAGUAAGGAACGAGUGUUACCAGCCGAGCAAGAUAGCAUUCUGACAUGUUGGCAAUAAAACCUUACUGAAUAACGAGUAAUGACAACCUAAACAUUAAAAAGGGAUCAUUCUCAUAACAUUCUGCAUUCAUGCAAAUAUAAUUCACACACACCUAAUUAGGAGCAUUUGAUUCGUUCUGAUCAUAACAUCCUAAUCAUUAGGCAUAAAUAAGUUCAUAAAAUAGACGUUACAGGUCAUGUUCCCUAGAGAAAAUAUCAAUGAAGUUACCCAUACCCCUGAAGUUACAGUGGAAUGAAUUGAAGUCGUCAUAUCAAGUCCUAUCUCUAAGAAAUUACAGAGGAAUUGACUAGAAGCAGCAGAUCUUGUCUUCCUGUAUUUGGCAGCGAAGUAGAUCGAAGAUUGCAGAUCUUGUCUUCCUGUAUUUGGCAGCGGAGUAGAUCGAAAAUUGUAGAACUUGUCUUCCUAUAUUUGGCAGCGAAGUAGAUCGAAGAUUGCAGAUCUUGUCUUCCUGUAUUUGGCAGCAGAGUAGAUCGAAGAUAGUAGAUCUUGUCUUCCUGUAUUUGGCAGUGGAGUAGAUCGAAGAUUAUAGAUCUUGUCUUCCUGUAUUUGGCAGCAGAGUAGAUCGAAGAUAGUAGAUCUUGUCUUUCUGUAUUUGGUAGUGGAGUAGAUCGAAGAUAAUAGAUCUUGUCUUCCUGUAUUUGGCAGCGAAGUAGGUCAAAGAUUACAGAUCUUGUCUUCCUGUAUUUGGCAGCGGAGUAGAUCGAAGAUAGCAGAUCUUGUCUUCCUGUAUUUGGCAGUGGAGUAGAUCGAAGAUAGCAGAUCUUGUCUUCCUGUAUUUGGCAGUGGAAUAGAUCGAAGAUAAUAGAUCUUGUCUUCCUGUAUUUGGCAGCGAAGUAAGUCGAAGAUUACAGAUCUUGUCUUCCUAUAUUUGGCAGCAGAGUAGAUCGAAGAUAGCAGAUCUUGUCUUCUUGUAUUUGGCAGUGGAGUAGAUCGAAGAUAGUAGAUCUUGUCUUCCUGUAUUUGGCAGCGAAGUAGGUCAAAAAUUACAGAUCUUGUCUUCCUGUAUUUGGCAGCGGAGUAGAUCAAAGAUAGUAGAUCUUGUCUUCCUAUAUUUAGCAGCGGAGCAGAUCGAAGAUAGCAGGUCUUAUCUUCCUGUAUUUGGCAGCGAAGUAGAUCGAAGAUUGCAGAUUCUGUCACCCUAAGCAGUAGUGGAUCAGAUCAAAGAUGAUAAAUCUUAUCUUCUCAAGAUAGUGGAGAAGCAGAUUUAAGCCAUUAGUCCCAUCUCCCUAAGCAGUAGUAGAGUAGGUUGAAAAUCGUAGAUCUUGUCUCCCUAAGCAGUAGUGGAACAAAUCAAAGACAGUGGAUCUUAUCUUCCCGAGGUAGUAGGAAGCAUAUUUAAGCCAUCAGUCCUAUCUCCCUGAAGUUGCAGUGGAGCGGAUUAAAACCCCAGAUCUUAUCUCUCUGAAGUUGCAGUAGAGCAGAUCGCAUCUAGUCUUAUCUCCCUAAGCAGUAGUGGAGCAGACGAAAGAAAUCAAUCCUAUCUUCCUGAAGUUGCAGUGGAGCGGAUUAAAACCACAGAUCUUAUCUCUCUGAAGUUGCAGUAGAGCAGAUCGCAUCAAGUCUUAUCUCCCUAAGCAGUAGUGGAGUAGACGAAAAAAAUCAAUCCUAUCUCUCUGAAGUUACAAUAGAGCGGAUUAAAACCACAGAUCUUAUCUCUCUAAAGUUGCAGUAGAGCAGAUCGCAUCAAGUCUUAUCUCCCUAAACAGUAGUGGAGUAGACGAAAGAAAUCAAUCCUAUCUCCCUGAAGUUACAGUGGGGCGGAUUAAAACCCCAGAUCUUAUCUCUCUAAAGUUGCAGUAGAGUAGAUCGCAUCCAGUCUUAUCUCCCUAAGCAGUAGUGGAGUAGACGAAAGAAAUCAAUCAUAUCUCCCUGAAGUUACAGUGGAGCGGAUUAAAACCACAGAUCUUAUCUCUCUUAAGUUACAGUAGAGCAGAUCACAUCUAGUCUUAUCUCCCUGAAGUUGCAGUGGAGCAGACAGAAGAAACCAAUCCUAUCUCCCUGAAGUUGCAGUGGAGCGGAUUAAAACCACGAAUCUCGUCCCCCUAAAGUUGCAGCAGAGUGGAUUCAAGCUACAAGUCGUAUCUCUUUGAAGUGCAGUAGGGUAGAUCAAAACAACAAGACCCAGUCGAGGGGAAGGAGACUACCUGAAGAAGAAGCACCAAGAAGUCAAGAUUUGGCAAGAUCGGGCAAAAUGGGCCUUUCUUAAUCUUUGCUUGUUCUCGUUACACGACAACAAGAAAAGAGGGGCAGCUGUACGGCCCAUUUUGACCCGGGCCCCAUAGGCCCAAAACCCACAUAACAAGCCCAAAUUACAAACCCUAGCCCAAAAGCCAUUUCCAGAAAAAAGAAAAAAAAUAGAAAACCCUAGUUCCCCCCAUGUGCGCCGUACACUUCUGCAUCACCAACCCUGCCAUCACCGUUCACCUUGUCCCAUCCCCUUUGACGUCUCCGACCUGCAAACAAGCAACCAAGGACGGAAGCAGACCACAAACGGGGAAGGGGUUCAUUUUCUAUUUUUUCUUUUCGGCAAUAAAGCCUAUCAUUUAAAAACGAAUGGGGGGUUUUUUUUCUUUCUUUUGGCAAAAGCUGAAUCUGCUGUAAAAGAAAAGGUUUUUUGAGGUUUCAUUCUGAAAUAAAAAUCCAAGAAAAAGCAAAGAAACACAAAGGUUUUCCUAGUUUUCCAACUUUAUUUAUCUAUUCGUUUUUCUAUUUUUGAUUUGUAAUAAUAAAUAUAUUAUAAAUAUAUUCAUAAUAUAAAAAAAAAGAAAAAAUAUACCUUGUCAAAUUUCUGGCCACCGCGUACGGUGGCCAGCACGACACCGGAGCGAUAGGCCUUGGCCGGAAUCUGGACUUAGUCCAGAGAAAAUUUUUUUUCUUUCUUCUAUUUUUUUUCUUUUCAAUGCCCAAAUGAUUUUUUUCUCAAAAGAGUGCCUUUUAUACCCUGGUAAAACGACGCCGUUUUGGCCGGUAUUCUUAAGCCCCGAAACGACGUCGUUUUGACUUGGGUCAAAUCGACCCGACCCGUACCGCCUAGGAUCCGUGUGUUUUUGGACCAGAGGGGUUAUUUGUGCCCUCGGUCCUUCUGUGUUUGAGGCCGUGUACAAUUGGGUCCUAUCCCUUUUUCUUAUUUGUUUUAAUUUUGCCCCAGAUAUCCUUUUUUCUUGCGAUUUGGUCCAUAGACCUUCUGCACAGACCAUGCUAGAACGGCACCGUUUAAUAAGCGAGGGGUUAUUUCCCUCUUUGGUCCUUCGCCCUUUCGCGCCCUUCUAUUUUGGUCCUCCUCUGCGCAUUUUAUUAUAGUCUUAACCUUUAAAUUUUAUUUUUAUCCCAAAUUGACCCAUUUUGUUAUUUUUGUUGUUUUAUUAACUAAUCUAGCUAUUAUUAUUAUAUUUUCCCAUUAUAUAUAUGUAUAUUUACGUUACCAUUAUUAUACCAUUUAGUUUUACAUUGUUAUUGUUAUAUUUUAUUUAUAUUUACUUAUUUAAGUUUUGAAUAUAUUGGUCCUAUUAUUAUUAUUACUAUUAUAACUAUUUAUAUAUAUCAUCUUAUUAUAUAUUUAUAUCUUAUUAUAUAUAUCUAUAUAUCUCUUUAUAGACACGUUUUUUUUUAGCUUAUAUACAUACAUAUGUUUUGUUAUACAUACAUACAUAUACGUCUAUAUCCAUCAUUCAUUUUUAUAAAAUAUAUGUAUAUACGUCUUUUUUAUAUAUAUAUAUACAUACUUACACUGUUUUAUUUUACGAUAUACAUACUUAUAUCUUUUAUUUUAUGUAAUAUAUAUGUAUGCACAUACCCAUUUUUUAUUUAUAUAUGUACAUAUUUAUACUUUUAUAAUAUAUAUAUACAUGUGUAUGUACGUGUUUAUAUAUAUAUACACAUACUUAUACAUAUUAUUUAUAUUUUAAAAUCUAUAUUUUUCUUAUGUAUUUUCUAUAUUUUAUAAUUCAUAUACAUAUGUUUUUUUUAUAUAUAUCGCAAUACAUAUUAGCAUCGUGUUUCAUUUUACCCAAUAUAUCAAAAUCCAUUUCAAAUAAAUUAAAUCUCGUGUUUUGAUAUUUGAAAAGUCGUGCCUUAACUUACUAGGUUUCGAUUUUCACAAUAAAUCUAAACACGUGAAUAUUUUCAAACUCAAGUUUUUAAACGAUCUCGGGAAUUAAGAAAAGAUCGUGUCCUAACUUACUGGGCAUGAUCCCUUUUCUAAACUGGAGAUAAUUAAAUGUCUUUUUAAAUAAAUAAAUUUUUCGGCAUGUACUCUCGUAUCGGGAAUUCGAUACGUUGUGUCCUAACGCAUUGGAUAUGACAUGUUGUUUUCUUGAGAUAAGGAUUUUUUUUAAAUAAAGGCAAUAUUUUGCGUUUGGAAAUUCGAGUAAACGUGCCCUAAUGUGUUGGGUUUUGAUUUCUCGUUUAGCCAAAUAGCUUGAUAUCCUUUUAAAAUUUCAAAAUACGGGUUUUGGAAACCAUAAGGUGAUCUUGAUUCCUACAGUUUAAAGUAUCAUAUCUUAAGGUGCUGGAUAUAAUAUUCUUUCAGAAUAAGAGAACCUUAAAUUCCAACUCAUAUUAUUCAAAAGUUUUUAGGAUCGUAUUUUUAAAAUUCUUCAAAAUUUUCAAUUUUCGACACUAAGACAUUAAGUAAUCAACUAGGUACCAAUUUUGGGCGUAUCGAGGAUGCUAAUCCUUCCUCGUGCGUAACCGACUCCUGAACCUGUUUUCUGACUUUCGUGGACCAAAACCGUUGUUUUAACAAAAUCAAAUCGUUUAUUAAAAACAACCACUUUUCAAGGUGACCCGAUCACACCUUAUAAAAAAGGAUUGGUGGCGACUCCCGUUUUUUUUCGUUUUCAUUUUCAAAAUCCAAGUCGACCCCGUUUUCAUCAAAAAAAUGGUGUCAACAAGGGAUAUAGGGGUAAACUAAGGAAGGAUCUGCAAAGUAAGUGAUCCUUACACAAUUAUUUUCUCAAUCCAAUGGUCUUGUACUCAUAAUUAUAUGGAUUGACUUACUCCUACCUGAUUGUGUUGUUUUAAUCAUCACAUUCUUUGACAUUUGUUUUGCCUUGGUCCAGUUAAGAAAAUAAGAAUCUUUAGCAUUAUGAUUGGCAAGUUUGUUAAACAAAAAAGGGAAGUAGAGAACAAACAAUGAGGAGUGGAAGUAAAUAUAUGGAUGUUGCUGGUUCCAAAUGAUUGUUACUAUCAUGCUAUAUGGGAAGUAUAUGUCUUUUGUUGAUUGAUGAAGCUACUUACAUUUCGAGAAGAAGAUUUUGAUGAUUUUGAAGAUGCGUUAGACCUUAUGGCGGUGAUUUUGUUUUCUUUUGAAAUUCUUUGCACCGGUCUAUAUAAGUGAGAUGAUGAUACUUAUUUGCUAAUUUUGAUUCUAUGGAUAUUGUGGCAUUAUUGAAAUGAUCUAGAACCGUGAUAAUAUUAUGAUAUGAUGUAUGUUUACUUUGUUGCACUUUACCUUAUCUAUUGCUUAUUUAUAAUUUAGUAUUUUGAUUGUAUAUAUGAAUUCUAGAAUAGCAUUCAUAGUUGAAAUUACUAUAUUAUGUAUUAAAAAUAGCUAAGUAGAAUGAGGUUUGUGCCGAGGGGGAGCUAUUGUUGUUUAUGGUAGUUAGCUUCCUAUAUUGUUUGAUUUUUUCAUUAAAUUGUCAAAGGGGGAGAUUGUUGUUUGUGGUAGUGCCAACUACAGACUGCCACUGAGGUAUUUAAAAUUUUUCUUAUUUGGUUUGAUAAUUUAGUGAAGAAAAUCUUUGGACCUGGUUAUGUGACGUUACAUUGAAGAUAUUUUGUUCCAUCUAUGGAAACAAAUCCUUUGCAUUUAAAGAUUGGAUUGAAUUUGUGUGAAUCAAUUAAGUCAUUGGAAUAUGGAGAAUCGAUUGAGAUAGUGCUGUUGAAUUUGAAUAGCAUAUCUUCGACUGAUUUUGUUUUGAUUAUUAUUGAUGUAAUAUCUAUUUUUAGGGAGUUACUUUGUAUUAACUUAGUUUCUAUGUUAGCAAGCCGAAAUGAUAUAUGUUUCGAGGCUUGUAUAGAUUUUGUAUGAGAGCUUAUUGAGUGCAUUCAAAUAUGUUUAUUAAGGAACUAUUUUUGUGAGGGAGUGCAAACUGAAUUGUAAGCAUUGUUGAGUGUUUACUACCCAAGUUCUUAGGAGGAAGAUUUGGAGGUGAGUGUUCUAGUCUUUUGGUACAAAGCUGAGAUCUCUAUACUUGGAAUGUGAUAGAGUGUGAAUCACUUGUUGUAUUGUGUACUAAAGAUAGUGGAAUUACUUACUGAGUUACGCUCCAAAGACGUAGGGAAUCAAAACUGCAUAAACAAAACUCUGUGUUAUUUCUAUUUUGUUUGCACAGUUUUUCGCAAUGCCAAGCCUUAGUGGCCAUUGCAGUCUAACACUUACAUUGCAAUUUACACUUUGAGCAAAUAAGCAACUUAAGGUAGCAACAAAAUCUACACUUUAUCCUAUGCCAAUUUACAGUUCGACUUCUAACUAAUUGUAAUGAUUACGUAAAGCAUCCUCCAACUCUGUAUGUAAGGCCGUGACACUAUAUAUUAGCGUGGCGAUGUCGUUUUGAAGUUUUGUAUUGAAUUUUCAAGACCAUUUUUAAAUAUGUAGAGAUAUUUUAAGAGUAGAUUUCUUUUAAAAGUAUGAUCUUUUUAUUGAAGGAAAUUCGAUCAUGCCAAAAGCUUUUAAAAAGAAAUUUUGCUCGAGUGAUAUUUAAUGUGAUUUAAUCCAGUAAAUUAAUCCUUAAAAAAUAAUCCAGUAAUUGUCGAUCAAAAGUACGACAACAAAUAUGGAAAGUUGCAUAAUGUUUUACUUAUAAAAUAAGUUGCAACUGAAGUUACAUACAAGAUGCGCAACGGGGACUAACACUAUACUUGUUGACAACAUUGACUUCUUGCAAGCAGUGCGAUAACUGUGUUUUCUGAAAAUAUUUAUUUAUAUUUUGAAUUUAAAAUUAAUGUAAUGUGAUGAAAAUUAUUUAAUUAUAUUUUUUACAAAAAAUAUUCAAUUAAUUUAUCAAAAUAUGAUUUUUCCCCAAUUUUUUUAUCAUAUAAUUAUGAUUUAAUAAUAUAUGCCACGUGCAUAGCAGAUGUGUAUAUAUAAUGCAUUCAAAAUUAUAUUUGUAAAAUGUCUUUUGGUAAGAGAAAAUCAUAAGGUUUCAAUGCUAAUUUAGAAUAUAGACUUAGCAAACAACAAAAUUCAGGCAAAACAAGAAGACUCAGAUUCAAUGAGGCGACCGGAAACUAUCUUUUACUGUUAGAAUUGCUAGAACUUAUGGCAGUUGUGAAGGCAAAUAAACUCUGUUAACCGAGACAACCUUAAUUUAAACCGAGUGAGGCACAUUUUUAAAUUAUUUUGAUGUAAGUAUAUGUGAGAAGGUAGUGAAUAAAUUUUGAUGUACCAAAUGAGUCAAACAUAUAUCCAAAAUCUCAAUCACUAUAAAUUUGACCAGAGAGAACUUUUUAGAUGAUUUAAUCAAUGUUUGUAUAGAUGUUAAAAUCUCAAUCACUAUAAAUUGGGUGGGCAGUUGUUGAGUUCCAGGCCGAUUGUGAAGAACAGGCUUUCAUCUAUAUCGGUUGGGACUUCGGCCUUUUCUCGACUUCUAAAGCUUUGGCUGAAGGCGGUGACAGUGUUGGUGUCGUUGUAGGCUGGUAAAGAAGGCAUGAUUGGAGUGGGUCCAUUGCAU